RNAcentral lists this long non-coding RNA (105633 nucleotides) under Eucalyptus grandis. RNAcentral describes it as "long non-coding RNA (EGRA_LNC002884)". The record is from RNAcentral. Lineage: Eukaryota; Viridiplantae; Streptophyta; Magnoliopsida; Myrtales; Myrtaceae.
UGGUUCUCUCAUGCAUGCAUGCAUGCGUUUAGCAACUCAAGAGGAAAUCAGCAUUAAGAUGCCAGCAGUAGAAAUAUUUCAGUAUCAAUAUGGAGCUACUAAUGGAAUGAAUGCAUAUCUCAAAGCUAUAUGAUCAAAAUCUUGCAGAUCUUGUAAAAUAUACUGAUCGCAAACUUCCGAGAAAUGAUUAUCAACCCAUACUCACCCUGUAAUUCAUCUGCCAAUCUCACCUAACUGCUAAUUUGAUAUGGCUCUAACAACACUGAAGCAAAAACAGCAAUGACUUUGAGAAACUAAAUGUUACUUAUUCCAGUGUGUCUGAUCAUUGGUACCUCAAAAGCUUAUCUUUCAUUAAUCAGGUUCCACUCAAACAUUCAAGAAGCUUCCAGGACUUCCAGGUCAUUCUCAUUCAUAAAUGCUAUGACAGAAAAUGAUGAAAACAGAAUCCUAAUUUAUUGCAAAGGCCUCGCAAAUCAGAAUUGACAAUCAGCUUCUUGUGCUUUUGUCUCCAUUCUACUAAAUAACUUAUCUAAACUCUGUUUCUUGUGAUUUUAUUUUUCAUAUAGUCCACGGGUGAAAGAAAUUGGCCACCUAACCAGUUAUCGAUUGGCACAAACCAAUGUUCAUAUUACUUCUCAUGCUCCAUGAAAAUUAGGUAAAAGGAUCGACUAUCAAGUGACCUUUUGUAGUGGCUUACCAUCUCUCUGCAUCUUCUUCAUUUCUCCAUUGUUUUAACUCUUCAAGUGCCUUGUAGAACUUAGCAACAGAUUCUUGUACCAGCGAUCAAAGUUCCUCAAAAUUCAAUCGUCCUAGCAAACCUAUCACUGGCUGCACAUCUUCAUGAUAGGUACAUACUACAUUUCCUACACACCUCAAAAGCAGCCAUAUCUCUCUCUCUCUCUCUCUCUCUCUCUCUCUCUCUCUCUCUCUCUCUCUAGUGUGCUGGUUGUCCGCUUCAAUGCCUGGUUUCACAUAAGGGAAUUCCCAACCCAUAUAGCACCCGGAUUGGCUCAGUUCUUUGCCCAGAAGGGGACUGAACCAACCCAUGCAGGCCCUACUUCCUGUUGUUUCACUUUCCCUCGCUUGUUUUUCCUUUGAAUCUAGAUUUCACCUACUUCUACCAAUAAAUUGCCAUCUAUGAAAACAAGAGAAGUCACACCUUCCGGAGAGUGUCCCUAAUUUUGCAGCAUGUAACGUUGAUUGCCAAUGGAAUUCACUACCAAGCAUCCCCAGACUAAACUUACAAACUUCUUAGUGAACGUAUCUCGCACAAAUUCAACGACACAUUCUUCAAGUUCCCGCGCAACUGUAGCACCAUACGAGUUGAAUUCAAAAUUCAUCUCAAGUAUUACAUUUCGGAUGUGCCCGUCGUUUCCUUGAUCUAUAGCAAGCUGCAUGAUGCCCAGAACCUCGGCAGAGAAUCGUUCGCUAGAAGCUAUGUCAUCAGUUUCCAUGGCUUUGGUCAGCAGUUGUAGUCCGUCACCUCAAAUCGCCCAUCUCUGUCGCCGUUGGCUCGCUAGGGACUGUUUCAGGAAGUCCUUCUGUCCGCUGCCUCUGUUGGCAGGUGGCGAUCUUACAUUCGUCAGAGCUUGCUGGUUCGGAUGGAAGAUGAGCAACCGUGAUGCUGAAAGUUGCGUCGGUGGAGUUCUAAGUUUGCCUAUGGCGGAGGAAAGAGGAUUUAGCAACACAAAAUAAAGAUAAAUUGUUUAGGUAUAAUACCCAAAGAAGAAAGGUGGAGAGAGAAAAACUAAAAACAAAGAAAAGAGAUAAAGACAGGGCAGAAUUACAGAAUUUUAUUUAAAAGUUUUUUUCGAGAAAAGAGAACGAGAAGGAACAAGAAGAAACAAGGCAUUGUAAUUUAGGUCAGCUGAGUUCACUCACCUACAAAUUGCUUCCUUAGGAAGUUUCCAUCUUUGCAACUACAAAUGCAGCCAGCCAACACUACCAUUCUCGUCUCCAUCGGUCGAAUUGGAAGCGAACGUAAUCUUGAUUCACUUGCCUUGAGGGAGAAUAAACUCAUAUUUUCUCUUUGAUCCUAUUUGAUUAUGCUCCUCUGAACUCUCUUGACAAUCUUCAAAGUUUUUUAGUAGAUCUAAUUCAGUCGGACUAUCUCCGUGCACAUGUGAACGCUCUUACAAUUCUUUUAGUAAAUCUGUUUUGAUUGGUCUAUCUUUGUACAUAUGUAAACUCUUGGUUUCUAGAUCUGUUGAGUCAUGACCAACCUUGCAGAGUAAAGCUGGAUCUAUUAGCUGAUUUUCUUGUAGCACAACCUUUAAAUCAUCGUCUAUUCGCUUGCAUAUUAUUCGGAAUCCCCAAAUUUUCACGUUUGUAGUCAAUACUACAAGGUUCAAUUGUACAUAGCUCCCAUCAAUUUGACCAAAAUCGACUUCUCCCCAUAGAUCAUAUGGUGUGAAAUACCGAAGCCAAUUAUUCGAAUUCAUCGUUGAGCAGGCCCAUCCUUCUUUGCAAUCCCGUAUUUCCCCAUUAACAUAUGGUAUAAUCUCAAAUGCGGGAUCCUUGCACCAUUCAAUACAAUCGAGAACGAAACAGAGAGCCAAUCCAAGAAACUUAUUAUAUAAGUCCCUUGAAGCCAUGAAAGAUACGAAACCCUCUUCAACUGGGAGGAACCACUUUGGAAUUUCUCCUCCAUAGAGAAAAUUGUUGAAGUCAGGAGGUUUCUGUUAUAAAGUGAGGCCGUUAAAAGGCAUCCAAGUUUGUUGUUAGUACCCAAAUAUAAAAAUUCAAUUUGAGUUUAGUUAGAAAUCCUAAUGAAUCUGACUUCGAAGUAAUAAAAUAAUAGAGAUGCAAUGAUCCUUGCUUGCAUUAAUAUACAAGUCUUGUGAUAGAAAUCAUUCUCUUAAAAGUACAGUAACCUCCUGCAUUCCAUGCAUAUAAGUGCAGAAUCGCUUUAUAUUUUUUUGAGCCUCCCAUCUUGUAUUUUCUACUAUGGCAAUAAACGAGCGCUCACAGUUUAGAUGCGUGUGAGAGAGAGAAUCUAACCUGGUGUGGGGGAAUAUCGGCCAUGGGCAGGCCCCUGCGGAGAAGAUGAUGAAUAAAAGUUGAAUGUCCAUCGCUUUUUAGAGAUUCGCAAUUGUCUGCCAAAAAAUACCUCAAAUAUGGUGGAAGCUCAGGAAUCUCUUGUAACUGAUGACAAUUGUUAACAUUUAAUAGGGACAAACGAUGAUGCUUACUGAUGGAUGUAGGAAGUCUAGUAAUAUUGUUCCUCGACAAUACUAAUUCUUCCAAUAAAGGACAACAGGAAAGAUUCUCAAGAAAGUCUACUUUGGACAGAUUACAUCCCAUAAGGUUUAAAUAAGUUAAAUUUAAAAGUCCGGACUUCAUGGGCGAAUCAGCUAAAUCCUCGUACUUUGGAAACCCAAUAAAUUUGUGCAAUCCUCAAGUUCCAAGGAAUCAAGGUUUUGUAACUUGUAAAUGCUAGACGGGAAACUUAUUAGGUUCCGGCAAUUCCUUAAAUACAUUCCCUCCAAAGAGACAAGAUUUUCGAAUGAUGUAGGAAGUCCUAUUAUAGCUGUACUUUCUAAAUGAAGCUUUUUCAGGCCUUCAAGUUUAUGUGGAAUUGCAGGGAACCUUUCAAAUUUUGUGCAAUAUUCAAGGUGGAGAGCUCGGAGGUUUUUCGACUUGAGCACAUUUGGAAAAAUACUAAGUUCAGAGCACUCCAUUAAAUUCAACACCUGUAACUUGUCAUGAUGUGCGACGGACUCGUGGGCCUCUACCAAGCUUUUGCAACUAUGGAGAUCCAAUUCCUCAAGAUUUGGAGUAAAUGAAAGGUCGGGCAUAUGAACCAACAACUUGCAGUUACUGAAAUUAAUGUACUUCAAAUUUUGGAAGCCCUGCAUACAACGAAUGUAACUUUGAUGAAUAUUCUAAAAGGGAAAAAAGGGGUGUUGUAUGAUGAUGUUACUUCCUUACAUUUAAACUGUGGAAUUCCCAUUUGAGAAUAGGUUGUUACUAAAGCAUAUUUGGUAUUGAUCUUGCAAGAAAUUAUUAUUUUUUUUAUUGUCAAUCAUAAAUGUUGAGCAAUUUGUUUAUUUAAUGGAAAUGUGAACUGCUACGGAGUCCACAAUAGGCCUAUGUAAGUUGUACAUAGAGGGGGAGUCAAACUCGUGAAAUGAUGGUAACUUGAUAUUGGAUGUCGUUCACAUUGUCCAUGGUUUUGAAUAUUGAUGAUUACUAACAUCAUAAUUUAUUUGUGGGGGUUUAGUUUAAUUGAGGGCUUUGAAAUUAGCUACACAACAAAUCGGGAAGAUUGGGUUUCUAAAGGAUAUGUCAUAAUUACAUAUCCUUGACUAUCAUAUAAUCUACAUUGACCUGGUGUUUAUGUCAUAAUUACAUAUGGUCAGGCUACAUCUGUGGCAUCCCGGAAUUUCAAAGCCAAGCCUUAAGGUGUGUUAAAUAUCUUUAAUUAGGUGGUAGAAUUUUAUGGCCUAUGCUUAAGCCAAUUUGCCCUUGUAUUUGAUGAAUUUUUGCUUGUGAUUGUGGAAAUUUAAAUUUAAUUAGUUAAUGCUUGACCAUAUGAUUUAAAUUUCAAUAAUUAGAAAUAUUCCAAGACUUUGGCCAAGAUGAAAUUUGAAUUUAGAAAUAUUUAUAGAAAGGAAUUCAAAAAAAAGGGAAAAAGGGAUAAAAUUCGAAAUGGGCCUUGGGCCCAUUAGCCUAAAGCUUGGUGGGCCAAGCUAGUCGGCCCAUUGGGCCCAAGAGAUGGCUGUCGACCAGCCCAAGAAGGAGUGGCCGGUUGGGCCUAAGCCCAAGCCCAAGCCCAAAUUGAAUUCAAAAAUUGAAAUUACAAGUGGCCAAAGGAAGAGCAUGCAUUGGCCAUAGGUGUGGUGGAUCAAUCAUUACUUAUGAUGAGCCUAGGGGAGUAUAAGAGGGAUGAAGAGAGAGAGAGUGACCGGUUUUUUUUUCUUCAUUUGGCCGAGAAAGGAGAGAGUGAGGGAGAUAAUUCGAGAGAGAGGAGAGGCCGAGAGAGAGGAGGCGGAGCCGAGAGGGAGGAGCCGCCGUGUCUCGCCGUCGCCGCCUUGUCCGACCGUCCUACGCCACCGUACGCCGUUGUUCGUUGCUGUUCGUUCAUCUUGGAGGCAAGUGGGGGUCCAUAACUUCUCUUGCAUGUUGUUUUGAUGGUUGCAUGUUCGGUUUUAGGGGUGUUUUGGGGCGAAAUACCAAGCAAGGGUUGCAUGUGUUCAUGUAAUGUGGCUGUUUCCGUUCGGUUUGUGGUAGACAGUUUCUUAUUCGAGCUUGCAUGUGUAUUUGGAGUGUGAUUUUGGCUUCGGUGUCUUCAUGAAAGUUGAAGCUAACAUCUUUUAGUAUGACAUACUCGAAUUUCAUGGAAAAAUAAGGUGAUAUGAGGGGUCAAAAGCUCUGUUAUACGGAGACUUCAGAUCUGCGAAUUUCCUACUGACCUCUUGAUGAUUUCUUGGUUGCAUGUUGAUUUCUGUUGGAGAUCUCACUUUGUUGUCUUCAUGGAAGUUGUAGGUAACAUCCUAAACUACAACAUACUCAAAUUUGAAGAGAAAUGAACAAGUAUAUCCUAGUUAAUCGGCUAGAUCUUUGAGACGUUUGGUUCUGUUGAAGUAUACCGAGACACCCGAGACUUCAAGGACUUAAAAGAGGAUCAUAAUUUGGUUAUUUAACCUAGAUCUCUUCAUGAAACUUGUAAAGGACACAUUGAUACAUAACAUACUCGAAUUUCAGAAGAAACGAAAGAGAUUUGAUGGGUCAAACCUAAGUUUUUCGGUGAUGUACGUUCUGGACGAAACGGUAGAGGUUCCAGAAGCUUCAUGGAGUUGUAUAAAUUAAUCUAAAAAUAAUUUGGCUUAGUGUUAUUCAUGAAAAAUGCACGAAAAUGUGUUGGCUAUCACUCUGUAAAAUUUGGGAAUUUUCGGAGGUCAUAUGAGUAUUUUAAUUGAAUUAAUUUGAAAACUGUGUAAUCUGGCCAUUAUCCGAAUAUUGUGUGUAUUUUGUGGAAAUUUGGGAAAUUAUAUGAAAUGCAAAUUUGGCCAUGAAUUUGUGUGAAAUUGUGAUUUUAAUUGUUUGUUUAAUGAUUGUUUGAAUAUUAUGAUUUUUGGAAAAUCAUAAAUAUUAAAUAAAAUAUUUAUGAAAAUAAAUAAAUAUAAUAAUAAAAUAAUAAUAAAAUAAAAUGUCGAUUAUUUUAUUGGCCAAGAGUUUUAUUGAGUUAUAAUGCAUUGUUAUAUGACAUGGGUGUAUGUAUGCACAUGAAUAUGAUGCAUUGUUAUAUGGCAUUGAUGCAUGUAUGAUUAUGAAUCAUGAUGCGUGUGUGUGAUUCAUAUGCCAUGAAAUAAUAAGAUGAAAAGGAUGAUAAAAAAUGGAAAGUGGUAUGUGAGUAAGAGGUUGUGGCGGAGGAUGUUGUCUGGUGGCCUGGUGGCGUAAUUCCAGAGAUUCCCUGGGAGUUUCAGGAUGCCCGGAAUGUGGGGGGCCGGAAGCCCUGUCGGAGGUCUUUGCCCGAAGGGAAUGCCUCGCGAUGCCAGGAUUUGGGUGCGAGAUGCCUGGCUAGAAGGGUAAAGGCCAGAAGUCCGAUUGUAUCUUGGAUACAUGCCCGGAGGUUCCUCGUGAUGCUAGUUGGGAUGCGAGAUGCCCGGAAUGUGGGGGGCCGGAUGCUCGGUUGUAUCUUGGAUACAUGCCCGGAGGUUUUUCUCACAUGAGAUGCGAGUGUAAAAUAUGAGAUGAAAUUGAUGAAUCGAGGAAGGGUGAUGUGGUGAUCAAAUUUAAAGAUAAAGAUGAAAAUUAACUCAUGGCAUGAUAUGGUAUGAUAUGCAUGAUGAUAUGCAUGAUGAUGGUGAUGAUGAUGUGAUAUGAUAUGAUGAUCACCCAUGGUAUGAUAUGCAUGACGAUGGUGAUGAUAUGUGAUAUGAUAUGAUGAUCACCCAUGGUAUGAUAUGCAUGACGAUGGUGAUGAUAUGUGAUGUGAUAUGAUGAUCACCCAUGGUAUGAUAUGCAUGAUGAUAUGCAUGAUGAUGGAGACGAUGAUGUGAUAUGAUAUGAUGAUCACCCAUGGUAUGAUAUGCAUGAUGAUAUGCAUGAUGAUGGAGAUGACGAUGUGAUAUGAUAUGAUGAUCACCCAUGGUAUGAUAUGCAUGAUGAUAUGCAUGAUGAUGGAGAUGAUGAUGUGAUAUGAUAUGAUGAUCACCCAUGGUAUGAUAUGCAUGAUGAUGAUGAUGAUGAUGAUAUGUGAUGUGAUAUGAUGAUCACCUAUGAUAAUAUAUGCAUGAUGAUGCAUGAUGAUGAUGUGUGAUGUGACAUGAUGAUCAUCCAUGGUAUGAUAUGCAUGAUGAAAUGCAUGAUGAUGACAAUGAUAUAUGAUAUGCCAUGAUGAUGAUGAUAUAUGAUGUGAUGAUGCAUGAUACGCAUGAUUACAAGGUAAGUGAUGCUUGCAACGUGUGAUGAUAUGCAUGAUGCAUUAGAAUGUUAUUGGAUUCCUUUACCUGCUUAGUAGUUGUACUCACCCAUUUUGGGGAAUAACAUUUCAGAUUAGUAGAUGGUGUAAGCGGUUGGAUAUGACCGCGAGGAGAAGGAUAGCAAAUGAGGGAACCUUUGGAUGCCGACACUGGUUGAUGGACCUUAAGCAUACGAUUGUGGGAGGAGAUGUCGGUCAUCUUUUGAAUUAUAGCCUAGUAUAGAAAACUAUGGCAUUUUGAUGUAUCGAUGAAUGAUGUCCAUCUAGGUUAAGUGAAUAAAAGUGUACGGCUUUUACUUAUAAAUGUUUAGUAGGUGUGCAUCGAUUUCUGAAUGUAGGGAAGGGAAUUGUUGGAGGUGCUUCCGUAUUUAAAUUGCGCAAGGGACCAAUCUAAAAGAUGUAAACCCCCAUGGUUGUAUGGACCCGCUGCAAUUGAAAUGGUAUCAGAGUGACAUGUUAUUAAGAAAUUAAGUGGUAAGCAAACUGUGGCGACCCAAAUCGGAUCGGGGGCCGUCGAGGGGUGUCACAACAUCACUCUUCAUGGGGAUGGAAACAAGAAGAUUCGACAGAUCAGACAACUUGCAACCUACUAUUCAGGUUUCUGAGUAAAUUUCCUAACCUACUUUAAACUAAUUCUGUGUGAAUUACUUAUUGAAUCGACAAAAAAAAAAAAAAAACUAGGCACUUAGAACCUUUACUGCUAUAUAUAUAUAUAUAUAUAUAAAGAUUAGAAUGAAUACCAUUAGAAAUCCCAAAUUAGUGUACAAAUUUACCAAAUUAAUUUUGGUCUUACAAAAAUUGUAUAUUGGUAUUACUGUGGCGGAUGGCCCUCACCAGCCAUGGCCUGUGGCUGAUGUCCAUGGCUGGUGUCUAGCCAUCGACAAAAAGAAAAAGGGAAAGUAAAUGGAAAUGAAAAAAAAAAUUGUUAAAUUUUUUUAAAAGUGUCCACUUGGAUAACAAUCAUGCCAUGUAGGACAACCAGUGUUCACGUUAGCAAUUUCCAUCAUAAAUCAACUAGAUGGACUAAAUUGAUAUAAAUGUGAAAAUGUUUAUAACUAAAUUGGUCUAAUUAUAAAGUUUAAAACUCAAUUAGUACCAAUACAAUAGGUUUAGGACUUUUUUUCGUACUUUUCCCCACAUUAUUGGAAAGUUCCUAAUAUAUAGUUUAUUAUGUCCAAUUAGAAUUACUACUGCUCAAGAAUUGAUAAGCAAUUAAAAAUACCUUGUUUUACAUAAUGGUGCAUUCAUAUUUUCGGCCAAGCUAAUUUUAUUGAUACUUGGCAAAUCCCACUGUUUAGAUUUGUGUAUUGAGUAAGGCUCCAUCACUUGAUCACUGCACAGCCUACCACUCAACCAGCUACUCCUUGAGUGUAUUUAUUUCCAUGUACAUGUCAACGGGUAGCUUCAUCACAUUUUUGUUUCCCUUUUAUUUGAUCACUAUACAAAUUUUCUGUAAAAUUAAAAAGUUUAUAUAUAAACAACCGACAGCAAAUUGCAUUUUAAUUUAUUCAUUAAGUAGAUUAGAUUUGAUUUAGAAUACAACUAUGUCUAUACUAUUAGGGAAAAAUGAUCUCCUUUUUAAAAAGAUUUCCAUCUUUUUUUUCUUAUUCUCCUUCCAUCAAAUAUCCAAGGAAUUUAUUAUUUUAUUUUUUAUCACAAAUAUUUCAAUCUUAAAAGUGAAAUUUUCUAAUGAUGCAAUGGCCUUCAUAAAAAAAUUUCAAAUCUUGAAAUAUCUUGCUGUUUUCACAUAUAUGUAUAAAACUUCUUUGUAAUGUGUGUUUUAUUAACAAAAUGCUUCCAUUGAAUCUCUUAUAAAGUUGUUCGCUAAUUUCUUUCAAAUGCUCAUUUUGCUGCACGUAAAAAUAUUUCUAACAUAAGUUGUUAAUUUUGAAAGAAAAUGCUCAUCGGGAAGACAUAUAGGACCUUGGAAAGAAUUAUGCACAUUGCGUAAGAUGAGCAAUCUUAACCUUCUCAUUUUUGUAAAAGCAUCAGGACUGAUACACAUAUUUGUCGGGUUAGGUAGCUCCAAAACUAUGGCUUUUACUGCACAAUUUCCCUGUAUAUACAAUACUAUUUUAAAUUAUGCAUUUUCAAUAAAUAGAGUUAAAAAUAGGGAGCAGAAUUUUGAUCGUAUUCACAAGUCUUACCAUGUCAUGUGACAGAACAUCGACAACAUCAUCAUAUAGCCAUAGUCUACUGCGUCUUCUAGGAUCAUCUCGACAGUCUUGAUUCACAAUUUCUAUACCCAUCGCUUGAAUCAAGUCAUGCACUCUUAGGAAUCCGUACCAAUCAAUGCUUAUCAAGGACCUCUCAAUGAGAAUUUCUAAUCCUAUUGUUGCCUCAAAGUCGCAACUAUCGAGUACUUUCUUUAUGUACUCACUAUCCUUUCCCUUAAAUAAGCAAACAAUGUGGAGAAAGAUCUCUCUCUCAUUGUCCUCUAGCCCAUCAUAACUUAUUUUGAGCACAUCAUUAAUGGAUUUGUGAGGAAUCCUGGAAAGCUUUUUUAGUGUACUUUCCCAUUCACAUUCUCUUCUACCACGCAAAAAGGAACCCAGCACCUCAAGUGCUAAAGGAAGGCCUCUUGCAUGAUUUAGAACACUAUCCACCAAAUUUAUCCUCAUUUCCAAUUUUUGGUAUAUUGGAAAAGCAUGACUGCUAAGUAGCUCACGAGCUUCGCUAUCAUUUAGUACUUCAACUUCAUAUACAUGAUGUAAAUCAAUCCCAGGACUAGUUAGCAUUCGUCUAUCUCUUGCAGUAAUAAUGAUCCUACUUCCAUUGCCAAACCACUUGUCUUCUCCUGCUAAGGCAUUUAAUUGGUGCAAGUCAUCCACAUCAUCUAAGAUGAUGAGAACUUUUUUGCAGCAAAGUCUAUGGUGUAUUAUAUUAAUACCUUCAUCAACAUUGGACACUUCUAACCUUUGUUGUAGUGAUAAUAUAUCUUUCAAUAAUUUCUCUUGCAGAGUAACUAGACCCAUGCGACCUUUAGAUGUUUCUCGAACAUUUGCCAAAAAACAUGAACCCUCAAAUUGUCUAAAAGUAGCAUUGUAAAGGGCUUUUGCUAAAGUUGUCUUGCCUAUGCCUCCCGGUCCCCAUAAUCCCACCAUGACAACAUCAUCAUCAGAGUCAACGUUUAACAUCGAUUUCAACUUAAUCACUUGGGUAUCUAUCCCAACUGGAUGCUUAGCAAUGUGUAAAGGUGUUCGAUCUAGGUGAGUGGAGAUGUCAUUCACAAUUCUUUGUAUAAGCUUUGACUCAUCUCUGACAAAAAUGGAAAAAAAGAAGUUGUAGUAUUGUUUUAGCAAUUUGAACAAGCAAAUAACGAACGGUCACCAACCAAUAAUGAAAAAGGAGUGCGUCACAUUUUUACAUAAUCACAGCCAAGAAAAAAUUUGUUCCCACCAAGUCAGAAUUAGAACUCCAAGAGCUCCACACCAAUCCAAACAAGUUCAGGGUUCAACUUUUAGUCAUCCAAGUGAUCGAUGUUCAUUUGAUUAUACAUGACAAUUUACUUAUUUUUCCUUUUGACUAUUCUUUGUGAUUCAUCCACAUGCUUAAUCAAAAAGAGCUUUUUAGGACUUUGAACGGUAGUUACGGUUUCAAUUCGAAAACUGGUAAAUACUGGAAGCACGAUGCCAUUGCCUUACAUGGCAUGUGCACACUAAUUAUCUCGUAUCAAGCAUUGAGAAUUGUCUUACUCCUUCCAUAGAAAUUGGUAAGUGCAAUAACAUUACUUAUUGGUCGAUCAAGUUUUAACAUUUUAUACUUUCAAUCAUGUGUGUGUCGAUUUAUUUACUCUUUUCUACUAUUUUCUACAAGCAGUCUUUAAACUUGUAAAUAAUACUUUCUUACACAAAAUCUGAACUCCACUCAACUUAUCCAUCAUUUAGAUGCCACCCAGACAAGCUACCAGCAUCAAGAAGCGCUUUCUUCCAUAUUUUCACUUUCUCCGAAUUCUUCCCGAACUUGGACUCAUGCUUUGUCAGAGCUCUCCCAUAACUCUCUCUCCCCCCUCUAACUGCUCUUGGGUCCACUUUGUAAAACACUGGUAGAACGAUAAGGUCCUUUUGCUCCUUGCACUCCAUGAGCUUUGCCAACUCUUCCAAGCACCAUUGCGAGGAAGCAUAAUCCUCUGAGAAAAUGAUGAUUGCAACACACGAUUGCUUGAUGGCCUUCAUAAGUGCCGGUGAUAUUUGGUCUCCCUUCCGCAGUUCCUCGCUAUCAACAAAAGUAGAUAUUCCAUUCUGGUUUAAAGCUUUGUAGAGAUGACCAAGGAAGUUAUUGCGCACGUUCGUGCCUCUAAAACUCAAGAAGACAUCGUGAAUCCUUUUGGGUUUUGAUGAAGAAGCCAUUGGAUGAUGGAGUUCAAUAGUCACAACUACUAUUAAGUUAAGAUUUGGUAUUGUUGAAAUAAUCGGCGUCGCAGCGGAAGCGGAUCACAUAUUUUGCAAUUAUGUCGGAAGCUAUAGAAAUCGAUUGAAAUAAAACGAGAAACAAUAAACGGACAAGGACACCAGAAAUUUACGUGGUUCAGUCCGAAUGUCGGAACCUACGUCCACGGAGAGAGCCAGCAAAUCAAUUCACUAUAAAUCGGAGAAUUAAGGAUUAUAAUCACACAUGCACUCAAGUGUUUCCCAGCCCUACUAUAUACCCGAUACCUACAGUGUUUAACAAAAACAACUCACUGGACUCGUAUCCGCACAACCUCUCGGAGCUCUCUCACACUCUCUCGAGCUCCCCUUUUGUCUCGCUCUCUGCCGAGCUCUAUCCUUUCGCUCCUUGCCUCGUCCUCCGAAGCUCUCGCUCCUUUUAUCGGUGGCAUGAAGAAAACAAAUCAAUAUUGUACUCCAGAGUUGUCAGAAUGGCGCCGAUCUGCAAAGCAAGCGCCUCCAAGCAAUUAAUGAGAUGUGUGCGCGUGUGACCAUGCGAAGGAGAAUAGCUUCUGCCAUCUCUCUUUCUUUAUUCUGCCAUCCCUCUUUCUUUAUCAAUAAAAAACAAAAGAAGCCCACAAAAGAGAAACCGUGAGAGAGGGAAUUCGGCGCCUACAAGUGCUGACCAACUUUAUUCUUCUACAAGCAUGCAUGCACAUGGCCAUGUGCAUGCAUUUAAUGAUGUAGAAGAAUUGGACGAUCACCCCUUCAGAUUUCAUGCUGACAAAUGAGAAGAAUCCCAUGGAUUGAAGAAUUUAUUUCCAACGCGAAGCGCAGAUCAUGGGCGGGAUUUCUUCGGCUCCUAUCCUGCGCCAUUUUUCAUCAAAUGCUCGGCGCACGUUCUUUCUUGUUUCAGCAUGUAAAUAUUUUGUACGGAUCGGGUAUCGUACACGGACACAAACUCGAGACAUAAUUUAACAGGUAUGAUGUUUUCAGGCAGUUCGUUUACCACUUGAUUUUUGUUGAUUUAUUCUUAUACUAAUAGGACAGAGAUGCAAGACUUUCAUUAGUACUUUGGUAAAAGGUGAUGCUUAAGGAUGGACCAUGACAUCUAAAGGUGUGAACAUUUGGAUUUAUUUUCGCGGAAUACCGCGUACCACCAUAUUAUUCGGAAUCUGAUGGAAACACGCUUCUCUGGGGCCGACAAAAAGUUUUGAAUAAUAUAGAUCGGUACUGGUCCUAGUGAAUUCUCACGUUCUAGUCAAGGGCUCGCUGAUAAAAUCGAGAAGUUGUUUUUUCUUUGCUAUACAAUAAUUACCACAUGACCACCCAAGGGAUAUAUAACAUGCACCAUCAAGGGUACCGGCAAAAAAUAAUAUUUGAUCUAGAACUUUGGAAAAUAUGGUACUUAAGUGUGGGCGAAGAUAUGUAAUAGGUGUGAAAACGUGGACUUAUUUUCACCACUGUGUUAUUUCGGUGCUCUGAUUGACAGAAGCUUCUUUGAGGCCGUCUAAAGUAGUGGAGAAACAACUCUAAGGUGGUAGGUUCUUGUAAUCUGAUCAUAGACUCACUAAUCAGAAAAACUUUGCUGGCUUCCUCGAGAUGGGAUCCUCAACCUCUAAGUGGUUUCUUCUUUACUGAAUAAGAAGUCAAUACAUGACUUCUCAACGACAUAUAAUAUGCAUGACAACGAUACUUUCUAAUAGUCAGAUAAUCACAACAUUCCUAACAAAUGUCAAAGGAGCCCGUUCUGGAAAGUUUAUACGUCUAAUGCAAAAUUUUUUGCUUAGAGACUUUUCAUUCAUUUCAUGAGACAACUAAGAGUCAAAUUCGUUUGUAACGGUGUGAUUGGAUCCUUAAACAAAAACAUUUGCUUGGCUUAGUUCUACACUCACAUCUUUUAUUAAAUAUCUUUGCAUUCAAACAAUAGACACAUUUAUGUUUAGGCACAAUGCAUUCAAAUUAAACAAAGCUCGUUUGCGUCGAAUAAAAUAGGGGCUCGACUACGAACUUCUUCAUUUUAAUUGGCCCAAUGGACGGCUCGACAUGCGAGACAAAUUAAUAUUCACAACUCCAAAUUCGUGGUAGUUUGCUUCAAUUUCAUGAUAGCACAAUUGGACACAGCUCGCAGGAGAUGGUCUAUAACUCCAAGAUAGUGGGAUUAGAUAUGAUUCCAAGAUACCGGCAUUGGUCCUAACUGCUUGCUGUGGAGUUUGAUAUGAUUCGGACAAAGUGUAUCACGAUUUCGAGAAUUGUGGAAGUUUGGAUUAAACAGUUUCAAUAUGAGGAUUAGAUGAGUCAAGGCCGGCCAAGAGAGGGGACUGUGAUGAGAAAACAACCGGUCUUUAAAGAGGAAUUUUUAAGGAGCAAAAUACGGUCAAAAGAUUUUGACUACACAAAAAUCAAACAAAGUCAAACACUCGUAUGCUUCGUCCAUGGUCUGGAGUUCGAUGGCCAAAUAGACAGAGCAAACAAGGCGAUCUGGCGUUUGAAAAGAUCGAUUGGGUCAAGUGAGCUGGCCGGGGAUGAGAGAAGAGGGGGAAAGCAGAAAGCGGGUCAUGUGGUGAUUGAUUAAGGAAAAUUUGUCCGUGAGUUUUGGAGAUAGAAUGCGAAAAGGAUUCGGUGGUUCUUUUUUGAAAAGAGAGAAGAGAUGGGGACUCAUUAAAAAAGUAAAACCAAUCGUGAGCUUUCAAGGAGGGAUGGCUUUCGGUGGCAAAAAAGGAGACUCCGGUGAGAGUUGGAAAGUUAUGAGAAAUAGGCAAGAUUAGAAAGCGGCAAGCGGAAAAAAAAGCUUGAAAGUAAAAAAGGUGCAGAUUUCGUUUCUCACACUAUUUUUAUAUGAAAUUCGCUGUCUUAAUCCCCUUCACAUGAACUUGUCUAGGGAAGAAUCAAGUUGCCUAGUCGUUUCCUUUGCAUGAUGGUAUUGGACUGAGCAUGCUUCGUCCAUGGUCUGCCCUUGAAGUGUUCCUGAGUCACCUCGCCGUUCUAGUUGUGUUAGAUUUGCUUUUACAUUAAAUUCAGUAUGUGUGUAGUUACUUAUUUGUGGUUUUUGGAAAUAUUCUGAUGGUCGUUUUUACAUAGUGUUGGCCUUUUACCUACGCCUUCACCCACCCAAAAAGAUUGGAUCUUUUUGCCGUUUUGGUCAUGCAUAUAGCUUUACUCAUUCAUAAGCAUUAAUUGGCUCUUAUUUUAUUCACAAGCACUAAGAUUAAAUCAUGUUAGUAAUGAAAAGAAAUCGUAAAUAUAUAAUAAAAAAAUCUAGAUGGCAUAUUAGAUGAUUAUUGCAUCACAAGAUUAGUUAAUUCAUAAUAAAUCCAAAAUUAGUUAUUUGCGCAUCAUGCAUCGUCAACAUAUUUCCCAUCAAAAUUAAUUAUUUACCCGAACUUGCAUGUUAUGCGAUAGUUUAUGUUUUUGAUGUUUGGAUACGUACUAGAUUCUUCCUCGUGAUUUGAUUUGCUUGUCAUUUUGCACCUAUUAGAAUAUGGAUGUUUGGUUAGAUAUUUUGAUUAGAUUUACUUCUUCAUUUUUUUUUAUUAGAGACGUAUGCAUCCAAUUCAUGCAUGAUGUUAUAAUUGAAUUCACUUCUUCUUUUUUUAUUGGAAUCGUAUGCAUUGGAUUAAUUGCAUCCUGACUGAGUUCGCAUUUGUAUAGAUUCGCCCAUAUUUGUUUGAUUCAAAUGCACUGGACUCGUUUAUUGCAAUUUUUUCCUUGAAAGAGCACAGAUCACACACGACACGAUUAGUCCAGCCUUUAUUCAUCCCGUGACGAGGUGAUUUCACCUGAGAGCGAGUACCAAAGGUUUUGAUGUUCUAAACAUAAAAGGAAAACUAUACUUGAACUACAUUAGAAAUCUCAUCACAUAAGAAUGUGUAAUCGAAAUGGUGAUGUGGAAGGUGCUUCCCCUUUUUGGCACGUGAUUAAACACUCCGACCUUAAAUUUUUUAUUAUCGCUUUAUAGUAUAUUUUACUUUUCUGUUUGCGAUUGAUCUAAAAAAUGAUUGGUGACAACUCUUAAAACAAUUUAAGAAUUUGGAUCGCAGUGACUUACCCCGACCUGGGGAGGGAAGAACAUAGAUGCUUAGACUUUGGGUGGAACUAUCGCACAACUUGUCUGAAAAUAACUUUUCCUUUUGAAAAAUCCUCGAGGAACACGCUAUAAUUAUAUCAUAUGUUUUAUAAAAAUUUUGAUUUCAUGUACAUUAAAUUUGUCUGGUCAUUAAAGGAGGCAUGACUAAUUGAAGGAUUUUAAAUAUUUUUUGCUAAAGAGUGAGGAUAUUCACGAUGAGGCCUGGAUCCAGGUCUGGUGCUUAUGGCAGUGCAAAACUAGAGCGUUAGAUCUUUUUCUUUUUCAUUGUUAGACGAGUUCCACUAGAAAAAAAUUGACUGACAAAUUGCAUAAUCAGUUUCGAACUUGCGAUAGUGAUAAAAUUUUUAAUGUAAACAUAAAAGGCUUUGGUUUAACUUUAAGAAGUGUUUUAUAUAAAAAAAAAUAGACAUAUGAGAACGAAAAAAUUAAAUAUCGUCCACAUCAACAUUAGUGAUACUACCAGCGAUCACGUUAGCAAUUCCGAAUCAAAAUUUGCUGGAAUGAUUCAAUCGGUAAAUCAUCCAAAAAUUUAAGACUAAAUUGAUCAAAAAAAAAAUUUAAAAAAUUAGACUGAAUUGUUACAAGUAAAAUAUGUUUAGAACUUUUUUGGCAAUUUUCUUUUUAAUUUUUGUCUAGUUCUAUCCUACCCUAUAUCUAUUUUACAAGCCACAAUAUGUAUUAUAUGUUGUGCAUAGGUUGCGAAACCAUGCUCCCUCACUUAUGCGUCUCCACCCGAGCCCCUAAGAAUGUGGAGAAUCAAACUCUCUAUCUGACCUCUUCUAAGUGAGAAGGGUGACUAGUAGGGCAAUCCCAAUGACAUACUUGGCAACAUUGUGUUUUCAGUGACAACUAUUACCGAUUGAUCCCUCUCUUUUUCUUUUAUUUUUUCCCCCUUUUCUUUCCUUUCUCUUUUUUUUUUCCUUAUUUCCCUUCGCUAGUCAACUGCCUUUGUGAUGGCCGGCGAAGGUUGCCAAUCACCAAUGAGGGCGAGGGUUGUGCAAGGCCACCCCUUGCCAGAUCCUACAAGGGGACCCUCACCCAGCCCUCCCCAGAGACUAGUGAGCUAGGAAACACCAACACUCUCUAGGAGUCUUCAUGUCAUAUCUGACACUUUGAGACACUCCGAUAGGUAGUCAAUGAGUAUUGAAAAAUUCGACAUGUGGUCAACUCUCUCCAACACGCUCCAACAUACAAAUUCAAAAUUCUGACACUUGAUUCCAAUAUGCACGAGGUCAAUUUUAAAAAAUUUUAAUAUUUGAGAGGUCAAAAUGUGAAUAUACAAAAAAAGAAAAAAAAAAAAAAACAGGGCUGGUAGCUGAGAUCCACUGCCGCUGCCGCUGUAAAAGAGGAGGCCAGUGAGGCGGAGGGGGGGGCGGCCCUUGUCGGCCUAGGCGAGACCAUUGUCGGCUAGGCAAGGACUAGUGAGGCUCGCCCAAAUCUGGGCAAUGCCUUGGCGGAGGCUCGGUUGAGGCUUGCCUAGAUUUGGGCGACGCCAAACCCUCACUCGGGCCUAAUGAAGGUCGCUGGCCCUCACUUGGGGCCGGCGAGGCCUCGCCUAGUGCUAGGGAGGUUCGCUAGCCACAGGCAAUGGCCGACAUCGCUCAGAUCUAGGUGAGCCUUGCCCAUGCCUCACCUAGGCAGGUGAGGGUUGCCCCCCCUUUGCCAUUACCUCAUCAACUCCCUCCAAUGAUGGCUAGGCAAGCCGCUAACAGGGCUAAUGGCAAUAGCAGUGGCAUGCCCAAGCCCAGCCACGACCAUGCCUCUCUCUCUCUCUUCUUCUUUUUUUUUUAGUUUUUUAAAAAAAUUAUUUUAGCUUUUUCAAAAGUUUCUUACCAUGAAAAAAAUAAUAAAAAAUUCCCACAUAGGAUAAAUAAAUAAUUUUAAAAAUACCACUUAAGCAUUUUCCUUUAAACAAUGUUUUUUUCCCUCCAAGUUUUAUGUAUUAUUGUAAUGGAGUGCAGUUGAAUUUAUCAAAUUAAAAUAAUGAAUGAUAUUAAUAAAUUUUGAAUUAAUAUUUUUAGUGUAAAUUAAUUCUAUGCUCUUUUUAUUAUUUAUUUAUUUAUUUAUUUAUUUAUUUAUAUAUAAAAAUAUAUUUAAUAUAUAAUGUGUUGGAACGUGUUGGAAUUAUCUAUUUUUGAAAAAUGAUGUGUCGAAGUAUUGUGUUAUGUUGUGUCGUGUGUUACGUGCCCACGUCAGUGCUACAUAAUUGGUAAGGACCAUCACAUUUUUCAAUAGAUUCUAAUAUGCAUGACUUUCUUAAAUUACCGUACUUUUUUCAAUCAUGCAUUAGUUUCCCCAUUUCUGUCCGCCAUUUCCGUGAAAAGCUUGGUCCGUGAUGAAUGAUCGCCACUAUCACUUUUGGAAUGAGGCAUACAUUUAUUCAUCUUUCUCCGCUAACUAGACAAAGAAAAAGAUUUUUCAAGUAACUACUUGGGUCAAUCCCCCCCCUCCCCCAAAAAAAAAAUCCAAACUUUAGGUCUAAUCUCAAAUCCACCUUGAAUUUUUUUUUUUGGUAAGUUACCCUGAAUUUUUUUUGUCUAAAAAAAAAAACAAACUUUAGGUUUAGUCCAAAAUCUUCCCCGAACUUUUCUUUUGUCUUAGAAAAACACUAAACUUUGUUUUGUCUAAAAAAGGGUUAAUAUCACCAAAAACUUCAAAUUGAUAUAUAUGUGACAAAUUUACCCCCAAACUAAUUUUUUGACCACGAAAAAUCCCAAACUUGUACACUUGUAACAAAUUUAUCCAAAGCUAAUUUUUUAACCACGAAAAAUCUCAAACUGAUAUGCAUAUGACAAAUUUACUCUCUGUUAAUUUUUUUUAAAUUUUACUGUCAAAUUGAUGAGUUAUAUGGCAUGUGAUAAUUGACGGGUAUACCAAUUUGGGGUUUUACCUUUCAUUUGUACAAAAAAAAAAAAGAACCUUUAAUCUAUUUUCAAAUCUACCCUUGCGGUCCAGUGCCAACUUAAUGUGGCAUUUCCACAUCAAUAAUAAACACACAUUGGCAAGGCGAUAUGGAAAAUUAUCUUCAAAAUAAAAUUGUUCUAGGAUAUAAAAUAUUAGGGACUACUAACCAUGACUUUUGGACAGAAAGCUAACACGAGCAAAUUUAGGACUAAAAUAAAAAUUGAUGAUUUUUCUAUUCAACAAAAAAAAAAAAAUUGGGGUAGAUAUGGGAUUGAACCUAUCGUUUGGGAGUUUUUCUGAGACAAAAGAAAAGUUCGAUGCGGAUUUGGGACUAGACCUAUAUUUGAGAUUUUUUAAGAAACAAAAAAAAAAGUUCAUAAUAGAUUUGAGAUUAGACCUAAAGUUUGAAUUUUUUUUUUUAAUUUUUGGGAAUUAGCCCAUAACUGCUUGUAAUUCUUUACCAUUGUGAAGAGAAACCCCUGCUAUAACAGCUUAGAUGAGUUCAUGUGUUUAGAAUCUAUUUCUUUUUUAUUUUUUUAUUUUUUUGUGAAAUGUUAGUCAUGGUGGAGAGAUUUGUUAAUUGACAAAUUCUAGGCAUUUCCUCACUAGCAUGAUCAAGAAUGUGACGUUAUGCCCUUCUAACUUGUAAGGUACUCGGUCUUAGUACUCCCCUAUUCGCAGCUUCAGCUUGAUUUGGAUGGCCGGUACGAUGAUGAAGAGGAACUGUAUUGUGUCAGAAAACAAAGAAUCCGAGUAUUUGGCGAGCAGCUUGGGAGUGUUGAGAUUGUUGGUUUCAAUGCUACAUGUGUCUGAAGCUGAAGCAGUAGCAUUUUUUGGUUGAAUUUCUUCUUCGUAGUUCACGUGCCUUGAAGAAGAUGGCAAUUGAGGCUAAGAUGCACAAAGCUAAGAAAUGGAUAUAUUCGAAGUCAGUUGAUCACCGAAAAUUUGCUUGAAGUGGCACGAGGUUUAUACUUGGUUGUCCUUUGUCGCGAGCAUUGGAAGUAAUGGCAAAGUCUCAUCAGUAUUAUUAAAUUAUGUCUCGAGUUUGAACAUUUACACAACGCGAUUCGCUUGACUCCUUAAAGCUGCACAAAUGAGGAAAUAAUUAAAAAAUGAAUUUUUUCCCUUUGGAGUGAAGCUGCCGAAGCCCCCUGCACGUAAAGAUUGGUUAAUUGGUGGGGCCCAAGGUCAAACUUUUGACCUUGGGCACACACACGUAUUUCACGCGUGGGUUUCUUUUACUCGAUCAAGAAACGAAAAGAAGCGUCAAUACGUGGAAACAAAAUAGGUAGGCCCAGGUCAAAGUUUUGACCUUUUGGGCACACAUAUACAUUCUUUUCGUGCGAGCGUGGACGGUGGAAAAACCCCACGAACCUGCACGUCUAACGAACUUUGAAGGCGCAAGCCAUGAGAAGCUUUGAAGAGAUACACGAAGCCAUACGUACGCGAACCAAAUACAAACACUGGAGUUCUUGAUUUUGGUGUAUCUAGAGCAUUUUGUUUAAAGCUUGAACACACGGUAAUUUUGUGCCGUGAGUUUAUAUCUAAGUGAGUUGUUUAUUUAUAAACACUUUGAGUUUGGGGUUAAAUCUAGGUGUGGGAAACACUUGAGCAUGUGAGUAAUUGUAAACUUUGAUUAUCCGAUUAUAGUGGAUUAUUUGCUGCUGACUUUCCCUGUGGAUGUAGGUAUCGAUACUCUGACCAAACAACAUAAAUUUAUGAUGUCCUUAUUAUUUCUUGUUUAUUUCUUUAGCGAUUUCGCAUUGACGUAAUUUGCAAGAUCUCGUCGUUUCCGUAUAUUAUAUUCCAACAAUUGGUAUCAGAGCUUGGAUUAGAUUUCUUGAUUGUAAUUUGAAACUUUUGCUUGUCUGAUUAUUAUAUGGAAAUUCUGUUAUUGCAAUUAUGUUUGAGAGAAAAUGUAAAAUUAAGAAGUUUAAUGGGAGCAACAACUUUGUGUUAGGAGCAUCAAGAUGCGGGCAUUAUUGACAACCCAAGAUUUGGCCAAGGCACUGGAUGGUGAAGAUGAACUACCUAUUAUAAUGAAAGCCUCAAAGAGGGUAGAGCUAAUGGAAAGAGCAAAUAGUACAAUCCUGUUAAAUUUGUCGAAUGAAGUCUUAAUAAAGGUUGCUGAGUAGAAGGAUACCACAUCAUUAUGGGCAAAACUUCAAGCACUCUAUGUGAAGAAAGGUUUGAACAAUCGCUUGUACAUGUUGAAGAAUAUGUUUCAAUUUGGAUAUACUGAAGGUGCGUCUAUCAGAACCCACCUAGAUGAAUUUAAUAAACUCAUGAUGGAUCUGAAGAAUGUCGGUAAGAUACUUGAUGAUGAAAAAUAAGGCAUGAUGUUAUUAGCCUCUUUACCAGAGUCAUGGGAGCACUUUACUGAUUCACUAUUGCAGGGGCAUACUACAAAGUUCGUCUUAUUCUCUAAAGAGUAGCAGAGAAAGUUGCGAGAUGACGGUUUGGUACAAGGAGUAACGCAAGUACUGACUAUUUGAGGUAGAAAACAACAUCGAGGGUCUAAUAGCAGCAGAGGUAAAAGCAUAUCGAAAGCACGCCAUAGAAAGUCCAAGGAAUGCAUAAAGUGCUUUGAGUGUCACGAGGAGGGGCAAAUCAGGAGAGAUUGUCCAAAGUGGAAGAAUAAAGUUAAUAGGCAGAAUGCCAUAAACAGUGUAGCAAACAUUGCCGAGGGGAGCAAUAAGGAUGCAGAAGUUGUUUUAUGUGCAACUACUACUUCGUCAUGAGACAAAUGGGUGCUAGAUUCGAGGUGUUCUUAUCACAUGACGUCUCAUAAGAACUAGUUUACUACUUACCAGACUGCAUAUGGUGGUAGAGUUCUUUUUAGAAAUAAUGCAAUCUAUAAGGUUGUCGGGAUAGGGACAAUUCGAAUUCAGAUGCACGAUGGGGUGGUUCGCACAAUGAUAGAUGUGAGGCAUGUACCAGAGCUCAAGAAUAAUCUUAUUUCUUUGGGGACACUCGAUGACAUCGGAUGUAGGUACACCACUGAAGGUGCAGUACUAAAGAUCUCUCGAGGUGCCAUGACGGUGAUGAAGAAGAAGAAGAAAGUGAAUACUCUCUAUCAUCUACUAGGAGAGACUGUGACUGGAACACUACAGUUUCAUCAGGUGAGUCAGACUCUAACUUAACUCAAUUAUGGCAUAUGUGUUUGGGGCACAUGAGUGAGGUAGAUAUGACGUUGUUGAGUGAAAGAGGAUUGUUGAAGGGUCAAAAGACAGGAAAGAUAGACUUAUGUGAGUAGUACAUCUUUGGAAAGUAGCACAUAAUUAAGUUUACUACAGUUAUUCAUUCAACCAAACGACCAGUUGAAUAUAUUCAAACAGAUGUCUAGGGCCUGUCUUUGGUUCCUUCGAAGGGAGGUGCCCGAUAUAUGUUAAUAUUUAUCAACGAUUAUUCAAGGAAGGUAUGUGUAUACUUUCUGAAGCAUAAAUAUGAUGUGUUUGAUCGAUUCAAGAAAUUUAAGGCAUUGAUUAAGAAACAGUUAAAUAAACAAAUCAAGUGCCUGAGAAUCGAUAAUGACAUGGAAUUCUAUAGUAAAGAUUUUACAGAGUUCUGCGAGAAAUAAGGUGUUAUGAGACGCUGCACAAUACCUGGGACACCACAGUAGAAUGGUGUGGCAAAAUAGAAGAACAGAACUUUGCUUGAGCGAGUUUGAGGCAUGCUUUCGCCAUGCAGGACCGAAGUAAUGAACAUGGCAUGUUACCUGGUUAAUCGAUCUCUAUCAUCUUCUAUCGAGUGGAAAACUCUUGAGGAAGUAUGAUUGGGGAAACUUGUUGAUUAUUCCAGAUUACAUAUAUUUAGAUGUCUUACGUAUGCUCAUGCGAGUGAUGGUAAGCUUGAGCCGAGGGCGAAGAAGUACAUAUUUCUGAGUUAUGCAUAUGGGGUGAAAGGCUACCGGCUAUAAUGCACUUAUCCUAGAUCACCCGGUUUUCUAAUCAGUAGAGAUGUGAUCUUCGAUGAGACUGCAAUGCUUCAACAGACGAGUUCUGAGACACAACCAGCGGAGAAGACAGAUCAUAAUGUCAUUAGUAAGGUGAAGCUUCAGGUGGAGAUUCCGGAGAUCUCGAAGGUAACAGAAGUUGAGACUACAGAUGAAGCCAUAAUUCCUAAAGUCGAUGAUAUUGAACAGCUAGCAAAGCCGCAGCACAUUAUAGCAUCAGAUAGAGAAGGCAAAUUAAAUCGCCGGUACGUUAUGGUUAUACAGAUAUUAUUUAUACAUUGAUUGUAGGUGAUGAGGUGGAAACAGAUGAGCAUUCGUCUUACUCUAAGGCGAUGGCUAGUUCGGAGUUAUCACAGUGGCUAGGGGCUAUAAGUGAAGAGAUUGAAUCACUCCAUCGAAAUCAGACAUGGGAGCUGGUCAAAGUACCCAAGAGCCAAAAGAUUGCAGAAGUAAAUGGGUCUUCAAACGGAAAGAGAGCAUUCCCAGUGUCGAGGCAACGAGGUAUAAGGUGAGACUUGUGGCGAAGGGGUAUACACAGUGUGAGGGCAUUGACUACAAUGAUGUAUUCUCUCAUGUGGUAAGGCAUAUUUCAAUUCAUGUUUUACUUACCUUAGUUGCUUCGCAGGAUCUUGAGUUAGAGUAGCUGGAUGCGAAAACAUCGUUUCUUCAUGAUGAGUUGGAGGAGCAAAUUUACAUGAGGCAACUAGAGGGAUUUACUAUUUCGGGUAAGGAAGAUCAUAUUUGCUUGUUAAAAAAAUCUUUGUAUGGGCUGAAACAGUCUCCUAGGCAAUUGUAUAAACGUUUUGAUGCUUUCAUGGCUAGUCAAGACUACACAAAAAGUUAGAUGGAUAGCUAUGUCUACUUUAGGAGAUUAGAGAAUGGUUAUUUGAUUUAUCUACUCUUAUAUGUUGAUGAUAUGGUAAUAGCCACUAAGAACAUGUCUGAUAUUGAUGUGCUGAAGAAACGGUUAAAUGCUGAAUUUUAGAUGAAAGAAAUAGGUGCUACAAAGAAAAAAUGGGUAGUUUUAUGUCUAUCUCAAAAUAAAUACAUUGAGAAGAUUGUGGCACGUUUUAAUAUGCAUUCAGCAAAAUCUAUAAGUACACCUUUAACGAGGUACUUUCAACUUUCAGAUAAAUUAUCACCAUAGACUGAGGAGGAGGAGGAGCAUAUGUCCUAUGUGCACUAGGCCUGAUAUUUCACAAGCUGUGAACGUGGUUAGUCGCUGUAUGAAGCGUUCUAGUAAAGCUCAUUGGAAAGCUAUGAAGUGGAUCCUCAGAUAUUUAAAGGGAACAAUAGACGUGAGUAUAGUGUAUCGGAGGGACAUCAAUAGCACUAGUGGGACCACUGGUUUUGUGGAUUCGGAUCACGCUGAUGACUUGGAUGAUCGCAGAUCUUUAGCAUGGUAUGUGUUUACUCUAGCAAAUGGUGCAGUUAGUUGGAAAGCGUCCUUACAGGAUCACAUUGCCUUGUUUUCAACCAAGGUAGAGUACAUGGCAUUAACCUUUGUAGCGAAGGAGGCGAUAUGGUUACAAAGUUUGCUCUCGAAUUUUGGGUUAGAAUAGAAAAGUGUGGAUAUACACUGUGAUAAUCAAGGUGUGAUAUAUUUGGUAUAUAAUCCAGUUUAUCACAAGUGAACGAAGCAUAUCAACAUCAAGUACCACUUUAUCAGAGAUGUUUUAGUUAAGAGUAAUGUUAUUGUUAAAAAGAUUGUUACAGCAGAUAACCUGACAGACAUAAUGACUAAGUCUGUUCCUUUGGUAAAGCUCAAACUCUGCUUGAGCUCUAUUGGCGUCAGUGGAGAGUGAGCGCUCGUCGGGGUAUUGGGAGAGCAGCAUGGAUAAUGAGCACCAUAACUUGGCUUUAAACAUCGAGCCAAAGUGGAGAAUUGUUAAAUUAUGUCUCGAGUUUGAGCGUUUAUAAAAUGCGAUUUGCUGGACUCCUUAAAGCUGCACAAAGAAUGAAAUAAUUAAAAAAUGAAAUUGUCCCCUUUGGGGUGAAGCUGCCGAAGCCCCCUACACGUAGAUUCCCACUGCAAGUGAAGAUUGGUUAAUUGGUGGGGCCCAAGGUCAAGCACACACGCGUAUUUCAUGCGUGGGUUUCUUUUACUUGAUCAAGAAACAAAAAGAAGUGUAUGUAUGUGGAAACAAAAUAGGGGGGGGGGGUGGCGGGGCUGGAGCAGAGGGAGAUUGAGGAGUUUCGGGAACACUCAUCGGAUUCCUCACGAGGGUGGAAAGGCUUAUAGAAGGUAUGCCAAAAGGGACUAUGUUCCCGAACCUCUGCACGAAGCCACUGACCAUAAAACAUAGUAUCCUUUCCUUCCAUUUUACUUUCAUUGAAAGGGAAUUCUUUGCAAUACAUUGCGUAGUGGCCUUGCUUUCCACAAGAAUAACAGUAGUGAGACAGCUUUUCAUAUCGAAAGUCUAGCCAAAUAGUCUUCCCUUCCAAUCUGAGUAGUUGACCUGUUUUGAGCGGCUGUUGCAGGUUAAUCUCAACUCGAGCCUUUCCUGCUUUUAAGAGAUGUUCCAUCCUUAUGCUCUAUUUUAACCUCUAACACCCUACCCACAUGUCGCACCGCUUGACUAAUCAUAGAGUCAGUACAUCAUUCUAGGGGAAGGCCAAAAACUUGAAUCCAAAAAGCGCAGGUAUUAAAAUCAUAGCAGUGCAAAGGUGUAUUUGGUACCCAGGGCUUUAAAAUGACCAGAUGAUUUGCAAACAGCCACAGUCCAUUCUCUGAUGCAUGUUCCGAGUAACAUCAGACCAUUUCCAAACUUUCAAACUAGUAAGUGAAACUAGUGCAUCAAUUGAAGUAGAUGUAAGACAAAUUCCACAUAUGUUAUCAUUUUCUUGAAACAAAAAAGGAUAAGGUAGCCCACAGAAGUAUUUUAACAAGGCUGACUAUUUCUAGUUAAGCUCCAAACAAAAAUGGGCAGGGAAAGAACUAUUUCAGCAAAAAGAAUGCAGCUUUACCCGUAUCAACAUUCAAGGAAAAGAAACAGUAAAUCCGUGGUUCAUAAUUCUGAACAAGCAUUCAACGUACGCAAAAGUCAUAAGCGAAAGAAAAGAACAACACGCUUGAGUAAUAACCUGCUCACCUAGACUCACCUCACUUCCAAUCAUGACCCAGAACGACGAACCAUGCUGGACCUUGAAUUCAUGGCGAACGAGCGGCACCGAUGAUGGGCCAUUGAGCCACGCCUGGUGCGCCUGAAAUGUCCCUCGGCGAGAUGUUGCUGGCCUUGUAGCAGAGCAACAACGGAGACAUUAAUGGCGGACAGAAGAGAAGAAGCGUACGGACUAAUGCAGAGAAGAGAGAGAGAAAGAGUCCAUGGACACAAUCAUGGCGGAGGCUUGCUCUCGCUCGAUCACCAGUCCACAGCUUGAGGUCACCACAGCCGGGUCGUCGAUUACCUCUAUGUUGAACAGGUACUCCUCGAAACAGAGUGCAGCUUCGUCAUUUCAUCGAACACCUUCCUUGCAAACUCGAUUCUUCCUCCACAGCGUAAUCAACCGCAACGGAACUCGGAAAACAGCGAGGGCAAAGCAGGAAUGAACUGAAAUCAUAUCUAGAGUUUAAUCAGACACAAAACGACCUGACUCAGCUGUGGGCGUCAUCAAUAAGUCAGCAAAGGUCACAGACGCCUUCAAACCAUCGCCCUCAGAAACUCAACGCCGAGGUGAAGCCCAAAGCAAUGCUGGAGAGGGACAGAUGAUGGAAGAGGAGGGAGGCCAGAUCUCGAAGCUUGAAGCAUCGUGAAGCGAGCGUAGUCAGAUUGUGAAAGAGAUCGUCACAGGUGGGGUGGAACCCACACAGAGGAAUCAUGGACAGUGGUGAAGACACGCCGGCGCCCGGCGGAGGGAGACGAGCUGCGACGGAGGUGGAGACGCAGCGACGGCGAGUUGAGCUUGAAGUGUUUCUAUUGGCGGGAGUGAUGGGGCUGACGUGAACUGAGCUAAAUGGUCUGGGCUGCGCUUGGGAUCGGACUGGGCUGGAGCUUUAUUAUUUUCUUUUCUCUACUUUUUUCUUUUUAUUUUAUUUUUACCAAAAAAAAAAAUGCAUUUUCAACUUGUUGGCAAAUAUCCAGGCAUUAACGCUCCCGGAUUGACUCCUAAAAAACAAUUUAUAGCACGAGACGAAAAUUCAAGCUUAUGUGUCCCUUGCGAACCUAGGGUCUCUCAUAAUUCUUUCACAAAAGAUGUUACAAGAGCAAUGCUCCUUCUAAUGCUGCUUAACACAAACUGAUAUGAAUAAGUUGACUUACUACAAAAAGUACAAUGAAGUUCCAAAGAUCCUUAAAGGCAUUCAACUCUCGAACGGAAAACAGUACUCACAAUAUUAUCAUCAAAUUACGACAUCAAAUGCAGAUAGCAUCAAGAUCUCAAAUUCUUUUAUUCUAACCACAAUAGAACCUCUUAGUAACUUUGGAUACAAGAGAAUAACAAUUGUAAAAUUGCAACUAUGUUGAGUUUGAUCGAAUGUCAUUCAACCUUAAUAUGUUCCUCAAGUACAUGCACAUAUCAUAAAAUGCAAUCAUGUUUUACAAGCGCUGAGCAUCUUAUAAAGGAGAUAUUAUAUACGCAUCACUAAGUUGUUUCACUUAGUAACAAGAUGUUGUAAAUUACUUUAUAUGACAAGCACCCAAUGUGUAAGGCAGUAUAAAGGCCCCAAAAUUAACAAGCAAUCUCUUUAUAAACUUCCAUCUCAUUAUAUCAAAAAAGACAAGAGUGGGCUAUGAUGAGAAUCAAUAUUUCAUACGGAUUAUAAAAGGCUUCCCUUUACGACAGAGUAAAUAAUUCAUCAAUAGGAGCCUCUCAUGAAGCUAAUCAUGAGACAAUAUCGGUCCAAGAAAGCUUAUUUCCCUUGGGCAGCAAGCCUCCGAGACUAUUGUGUAUCACUAUACUGCCUCACAUGCUCAACGUACAACGUACAAUAAUGCUUUUCGUUAUGUGAUUGUAUACCAUAAGAUAAUAAAACAUCCUAUGAAAUCAAGAACUUAAUGGAAAUAACAGUAUCGUUUCCACCAAAAUAGACUAUUAUAAAAUCAAGAAUGCAACUGACUAAUGCAGCGACGGGAAUCUUUGAGAAGCAUGUUGGGUAGAUAAGUUCUCUAAAUCAACGAAUUCCAUACAAACCGAUGAAUGAGCUACUUCGGCAGCCAAAUACUUACAACCCAACAUUGAAUCUCUCGGUUAGGGAUAUCGUACCCGCCUAUCAAAUGAGUGGGUUUGGUCGAAAUGGUCAAAUCCAAAUUGACCCAUUUUUAUGUAUUACCUUAUUCGAGUUUGACUCAACCUAACCCUACCCAUAUUACUAAAACACAUAAAUACCCAUACCAAAGUAUAUUUAACCCAUUUUAAGCUCUUCAUAAGAAAAUGUUACUUGGAUCGAUUAUUUUAUCAAAUUAAAAAACUAAAUUAACUAAAUAUUAUUUGUGAGUAAAUGAAAGAAAAAAAUAAAAAUAAAAACCUAAAGAUUGAAAUGCACAUAAAGAACUAAAAAAUAUGCAUCUGUUAUGAUGUUGUUGUCGGUUGUAAUAAAUUUUCGAAGUUUGAAUGGCCCUUUUUUAAUCUUAUGAUUCACUUGGUCACAAAGAAAAAUCUCAUGAUUUACUUCAGUGGCAAAAAGAAUUCCAAAAUACUAAUAUAAAAAAAUAAAAGUUAAAAAGCUAAUUUCUUAAGAAAAGGGCAAAAAGGAAAUUGUAAAACACAAGACAACGCCAUGGCGUGGCAUAGCAUUCUCCUUGUGGAGAUUGCAGAAGCAUAUGCACGCCUCUUCCUAAGCAUAGUCAUUGGUCACUUUGUCACGCCAAUACUACCCUUACCACACUGCCACCCUCAUCAGGUCGUCGCCUUUUCAACUCGAGUUCAAGAACCUUCGGAAAACCAAGCUCAAUACCAUAGUCAAAGUAGGCGGAUGUCCUCCGCCUCAUAUUUGAAGCCAUAGAGGUCCUUGACCUCAAAUCGGAGGUUGCGAACCUCCACCGGAGAAAUUCUAAUACACUGUAUGACAAACUAUCUUUCACAUAUUAUAAGACUACCGUUAACCCACACUUAUAAGAAAUUCUAACAUAUUAUGGUCCAAAAUUACCAUCAACCUGUUCGUUUUAGAAUAUGAGUCUUUUAGGCAAAUGUUGUGGUGUUUUAUGAUGCUUUACUAGAUUGGAUUGUCACGGUUACUAGCUUAAUAAAUAUUCAAAUUUUGACUUUCUAUUACUGGAAGGAAAAAAGUCUCUCGUUCAAGAUUUAAAAAGUAAGGAAAGCACACUUAUGCUCCGUUUAUCUCACGGAAAACAUUUUUUAGGAAAACAUUUUCCUCAUUUUUUGGCUUUUUGGAUCGGAUAGGAAAAUGAGUCAAUGAAAAAUGCUUUUCUAAUCAAUGGAAAAUCUAUACUUAGAUUCAAGAGACUAAUUUCCUCUCUAAACAAAAAUGGAUAUCAUUUUCCGAAAUAUAUAACUAGAUAUUAGCUCUUGUACCAAAAACUUUAUACUUGGGCACGAGAACUUCAAUGCUUGUUCCCAAGCCCUUGGCCACGAACUUGGGUCUGGAGGCCAAAAUUGAGUCCACUAAGGUGAAGCCAAGGUCCAAAGAAGUCGGGCGUCGCAACCAAUUUUUCGGGUGUGAACCACCUAGAGUUUGGUUAAUGGAUUGUUAAGCCUAGACUUAACUCGGGCUCUCCCAAGCCCAUACCAAUUCGCGACUUAGGUUUAAGUUUUUAACAUGCAGAUAGAUUUUAUCUAAGAGUCAUCACUAAUCUAUUUUUGGUGGGUCGAUUAGAAACCCAAGUAAAGUAACAGGAGAUUUACUUUACUCCUAUGAACCAGAGACUAUGGGUACGGGGACUUGGUUACACUAGAUUUCUCUAAUGCCCUUUCGGUACCAUUCUUUUAUUUUCAAAAAUGUUUUUGCAGGCAGCUUGAAUUAAUUUAAAUUUAUCUCCCUAACAUGUGAGGUUAUUAUGCGGGUGCACAAACCACCAAUUUAACACCCAAGUAAAGCAAUAAAUAAAUUGCAGGACUUACCUCAUAGCAACGAAAGCAUUUACGUUGUUAGUUCAUAAUUCACAUCAAUAGUCCUAGAUAUGAUUUCUAGUUAACACGCAAUUUUUGUUUUGUUUUUACUUAAUUAAUGAGAAUCAUGCUUUAUGCAAUGCAUGCUACUAAUUUAACAUGAAAUGAUAUGACAUGGCAACAUGACUUAGCUAUAUGACAUGAGUAAAAAAUGCAAUAAUUAAAUAAGCAAUCUAAAUUAACCAAAAUGACCUAAUCUUAAUGAUGGGCAAUUUCUAAUUAAAUGAUCCUAACAAAAAUCACUAAAUGACGUGCAUUUCAUGAACCUAAUUCUAUAUGACGUGCGCACGAUAUUUCUAUUCUAAAUAAGCAUGCAAUUUAUUCUACUAUGCAAUGACGUGUAAAGAAUGCCCUAAUUCUAAUUUUUUUUCUUUUUUCAUUAUUAUGAAAUUCGAAAUUAAAAAUUGCCAAAUAAUUAAACGUGCAAUUCAAAUUUAAAACUAACAUUCUAAAUGAAUGCAUUUUUUAUUUUUUAUUUUUUAAAAAAAUUCGAAAUAAAAUCCAUAUUCUAAAUAUGCAGAUAUUCUAAAACCAUGCUAAUUCAAAUAUUUUUUGGAUUUUUCCUUUUACAAAAUUAAAAUUGACUCAACUAACAUGACGGCAAAUCAAAUAAGAUAGAUAUCUACAAAUUGAUGAACCAUAUCUCGCGUAUGAGAUCGGGUUGGCUAAUUUUAAAUAAAUCACGAAUCGAAUCUCGAGCUUGAGAUCAGAUUGGCAAUUUUUUAAACGAUUGCAAUUGCGAGUUGGAUUUCGGGCGCAAAAAUCGGACUGUCAAUCCCAAAUUUCAGAGGCAAUUUCAUGUUGGAAUCUCAAUCAAACAUUAAAGAAUAAUUUCACUAAAAGAAAAAUAAAACGAUAAUAAAAAUAAAAUAAACUACCUAGAUUAGAUGAUUCUCGGCGGCAAAGGACUCACGAACGGCGGCGAUUACACGGCUCACGGUGUCAGCGAGCUCGCGGAGAUGGAGCUUGCGGAUAGAGAUUUCGCGGACGUUGGCAGAGGACGCGAGCUGAAGUCAAUGGUCAAGGAUGACUUUCGUUUGGCCUCAACCAAAAACAGCGUAUCCCACCAGGUGGUGUUCCACGUGCCUCUUCUCUUCACUACUCAACUAUAUGAAUUAUGUUAUCCCCACGUGAAAACUCAACCUGCAUGACAAAACAUUUAAAAGAAAUGAUUGAAGAAUCACGUUACAACCCACGAUAAAGGCAAGCUGGGUGUUAACAGCAGCUGGCUUCGUCGUUGACGCGGAUUGACGAUCGUGGGUCACUGUUGGCGCUUAGGGCAGCAGCGGCGUUGUUGGACUACUCGCGGCUUUGAAAGGCUAAGACACGUGGCCGUCAGAAUUGAGCGUCGUCGGGGUUGCUCGUGGCGUUGGGAUGAUAAGCUUCGUGCCCGAAAACUGCAAGAGCUAAUCCGUGCGUUCGCUGGAACUUCAACGCUGGGGCAGGCCGAGGCGGCAAACGGUAGGGACGAGAUGUCUACUGCCACCGGGAGGAUAUGGGUUUGGCAUUUAGCUAAGGUGAGCAGCGGCUUCACGUCUGGAUGGGGACGCCAUGGGAUAACAACUCGGUCACGGCUUAGGGAUUUACGGCGAGGGCAGUGCUCAGCCCAUGAUAUUGAGGCAUGGCAGCGACAGUGGGAGCCUCAGAGUGGUUUGUUCAUGAUUGAUAACCUGCAAAACAGAGAAACAGCUCCACAACAAGGUGAAAGAUCAGCAACGGUAACGGUAGAUCGUCGUGCGGUGUAGGCUGGGAGACGACAGAUUCUUGGUGUUGAAGCUCGGUGAUGACGGUGUUCGCUGGAUGUUCACCAGAGUUGCUGGGAACUUGUUGCAAGAAACGUUGCAGCAAACUGGAAUCCUCCGGGCAACUCACCAGCGGACUGCGACACGCCAAAGCGACUGCCGGUGUUCUCUGGAGCCACUAAUCUGUUAAGGCAGGGGCUGAGGUGGACAGGAUUACUGAAUCACUGGUGCAGCGCCAUGGAUCUACAGGAACUUCCGCAGGGGUAGUCAAGAUGCGCGCUUGAGGCGAGGACGGCUUUGAUUCUCGUUCAGGACGUCUAGAGUUCAUUAGAUUGAGUUGCCGUUGAUGGGGCAGGCGCUGAUGUAGCGCGGCACGGACUCGGUCAGGCAGGGGCGUCAAAACUGGGCUAGACCAGCCAGGAAGAAACUGCGCGGUGGUUCUCGGACGCGGCGAGCAACACAACAGCGACAGUCGUCGAGGGCUGCGGUGGCGGCCGAGGAGCUUGCGUACGCGGGAGGCCAAGCAGCAGCAGCGAAGGAGACGACCUGUUCCUCUUUUGCUUCCGUUUUCUUCUUUUGGUUUUUCUCUCUCCUGCUGCUACACGUAUCCCUCUCUGCCUCUUCUCUGUUUUCCCUCUGACCUACUGACUUUUCCCUUCCCUCAGCAGCUUUUCUUUUGUGUCGCUCUCUCCAAGGAACGAAGGACAACACCCUAAAACCUUUUUUCUCUCUUUUUAUUCUCUCUUCUUCGAACCCUAGAGGAGUCCCCCAACGAAAGAGCUUUUUUCUCUCAAUGGCCGUGUAUUCAAUAUGUGUGGCUCCCUGAAACCUACGCGAAAAACCUUUUUUAUAGGCUGAAGAGUAGGGUUUUAUUUUCCUUUUCAAAUCAGCAUACGCGAAGAUUUCUUUUUUUUCGCACGUUACUUUUUUUUUUAAUUUUCCACAUCUUCUGAUUUUAUCACCUAAAGAUAAGAUUACAACCCGAUUUUCUUAAAUUCCAAAAAUUCACCGUAAUAUUAUUUCAAAUCUCCAUUUAGGUAAUUUUUGUCAUUAAAAGAAAACGGGCUCGGGUCAAUUUACUUGCUUCGUGGGCUUAGUCCGACUUGCCAAAUUAAAGCUUAGAACUACUAAAUCAAACCCAUUUGUCAUCGACCCAAUGUAAAUGCAAAUUAAGAAAUAAAUGCACCUAAAACUAUAUGUUAUGCAAUUAACUAUUUUUUCAGGAAUAAAAUUAACCCCUAAUUUUUUAAUGCAAUAAAUGACUAAACGGGUCACCAAAAUUUAGGUGUCAACAUCGGGCCAAGAACCUUAGAGCAUGAAUGAUAAUCAUUCUAGUCAGAAAUUGAUUUUUGAAAGAGAAAUAAUUUUUUUUAUUUCUAUUCAUAGAUGAGUUUCUAAGCAAAAAUUCGUGUUUGAUAAUAAUACAAAAUUUCUAUUCCCGAAAUAAAAUAUUGUUUGAUAAUGAUACAAAAUUUUUCUCUCUCAGGAGCCACGGAUGGCAACCGGCGGUGAUUGGCAGUGACAGGCGACGGUAGCAAAUAGUGGCGAACGACGACUAACAGCGAUGGAUGUUGGGUGGGUGGUCGACUAGUAGAGAGGAUGAGCAAUGAAAAGAGUUUUUAUUUGUCAUUUCUAUUCCAAAAAUAGAAAGGUAAAAAAAAAAAAUUUGCUUCUCAUUUCUGUUCCAAAUCUAUUCCUCGAUUAAAAAUUUGUUCUAGAAAUAGAAAAAUAAAAUUGCAUAACCAAACGAAUUUCUAUUCUCGAAACGAUUUUGGAAUAGAAAAAUUAUUCUGAAACAGAAAUAGAAUGGUUGUUAUGCGUGCCCUUAGUGCCUAGGUCCGAGCUUAGGUCCACACAGAGCUUAAGCUUGGGCACCAAUGCUAGUGCCUAAGACCUCAACAACUUGGUCGAGUUCCAUAGAGGCCGGGCCUAUGACCCUAAUAUCCUUGCCCGACACCCUAGCCUGUGUCUAUAGAAGCCGGGCCGAGACCUUGAUGCUCAUGGCUAAAUCCCUAGCACUUGGGUCAGUGUCCACCGAGGUAGGAUCCGGAACCCUGAUGUCUAAAUAGUGUGUAUUUAUUUAAGAAAAUUAUAUCACAUUUUCUUUACCAAAUGAUGAAAAACAUUUCUCAAUUCAUUUUAAGAUUAUGGUCAAAUAUAGAAAAAUAUUUUCAUUUUUUUGGAAAAUGACAACCUGAAAUUUUUCUUCAAAAAAUGUCACAUUUUCAAUAAAACAAAUAGAGCCUCAAGGAAUAAGCAUGCCAAUUGCCCCUUGACCGAACAAAAUAUUUAGAUUUUUCUGUACUUUUGGAGCCAUCACUUGACCCAUCUCAACCAAACACCAUUGGUAUAACCACAAGCUUAAAACUAGUGAACGCAAUUCGUUGCUAAGAAAACCAUGCGAAAAAUCAUUUACUUCUGUUAUCAUCGUUAGGGAUCACACGUGACAUAAUCCAAAAUUAUGAAGCUCAAACCCAUCAAUUGCAUGACUAGAAUUACCUCAAAGUUUGAAAACUCAGAAAGAAUUAAACUACAUGUUUAUGAUAAAAUUAGCAUCAUAAAAGUGAUGGGUACAUAAUGUUAUUCCUAAGCCUCUCAAAUAAGUAAGUUAAGUUAGGUUUGGAUCACUUGAAAAUGAUCUAACCCAAAACAACUUAUUUAACUCAUAUUGACUCAUUUUUACGCAAUAUAAUUUUAACGACCUAUACUUGACUUGCCCAAACUCCAAUUCAUUGUCAACCCAAUCUAGGCUCCAAUUCUAGUAAUUUUUCUUCUUAAAGAUCAAUGAAGUGAAUAUUUACAAAUAGUUACUGAAUUGAGAGCUUGAAGACAAAUCUGUAAUAUGAUGACUUUGAAUUAAUCGAGUUUCAACAAUCAAAUCGAGCUUUAUAGUGAGAGAUCAAAUCAAGCGGGACGAAUCAUAAAACUUGCCCCAAAUUGAUUUCACUCCGCAACACACAGCACAGAGAGAGGAGGGAAGGAGGGAGGAAGAGAGAGAGAGAGGGAGAGAGGACACCGCAACUUUGAACAAAUCAAGCUUCAGCAACCGAAUCGAGCAAGAACCAUAUAAUUUGCCCCUAAGUUCGCCAGCUCAAACCAAGAACAAGAUCUCAACUGCACCUCUUGGUAAUUCAUUUAUAGAAACCGACAUAAAAUUGUCUGAAAUAGAGAACAAAGAGCUCAUAUAAUAUAAAUUCAUUUUAUACAUCCUUGACCUUAUAAUACACAGCAUAAUACUUUUUGAAGGUCCUAGGCAUAUACACCGCAACAAGAAGGCGAAGAGAUCCGAUGAAACAUGUGAUAAUUAAUCGAUCUUCACCAACCUGACACUUUCAUUGCGCUUGCAUUUUUAUUCAUGCCCCUAAUACUUAUUAGCCCCUGACCUUUUUUAUUUAAAUAAUUAUUCCUGGGCCUCGCAAGCGACAUAUUAAAUUUGUGCGGGCCCAUGUAAUCUACAAUCUUACUUGUGCCCGUGCACAUAUUAGAAUAUAAUGGACUCCUCACUCAUCAGCAAAAAAUCACUACAGAUUCAAUCCCUGACAUGGAUAAUUAUGCUGCAAUGGAAAUGGGCGUGUUCCCCACCCAUUAAGACCUAGAUGUAGUUAAGCAUAAAUUUUGUCGUAAACUAUUUUAACAAUCUGAUAAUCAACUUAAAGCAUGAAAUGGACUUGGGAUCAUAGCUGCAACCAUUAGUAAACACAUGAACAUCUGGACAAAAACUGAUUUGGACGUGCAUCACGCUUCCUUUCUCAGGUCUCUUGAUGAAGUUCUGAAAUUGGAAAAGCAGUAAAUGUCAGCUAACAGUGCAGUGAAUCAUUUGAAAACACUUUAUGGGAUGCUAGAUGUUCAACUACAUCAAAUGUUUCUAACAUCAUACUCAAACAGGAGAGAAUCUUAUUAUAUGCUAGAAUCAGCACCAAUGAUUUCACAUCCGAAUUUGCACUUUACAUGUAAAAUACAAUGAGUCACAAAACUAUAGUCCAAAAGUUAUUUUGAGAUGAGUUCACCUGAAGAAUAAAAACUACCUUGAACAGCCAGUUUGACUAAUGGUCAAUUGAAGAGAUAAGAACAAUGAACAACAUAAUCAGAACAAAGUAAGAAUCAGGAAUGAAUAGAAAGGAUGUUGUCUAACGUCAUCUUGAAGACCUUUUCUGGUGUCCUCAUUGUGAUUGACUUACCAUCAUACAAGGAAAUCUAUAGCCAUAGGUAUAUUCAUUCUCAGCAUAAGCAUCAUAUCAUACUGCCACAACGCCCUAGUCUGUGCCAUUCCGUUGUUAACAGGCUAUAAUAUUCAUAUUCAAGGGUCGCACCAUGAGUUAUAUGCAAAAGUAACUGAUAAUCAUUCAAUACGUAGUAGAGGUGCAUCAAAAGUACGCUUGAUGUUCAGAAAAGCAAGGAAUCAUAUGUUCAAAGGUCUUACCUAGUUGUGUAAAGCUAUGAGAGGAUUCAACAGGAAGAAUCAAAGUGCAGAUCCAAUGAGAAGCUUGAGUAACCUGUGACCUGUGAGGCUUUGGAGCUGAAAACCAAAUAUCAGCAUUCAGUGUAUAUAUAACAGUCGAACAAUUCAUAGUUUCCACAAUGUCAUCAGCAAUAAAUGAAUGGAAAAGGAAGGGGACAAAAAGGCAAAGAGAAAUGAUAUGCGGGUUCUACAAAAAUGGAGAAGCAACAUGAACAAAGUUGAUUUUAUCAUUGCGAAGACAAAUUAUUUUACAGCCAUGUUUGAACGUAAUGAGUUUCCAAAGAGUGCCAGUUUGUCUCAGAGGCUUAAAAACUAUGGUCUAAUCAGUCUCUUGAUAUAUUUGCUACUGAAGAGCUCAACUUGGAGAAUUGCUCGACCCAAAACCAUAUAUGUUUAGUAAUUCAUGAUAGGGAUCAAGCAAAAAGAUAUGUCUCUCUAACUAGUCUAACCAAUGAAUUAUCAAUUAUUAAGAUAUUGCACUACAUCUAUUUCCUUAACCAAGGACAUGACAUCCCAUUUCUCAAAUGGCAAUCAGUCUAGAGGAAAGCUACAUAUGAUAAAACAGGGCAGCUGAAAAAUUGGCCAAAAAAAGGAGCGGGCAUCAAAAACUCUACUUUUGGCUUACUAAGCAAAUUCUGCACCUUGCUAUUAAGAACAUGACACCCCAUUUGUUGAAUGGCAAUCUGGCUAAAAAUACCCAGUCUAGAGGAAAGCUACAAAUGACAGACAGGGCAUCUGAAGAUUGGCCAAUAAAUAAAGACUGGGCAUCUGAAACUCUAGUUUUUGUUUACUGGGCAAACUCUACGCCCAUUCAAAGCAACCAUUAUAUGGCUGAUCACCGCUCCACACAAGCAACUACACUUUUUGUCAGUCCGGAUAAGUGUCCACAGCAUCUAAAAAUAAGCACCUUAUCCUUGAUGGAGAAAACUUCUGAAUGGAUUCUAAACUUCUAGAUGGGUUCUUAUCCUACCAAUAACCCAUAGUUCUAUGCUUGCAAUCAUUACAAAACAUUCCACUGGGCCAGCUUUAUUUACCUGGGAUGCACAGAUAAUUCUCCAGAUCAGAGAUACAACAACUAUUUGAACUCCAGCAAAUGUUUUACAUAUGGACAAGUGUGUGUGUGUGUGUGUGUGAGGGAGAGUGAGAGAGAUUUGUUCAGCAAGAUAUGCAAUCACUGGAAGCGCCAGCAAUAGCACUUCCUAUAGCUUGUUGAGAGAAUUGACUGGAAAGUAGAAAGAGAAAGAGGCUUCCUAAAUUCUUCUUAAUCGAUAUGGAAGGGCAUGAGUUCUAGGAAAACCAUAAUAUUACAUUUUAAAGGAGAGCUUUUUCUAGAAGGUUCUUUCAGGGAGAUGUUGCUAGAAGGCACAAUGCUCAACUUCAUUAAUUGGUAAACUUUGGUUCAAAAAGUAGAAUUAGUCUAUUAUGCUCAAAAAAGCCUCUUAAAAAGUGUAUUUAACUGUGGGUCGAUUGAAAUAAGAACUAUCAUUUCCCACAUGUUAUCUAAUGUAAAAAACGUGCUAACUGCAGUAUUAUAACGUUCUUUCUAAUAGACAAUUCAACUGCUUGAAGUGGUUGAUUGCUGUUCAUACCAUUAGGGUCUCCUCUUUCAUAAGAAUCUCACAGAAGAGGAAUUGCUUGUGAUGCCAAUAUAGUUCCACAACAUCUGAAACCCUUUAAUCCAGAAUCCUCAUUACUGAAAGAGAAAUAAGAAAACAGUUGGAAACAGUCAUCAAUCAGGCACACACUUGAUAGGGGAAACAGAGAUGGAAUUUCUGUGGAAACCAGCCAAUAUUUCCAAUGAUCCUACAUUUUUACCUAGCUCAUAAGCUUAAAACCGGAGACAGAUUAUAUUUGCAAACAAUGUCCAAAUAUCAUGCGAGCAAUAUUUAUCAGACCAAUUGACAAAGCACUUUGCAAAAGAAGGUACUAUCUAUGCAAAAACAAGUUCCCCAAUAAAAGAAUAUGUUUAGUUGAGAAAGCUUACAUUUUGGUCCAAAGACAUCAAUUUGCAGAAAUGUCUGUACUCCAGGAAAUAGGUUUUCACGAAAGCAAAUUAUCUCUGAAGUGCACCAUUUGAUUCAAUUGACAGUAACUAGUCUCUAUUAAGUGACAUUCACCUUGGCAAUAUUCUUGCAUCAAAUUUAAGAGGAAUGUGUUUGGGGUAACAAUGGCUUAAAUUUUUUUACUUUAACAAUGCCUUCGGUCAUUCUAUCUUCUCUUUGGCAUAAAACCUAAUGUCAUUCGAGAAAAAACAACAUUCUGUAACCAGGAUGAUUCUUAGAGGCUCUUAAUUCAGACAGGCAACUUCGCUUCAGAGAGAUCUUGGCACCAGUGAUCUGAUUGAGAGAAGAUUUGUGGAUGACUUGUAUACUAGUAUUGUCUAGGAUGGGUUUCAAUCAGCUACGUCUUCCAAACGUUGCAUAGGAACCAUGCUCACCAUCAGGACAAAAGUCUCAUUCUCGCUAUCAUAAAUCUAUGCAAUACCAAGGGCUAGUUUCUAAGCUCCAGAGCAAGGAAAUGAGCAAGGUGGUCCUUUAUCAGCAAGACAUGUCCUCUUGCUUGAUGUUGUACUCAGAAAGGCAAUGAGCUAGUUCAUGUUUCCCACAAUACUUUUGACUCGUAAGCAGAUUAAUGAGCGAAGCAUAAAUAUAAAUCUUAAGCUCUAAAAGUCAAAGUCAUGGUUUGUUUCUUUACCUAAUUUUUUUUGUUUAGAUGCAUUUUUCAUACAUCUCUCUUGCUUCUUCUCACUAUAAGCUCGUUCUUUAAAAGUAAUAUGUAAACAAAAAGACAAUGUCCAUAAUCUAGAUUAGCUGCUUCAUGUACUGCUCAAAUCGCAAUGAAACAGAUCCUUUUUUAACUUUUAUGUCAACAGCAUUUGAGCAAAUAAUUGAGGAGUUUGAACAAGCUUAGGAAACAUAAAAUGUUAGAUCAUGGCAGCAUCAGACAGAUGAAAAAUCAUAUUAAAAACACAAGCAAUAUACCACGAUUUAGCAAGAAGAUGCUCUCAUUUAUGCAAGAAGAGACAAUUGCAACUAAUAAACAAGAAAAGAGAUUUCUUUAUCAGGUACGGUGCCCAGGGCAUAUCAGAGAGCAUAACUUCCUCAUAGAUAAACUAGCGUUUCUCACUGAAUAUGAUAACAUUAAAGACAUCAAAUAAUCUCACAGUAGUGGAAAAAAAAAAUGAAGAAACAGGGGGGAAAGGAUAGGAUAAAACAAAGCAAUGUUAGCUUAACUUGUAGCACUUCUCAGAACUGUAAACUUUUUAGGCAAAUAAAGAAUACGGAAAUGUUUAACAAGUCACAAAGAAUUUAAGAAAAAGGAAACAAAGUGGUAAAAGAAAGAAUAAUUAUAAACUUGACUUCUUGAUGCUUCCAGAAACACCACUUUCUUCCAUUUAGACAAAGGAAAGCACUGAAAAUAUGGAAAAUUAGUUCCAUAAACCUCCAUUUAUUUUAAUGGUUAUAUGUUACAAUAUUCAACACGUGACAACAUACACAAUCACUAUGAACCCACAUCCAUCAAUUAUCAACAUAAGGAAUCAGAAACCUCCAGUAAGCUUUAUUUGUCAAUUGUCAUAUGUCACAAUUUCAAAGUAAGGCUAUGUAGAUACAACACCAGCAGCAAAAGCAAGUUCAGGAACUGACCUAACAUGCCUCAGAGCUACUUGAAUGCAAAGACAAUGUUGAGCCACAGCCUCCAACUUUAUCAUUUGCACAACCAUAAUAUACUUCCUUUAUACCUAAAAAGGGCAAGAGUCAUCCAAUCAUUUAUAAAUAAUUUUUUUUGGCAGAGUUCAGUUUUAUUUCAGUAUGAUCAACAGAUAUACCAAUGAUCGAUAAUGCUACUGCACACAUUAUGCACGGUUCACGUGUCAUGUAAAGGGAGCAUGCUGAAAACUUCUCUGCAACUUCUGCAGCCGUAAAUCUAGUCCUCUGCCACUGUACAAGAAGAACAUCAAGAGCUUCCAUCUCUGCAUGUCUGGUUGCCUAUGAAAGCACAAGGAGAAAAACAAAGCAAGCAUAUAAAAACUUAGGAGCUUUGUCAAAGAGACAGUUGCUCAUAGUGUAGUUUCAACAUAAAUCUUGGAAAUGCAAUUCUUGAGAAAUGUGUUUUCUCCAUUAAGUUAACUGAUUAAGAGUACAUAUAAGAUUGAUCAAGGCAUAUACUACAUUAAGUCAACAAGUUUUGCUUGCUUGAAGUUGCUGAGAAUCUCACACGGAAAAAGAGGCUUCUCAUUGAAUCAGCCACCUCCACCUUUUCUGACAGUAUUUUUAACUAUACCCCUGUAGCAAGGUGCCUUUGUUUUUUUUAUUAAGCUCCACAAGAUACUAACGGGGCCUUUAGUUUUUGGCAUCAACUAUCCAUUACUAUCCAUAUAUUCAUCUACAGUGAUGUCACCUCAUGACUAUAAAUGAUUACAGAAAUAUUCAAUUAGAUAAGAGAUGAUCUCAACCAGAACUAGGCUUAAACUAGUUGUGUAAAUGGCCAUUGUAUGAAGAACCCUGCCCAAGGCACAGAUUCUGACAUCUUAAAAGGCAAUAAAAUGGUUGCAAUGCAUUUUUACACCAUACAACUAUAACAAAAGUCUAGCUACAUACGGCCUAACAAUGUUAGGAACUUCACACCAGCAUAUAAAGACCGCAAUAUGGUUACAGACAUAGCACAACGGCAAAUGAAAAAAAUAAAACAUUGUGCAUAAUAAAGCAAGAUUAUUGUUAUUGUUAGAUGUAGCCACACUUUAUGAAGGGUAAUGGGAACAAAAGCCCUUACAACCUAACAAUGCAUGGAAUAUUCAACUUAUUAACAGAUUUGCUCAGAUAUAUUAUUUUAUUAUCUAAUAAAUACAUAUUAAGGGAGAAACAUAAAAUGAUCGACAAUAAACUACAAGUGGAUAAUUUGAGGGUAUCAAUUUGGAACAAUAACAAAGUGCUGCUGGCUAAAAUCUAUAUAAAAGGGUGGAGAAGUAAUGAUAAACAUACAUUCCAUGUCUCGUUAGUCUGGUUUCUUCCUGCCGCAAUAACAUUCCCAUCCUCAACAAUCACACNNNNNNNNNNNNNNNNNNNNNNNNNNNNNNNNNNNNNNNNNNNNNNNNNNNNNNNNNNNNNNNNNNNNNNNNNNNNNNNNNNNNNNNNNNNNNNNNNNNNNNNNNNNNNNNNNNNNNNNNNNNNNNNNNNNNNNNNNNNNNNNNNNNNNNNNNNNNNNNNNNNNUUAUAUAAGAAAAGAAAUAGAUCUUGUUACUUGUUAGGAGAAAAAAAUAUGAGAAUGAGAGUCAAAAUUCUCUCAUGCAUGCAAGCAUGCAUAAAGGCAAAUUCAAGAGGAAAUUGGCAUCACGUUGCUGGCAGUAAAAAAGUUUCAGUAUCAUUAUGCAGCUACCAAUGGAACAAAUGCAUGUCUCACCACAUACUCAUCAUGUAAUACAGAUGCAAAUCCCACCUAACAGUUAGACUGAUACGGCUCAAACAACAGCAUAGCAAAAAUGAGAACUAAUUGAGAAACUACAUGUUGCUCAGUUCAGUGUGUCUUAUCAUGGGUACCUCAGAGGCUUUUCUUUCGUUAAUGAGGUUUCACUGAAACAUUCAAGAAGCUUCCUGGAGUUUUAGCUUCUGGGUCAUUUUCCUUUACAAAUGCUAUGGCAUAUGAGGAUAAAGAGAGAUCCCUAAAACUGUUGUGAAGUCCUCACAAAUCAGAAUUGACAAUCAGCAUCUUGGGAUUUUGUCUCUAUUCCACUGAAUAACUUAUGUAAACUCUUGUGUUUCUCGAGAUUUUUUUCUUUUUCCAUAUCCACACCACAGUGCCAAAGAAAAUAACCACCCAACCAAUUAUCCAUGGGUUCAACCGAUGUUCACAUUAUUGUUGCGCUCCAAGGAAAUUUGGUUUUAAAUUCUCCCUAGGUGCUAAAGUCAAAAGGUGGUAAAAGGAUUCCACAGUCAAGCAAACACCUUUCCUGGUGGCUUGCCAUCUCAUUGCAUCUUCUUCAUUCCUCUCUGGUUUUGUCUCUUCAAAAGCCUUAUGAAACUUAACACAGAGUCCUAUCCUAGUGAUUGGAGCUUCUGACAAUUUAAUUGUCCUGGCAAACCUAUCACCCACUGCACAUCUUUAUAAUAGGCACAUACUACACAUCCACAUUUACUAGACAACUCAAAAGCACCCAAAUCCGUCCCUCCCUCCCUCUCAACCUACAGCACACGGAUCGACUCCGUUUUUUGCCUGAAAAGGGGACUAAACCACCCCAUGUACACCCAACUUCCCUUUGUUGCACUCUGCCUUGCUCGUUUUUCCUUUAAACCUAGACUUCACCCCCUUAUUUCAAUAAAUUACCACCUAUGAAAAGAGAGAAAGAAAACCUAUGCCUUCUAGGGAUUGUUGUUGAUUUUGCUGCGUGUAAUGUCGAUUACCAAUGGAUGCACUACCAAGCAUCCACAGACAAAAAUUGAUCUGGACAAGAAUCGAGCUUUUCUCUCAGGUACCUUGAGGAAAUUCUGUGAUUAGAAAGUAGUAAAUGGCACACAUAUUGUUAGCCAGAGUGCAUAGAAUCUUUAAAGCCACUUUAUGGAAUGCUAGAUAUUUAUCUACAUUUUCUUACCACAAAAUGGAAUGCCGACCAUCAUAAGUAACAUUCACAUAGAUCUCUAUACUAAAGGGCUGUUUGAACAUGCUAUGAUUAUGAAAUGCUUUAACAUCUUGUGACAAAAUAAUUAAUUAUUUCUUACAUCACACACAAAUAGGAGUGUCUUAUUGUGCUAAUCAGUACCAGUGGUGUCAUAUCCAGAUUUGUGCUACACAUGUAGAAUCCAAAGGGUUCGAACAUUAUAGAUCAAGCUUUAUUUUGCAAUGAGUUCACCUCAAGAAUGGGAACUACCUUGAACUGCAAGUUUGACUUAGGUUAUAGUCAAAUGAAGAGAAUCUUUAAAGCCACUUUAUGGCAUGCUAGAUAUUUAUCUACAUUUUCUUACCACAAAAUGGAAUGCCGACCGUCAUAAGUAACAUUCACAUAGAUCUCUAUACUAAAGGAUUGAUUGAACAUACUAUGACCAUUGCAUGAAGAAAUGUGCUUAAAGAAUUGGUUCUUACAUCUUAAAAGGCAAUACGAUGCUCACAAUGCAUUUUUAUACCAAGAAAAGAAAAACCAAAGUUAGCUAAAUACAUCUUUAUACCAAGAAAAGAAAUACCAAAGUUAGCUAAAUACAUCCUAAGAAAACAGUGUCAGGAACUUCACAAAAGUAGAUAAAUACCAUAAUAUGGCUCCAGACAGAGCUCGAUGGUAAAUGAAAAAUGCAACACAUUGUGCAUAAUAAAUCAAGAACAUUGCUAUUGUUGGCUUUAGUCAUAUCUUAUGAAACAAUAAUGCGAAAAAAAAAAAAAACCCUUUACAGCCUAAGUAUGCAUGGAAAAUUCCACUAUUAACAGAUUUGUUAAGAUAUUCUACUGUGUGAUCUAUUAAAUAAAUAAUUAAGGGAGAAACAUAAAAUGAUUAACAAUGAUCUACUAAGCGUAUAGAUGAAGGGUAUCAAUUCAGAACACUAACAAUGUACUGUUGACCAAAAUUUAAGAAGGAGGUGGAGAAGCAAUGACAAACACAUACAUUUCAUGGCUUAUAAAUCUGGUUUCUUCCUGUCGCAAUAACGCUCCCAUCCUCAAAAAUCACACAGCUGAUCAAUCAAAAUAUACUAUAAAUAAGUAUAGUAGACUGUAAAACCAUUCACUAAUUUAGACUAAAAUACUAAUCAUCUUAAUUAGAAAACAAGGUAACAUAUCUGAAAUCACCUAGUUACUGAAAAUCAGUUUCUUAGCCAACUAAAACUUCAAGGCUGUCCAAAGCAAGCUUUGCCUUUCAUAAGAAAAGCAAAUAGGUCUGGUUACUGCUUAGAAGAAGAAAACAUGAGGAUAAGAGUUAGAAAUUCUCUCAUGCAUGCACGCAUGUGUACAGGCAAUUCAAGAGGAAAUCAGCAUUAAGUUGCUACCAGUAGAAAUAUUCAGCAUGUCUCAUAGCUACGGGUAGAAUGAAUGCAUGCCUCAUAGCUAUAUGAUCAAGAUCUUGCAGGUCCAAGCAAUGGUUAUUACCACAUUCUCAUCCUGUAAUUCAGAUGCGAGUCCCACCUAACUGUUGAACUGAUAUGGCUCUAAAGCAUAAACAGCAACGAAUUUGAGAAACUACAUGUUGUUCAUUCCAGUGUGUCCUAUCAUUGGCACCUCAAAAGCUCAUCAUUCAUUAAUCAGGUUUCACUAACAUUCAAGAAGCUUCCGAGAGUUUAGCUUCUAGGUCAAUUUCCUCCAUAAGAGCUAUGGCACAUAACCAUAAAGGGAGAACGUUAAACGGUUGCAAAGGCUUUAGAAAUUAGAAUUGAUAAUCAGCUUCCUGUGCUUUUGUCUCUAUUCUACUGAAUAACUUUUGUAAACUCUGUGCUACUUAUGAUUUUGUUUCUUUUUCAUACCCAUAGUCCACAAGGAGAAAAAAAAUAACCACCUAACCAGUUAUCCAUGGGCGCAACUGAUGUCCAUAUUACUCUCAUGCUCCAAGUAAAUUUGGAUUUUAAUUCUCCGCAAAUGCCAAAGUCAACAAGUGGUAAAAGGACUCAACCGUCUAGCAACCUUUCCUGGUGGCUUGCCAUCUUACUGCAUCUUCUUCAUUCCAUAAGGGUUUUGCCUCUUCAAGCGCCGCAUAAAACAUAGAGACAGAGCCCUAUCCCAGCAAUCAAGUUUCACAUGAUUCAAUAUUCCUAGAAAACCUUUCGCCUGCUGCAAAUCUAUAGGAAUUGUUCAUGUUACACAUCCACAUUUCCCAGACACCUCAAAAGCAGCCCCCAACCCCGCUGUAGCUGGUUGUCCGCCACAAUGCCUGGUUUCGCGUAAGGGAGUCCCAACCUAUAGCACCCAGAUUGGCUCAGUUUUCGCCCGAAAAGCGGACUGAACUGAACUGCGGACAAGCUACAUCCCAUUGUUUCACUCUCCCUCGCUCGUUUUUCCGUUGAACCUAGACUUCACCUACUUCUUUGAAUAAAUUGCCACUUAUCAAAGGAAAGAAAGAAAAGCUAUACCUCCUACUGGUGAUUGUUGCUGAUUUUGCAGCGUGUAACGUCGAUUGCCAGUGAAUGCACUACCAACCAUCCACAGACCAAACUCACGAAGAAACACCUCAUUCAACGUCUCUCGAACAAAUCCACGGACGCAUUCUUCAAGUUCCCGCGCAAUUGCAGCACCGCACAAAUCGAAUUCAAAAUCGAGCUGAUCUAUAGCAAUCUGCAUGAAGCCCAGAACCUCAGGAGAGAAUCGUUCAACCCAAGCUGCUGCUUCAUCAGUUUCCAUGGCUUCGGUCGACGGUGGUAGUCCGUCGCCUCCGCCGCCGUCGCCGUCGAUUCGCUAGGGACUCUGUUUCAGGAAGACGUACUUCUUAUGUUCGUCGCUUCCGUUGACAGGUGGCGAUCUUGAAAUUCGCCAGAGCUCGGCGGCGUCGGACGGAAGAUGAUGAUCAGCCGCGAUGCUGAAAGUGGCGUCGGUGGAGAAAACGAGGAUUUAGCAAAACAAAGAAAAGAGACAGAAGAGAAGAGAACGAGAAGAGCCAAAAAAAAAGAAGAUAAAAUGAGGGAGGUUGCUUACCAACGAAUUGCUUCCUAAGCAAGUUUCUCGAUCAUUCUCUGCUCCAUUGGUCAAACUGGCAGUCAACAGUCAACGGUUUCUCCUCGGUACUAACAAACCAUAUUUCGCAUCUCUCCUUCGAUAAUCUUGCAAGUGUUUCUGUCUAUUUGUUUCGAUAGAACCAUCUUCAUACAUAAAUAAACUCUCGACUUCUGAAUAUAUUGAUUCAUGAUCAAUCUCGUAGAGUAAAGUUGGAUCAAUUAGCGGAUUAUCUUGAAGCAUAACUUUUAGAGUAUCCUCUAAUUGCUCGCAUAAUAUUCGAAAUCCCCACUUUUUCAUGACUUUACCGGAUACUGUGAGGUCACAUUUUACAUGACUUCCGUCAAUUUGAUCGAAAUCGACUACUCCCCAAAACUGUAACGGUGUGAAAUAAAAAAGGUGGAUAUAAUCCAACUCCGAUGAACAAGGAAGGUAGCAAUAUCUUUUCUGUUGUUGGCCAUUAACAUGGAUAACAAAUUCAUAUGCAAUUCCCUUCUCGGAAUAAUGCUUGUUGCGAGCGAUACAUAAAACAAAUCCAAAACACUUGUCAUACAAGUCUUUUGAAGCCAUGAAAGAUAUGGAUUCCUUUUCAAUAGGGUGAACCCACUCUGGCAUCUCUUCUUGAGGAAGCAUAAUAGAGGUGUCCAAAUACUGAAAUAAAGAUAAAUCAUUAGAAAGUACCCAAGUUUGUUAUUAGUACCCAAAUAGAAAAAUUCAAUUUGAAUUUAGUAAGUAAUCCUAUGGAGUUCCACUUGGAAUCAGAACUCUAUAAACAAGUAGAGAUCCAUUGAUCCUUACUUGCAUUAGUAUACAAGCCUCGUGUGAUCGAAAUCAUUCCCAAUAAAAGUUUAGCCAACUCCAUUACAUGCAUACACAUGCGGAACCACUUUAUAUUUGUUUGAUUUUCUUGAACCUCCGAUCUUGUAUUUUCUAUUAUUGCAAUAUCCAACCGUGCACUAAAUCCAGUGUAUAGUCCACAUCGAUAUGCAUGUGUGCGUGUGCACAUGUAUGUGUGAGAGAGAGAAUCUAACCUCGUCAUAUGAAGAAAUAUCAACCUUGGUCAACCCUCUGCGAACAAAAUCAUUAAUUGAAGUUAAAUCUCCAUAAUUUUGCAAAGAUUCGCAAUUCUCCGCCUCAAAACACCACAAAAAUGGUGAAAGUUCAGGAAUCUCCUGUAAUUGGUGGCAAUUUCUAAAAACCAAAUAGAUCAAACGAUGGCGUUUAUUGAUGGAUGUAGGAAGACCAGUAAGAUUGUUCCCCGACAGAUCUAAUGUUGUCAAGAAUGGAGAACAAGAAAGAUUCUCAAGAAAGUCUACUUCGGACAAAUUACAUUCCGAAAGGUCUAACCGAUGUAAGUUUGAAAGUUGGGUCGUCAUGCAAGGAUUAGUUGAAUCCUCGUACUUUGGAAACCCAAUUAAAUUUGUGCAAAAAUCAAGAGCCAAGUCUUCAAGCUUUUGUAAUGUGUAAAUGCUAGAAGGAAGGCUCAUCAAGUUCUUGCAAUGACUUAAAUACAUACACUCCAAAGAGACAAGAUUUUCUAUUGAUGCGGGAAGUCCUUUAAUAGGGGUUCUUUCUAAAAAAAGAUCUUUUAGGGCUUCGAGUUUAUGUGGAAUAUCAGGGAACCUUUCAAACUUUGUGCAAUUAUCAAGAUUGAGAACUCGAAGAUUUUUUGAUUGGAGCUCAUUUGGAAAAACACUAAGUUCAGAGCACCCCUCUAAAUUCAGCACUUGUAACUUGUUGUGAUAUGCGAUGGACUUGUGAGCUUCCACCAAGUCUUUGCAAUUACGGAGAUCCAAUUCCUCGAGAUUUGGAGUACACGAGAGAUCGGGCAUGCGAACCAAUGACUUGCAAUUACUGAAAGUAAUGUACUUCAAACUUUGGAAGUCCUACAAAAACAACGGAAACAAGUUUGGACAAACAUUUUGAAAGGAACGCAAAAGGGGUGCUUGUAUGAUGACAUCACUUCCUUACAUAUAAACCGUGGGAUUCCCAUUUGAGAAUAGGUUGCCAUUGAAGCAUAUCUGUUAAUGAUUCAAAAUAUUAUUAUAUUUUAGGUUGUCAAUUGUACAUAUUGAGCGAUUAUAAUUCACGUCACCUUAUAAUUAGUGACAAUUCCUGGUGGUAUGCCUCUACGGGAUCGCUUAUGUCAAAUUAGUUGGAUAUGCAUUAAUCGCAAAGUAUCUAAUAAAUAUUUAAUUAUGUGUACUUAGAAAUGUCGCUCCUUCACAACUGAUUUGAGCAAUUAACGCUGCCUUUUUACAGCACGGUGUAGUCAAACCUUCAACUUACCUAAUUCUAUUGAUGCGGGAGAAAUCCCACCAUUUGCGAACUACAUAAGGUAAGCCUCCAUAACUUCGUGACUACAUGGCAUUUAAGAUUCUUUUAAGUGGGAGACGUUAGGAUAUUUUAUAUGCCACAUCCAAAUUCAAUGCUUGAUCGCAUAGCUAGCAAACUCCUCAGGUGUUUUUACUUUUAUAUGUAUGUCAACAGGUUGGUCCGUCAUAUUUUUGUUUUCUGCCUAUUCGGUCAUUAUACAAUGUUUUUGUAAAUAAAAAAAAUUAUAUAUAUAAAUAACUGACAUGGUUGGAAUUAGGUCACAUAGCUUGUGCCAACAGAUUUGCAUUUUGAGUUUCUUCGCUAGGUAGAUCUUAUUUUAUUUUGAAAUAUAACUAUGUUGAUACUUUGAGACGUUAGGUUUGGAAAUUAUUUGUACUUCAUCUAUACUAUUAUAUAAAGUAAAGAAGACCUACUUUGGACAGAUAUGUGAAAUUGGUUAUUCUAUUUCUUCUGUUGCAUAUCUCAAUAUUAAAUUUGAAUUUUCUUAUGAUGCAAUGACCUUCAUUAACAAUUUCAAACCUUGAAAUAUCUUUCACUUCCUACACAUAUUUAUAAAGUUUCUAUGUGUUCUGUACUUUAUCAGGAAAGUGUUUCCAUUAAGUAUUUCUAAUAAAGUGGUUCGCUUAGCUUUUCAAAUGCCAAUUUUUCUGCACCUAAAAAUAUUUCUAAGGUAGGUAGUUAGAAUCAUUUUGAAAGAAAAUAGAGAAAUAAUUUCUAAAAAACAGAGGAACCAUACUUUGUUUCGUCUACUAGUACAUAUAAUACACAUAUACAUACACAAAUGAGGUAGAUAAUAAAAAAGGUUAACGUAGGUAAGUUCUCACCUUAAGUUGAUUUGGCAUUGCUGUGAUACUACAAUUGCUCAAUUCAAGUCCCACUAAUUUCUUUGGACCAUGGGAAAAUUUUAGAUCGUAGGAAGCACAUCCAUCCCAUCGAAACCAUCUUAGCUCUUUAGGAAGAAAUAUAGGACCCUGGAAAGAAUUAUGCACAUUGUCCAAAAUGAGCAAUCUCAACUUUCUCAUUUUUGUAAAAGCAUCACGACCGAUAUAUAUCUCUAUCGGCUCAGGUGGUUGCAACACUAUGGCUUCUAUAGCACAAUCUCCCUGUACAUACAAGACUUUUACAUUAUGCAUUUUUAGUAAUUAGAGUGAAAAAUAAGGAGUAGUAUUUUGAGCAUAUUUGCAAGUCUUACCAUAUCAUGUGAAAGAACGUCGACAACAUCAUCAUACAACCAUAGUCUGCUGCGUCUCCCGAGAUCACUGCGACAUUCUUGUCUCACAAUAUCCAUACCCAUUGAUUGAAUCAAGUCAUGCACUUCUAGACCUCCACAGAAACUAAUGCUUAUCAAGGACCUCUCAAUCAGAAUUUCUAAUCCUAUUGUUGCCUCAUAACCACAACUGUCGAUAACUUUCUUUACGUACUCUAUAUCCCUCCACUUAAAGAAGCAGGCAAUGUCGAGAAAAAUCUCUUUUGCAUUUGCGUCAAGUCCAUCAUAACUUAUUUUGAGCACAUUAUUAAUGGUUUCGUUAGGAAUCCUAGAAAGGUUAUUUAGUGUACUUUCCCACUCACAUUCUCUUCUUCCGAGUAAGAAGGAACCCAACACCACAAUCGCUAAAGGAAGGCCUCCAGCAUGAUUUAGAACCUUAUCCACCAAAUCUGUCGUGAUCUCUAUUUUUUGGCGUGCUGAAAAAGCAUGAUUUCUAAAUAGCUCACAAGCUUCAUUAAUAUACAGUGCUUUAACUUCAUACACGUGAUCUUGAUCAAUCUCAUGACACGUUAGCAAAUGUUUAUCUCUUGUAGUAACAAUGAUCCUACUUCCGUCACCAAACCAAUUGCGUCCUCCUGCUAAAGCUUCCAAUUGGCGUAAGUCAUCCACAUCAUCAAGGACAAGGAGAACCUUUUUGUGACAAAGUCUCUGUUGUAUUAGAAUAAUACCUUUGUCGACACUAGACACUUCUAAUUUUUGUUGCAAUUUUAAAAUAUCAGAUAGUAAUCUUUCUUGCAACGGAACUAAAUCCUUGGAAUUUUUUGAAGCUUCUUGAACAUUUGCUAGGAAACAUGAACCAUCAAAUUGUCUGAAAAUAGCAUUGUAAAGAGCUUUUGAUAAAGUUGUCUUCCCAAUGCCUCCUUGUCCCCAUAAUCCCACCAUGACAACAUCCUCAUGAGAUUUAAGGUUUAACAUCAAUUUCAACUCAACCACUCGGGAAUCUAUCCCAACAGGAUGCUUAGCAACAUGCAAAGGGGUUUGGACUAGGUAAGUUGAGAUCUUCUUCACAAUUUCUUGUAUAAGCUUUGACUCGUCUCUGAAAAAAAACGGAAAAAGAGUUGCAGAAUCGUUUUAGCGAUUUGAAUUAGCAAUUAAUGAGCAAUCACCAACCAACAAUGACAAAGCAUUGUGUCUCAUUUUCAGAUGAUGAUAGCCAAAAGAAAUUAUAUUUUCACUGAGUCGAAUUAGGACUCCAAGUGCUCUUUACAUCAAUUAAAACAAGUUCAGGGUUCAACUUUUAGUCACCCAAGCGUUUCAUGUUCUUUUGAUUUAUACAUGACGAUUUGGUUAUUUUUCCUUUUGAUUGUCCUAUGUGAUGUAUCUACACGCUUUAAUCAAAAGAGCUAUUGAUGACUUUGAAUAGUGGUUUCGAUUCGAAAACUAUUAAAUACAUGAAGCACGAUGUUAUUGUCUCACUUGCCUGUACACGCUAAUUAUUUAAUAUGUGGCGUUGUAGACUUUCCUAGUUAUUCCAAAGAAAUGGGGUAAAUGCAAUAACGCCACUUAAACAUUUUGUUCAUUUGUUCAUUGGUAGAUCAAGUUUUAACAUUUUGUACUUACAAUCAUGUGUGUGUUGAUUUAUUUGUUCUUUUUUUUUUUUUACAAGCAGUCUUUAUACUUGCAUGCAAAAGUUCAGUUUCUUACACAAAAUAUGAACUCAACUCAACUUACCCUUCAUUCAAAUGCCACCCGGACAAGCCACCGGCAUCAAAAAGAGCUUUCUUCCAUCUCUUCACUUUCUCCGAAUCUUUCCCAAACUUGAAUUCAUGCUUAUCCAUAGCUUUAUUGUAACUCUCUCUUGGUGUUCUUACUUCCUUGGGUUCCACUUUGUAAAACACCGAAAAGACUAUGAGGUCUCCUUGCUCCUUGCACUCCAUGAUUUUUGCUGCCUCUUCCAAACACCACCACGAGGAAGCGUAAUCCUCGGAGAAAACGAUGAUCGCGAUGCAUGACUCCUCGAUCGCCUUCAUAAGCGCCACCGAUAUUUGGUCUCCCUUCCUCAAUUCCUCACUAUCAAUGAAAGUGUGUACUCCAUUUUGGUUUAAAGCUGAGUAGAGAUGACCAAUGAAAUUCUUGCGUAGAUCUGUGCCUCUAAAACUCAGGAAGACGUCGUAAAUCCUCUUGGGUUUCGAUGAAGAAGCCAUUGGAUGAUGGAGUUCAACAAUCAACGACUAUUAGCUUUGAGAUGGUGUGUUCAGGUAGCUUGUUCACCAUUUCAUCUUCUUGUUGAUCUAUUCUUAUACGAAGAGGACAAAGAUGCACGACUUGCUUGUGUGCUUUGGUAAAUGAUGGGACUUAAGGAUGGACCAAGACAUCUAAAGGUGUGAAAACAUGGACUUUUUCAUUAAAGACCGCGUACCACCCCGUCAUUCACGCUGUCUGAUUGACAAAAGCUUCUCUGUGGCUGACAAAAGUAGUGAACAAUAUAGAAGAGCACUGGACCUAGUGGACUCGAUUAUUCCACAAAUUGACAAAUAACUUUAGGUUGGUGGAUUCUCAUGAUCUAGGUCAUGGACUCACUGAUAAAAACAACUUGGCUAGCUUCCUCAAAAUUUCAUCCCCAACCACCGACAAGUAGUUUUUUCCUUGCUAUAUAAUAAUUUACCACAUGACCACUUAAGAGAUAUAUAAUUACACACGCAAUCAAGUGUACCGGCAAAAAAUAAUGUUAGAUCUAUUAACAAUAGUAGAAUUUUGGAAAACAUGGUACUUAAGUAUGGACCGACAUAUAUUAAUAGGUGUGAACACAUGGACUUAUCUUCACCACCAAGGUAUUCCGAUUCUCUGAGUGACACAAUCUUCUUUGAGGCCGACAAAAGUAGUGGAGAAACAAUUUGGGGUGGUGGACUCUUGAGAUCUGGUAAUAGGCUCACUAAUUAGAAAAAUUUUGUUCGCUUUCUUGAAAUGGUAUCCCCAACCUUCGAGUGGUUUCAUCUUUACAAAGUAAUAAUUUAACACGUGACUACUCAACUGACAUGUAAUACAUACAACAACAAUACUUUCUAAUAGUCACAUAAUCACAACAUUCAUCACCAAAUGCAAAGAGUUGGUUUUUCAAAAUUUGUACCUCUAACCUUGUGUCGACACGUAAAAACAUUUGUUGAUAUUUAGACCUACUAUCGCAUCUUUAUUGCAUUUUGCAUUCAAACAUAGACACAUUUAUGUUUAGGCAAAAUGCAUCAAAAUUAAACCAAGCUUAUUUCUGUCGAGCAAAACAGGGCUCCACUACGAAGUUCUUCAUUUUAAUCGGCCCAAUGGACAGCUCGACAUGCAAGAUGAACUAGAAUUCACAACUCCAAAAUUGUGGCAGCUAGUUUCAAUUUCAUGAUAGCGUGAUUGGAUACAACUCCAAGAUUGCAGGAGAUGGUCUUAAUUCUAAGAUAUUACAUAAGUCCCACCUCAUCUAAUGAGAGGGAUGGUCAUAACGUUGCGAGCAAAUCAUAUUUUUGGCCAUGUUCCUCAUCCCUCGAUUGCAGUAGAUUAUCUUGUGGGCUAAGAACGAGUUCAUUUCUCAUGAUCUAUUUAUAGGUGUAAGAGGAAUUUGUUCAGCGAGUACCACAAAAAUUGAACUUAACAUGUGGAAGAUUAUAAGUUCUCAUUAUAAAUUCUCCACUUCAAAUUUCUUGUCAUCAAAUCCAAGUCAAGUUCAAACGUUUUGAGUGUACAUUCAGUCCCACUACGCACUGAACAAAGCUUUCUUCACCACAAGACAAAGGGUUCUUCUUCUUCUUCUUCUUCUUCUUCUUCUUCUUCUUCUUCUCCAAGCACCCAAAAAUAAAUAAAUAAGAGUGACGACUUCUAAGUCAAGUCUAUGAAAUUUUUCCAAAGUGGAGGAAAAAAGGUUUCCAGCUUUACUAGUUAGGAGAACGACAAAGCUUCGAGAUAGUCAUGAAGAAUGUGAACAAGCAAAAGAAAACCGGAAUGUCACCUUAUGACAUGGGCCACUUGUUUCUUCCUUUUAUGUGGCAAUACACUAUCCACCAAUUUUAAUACACCAUCAUGUUUGACAGGAAAUUUCUCAUUCUUCACUACAAAUACCGUAAGUCAAUUAUUUGAUGGUUGAUAUCACAACAUAAGAACUAUAGCAUUAGUUUCUCUGAUAUCAAUGUAUCAAACUCUCACCCGUUACCUUGCAUUGAAGUCCCUUAACAUUGCCCGAAUCUCCUCUUACAUGUUCUUUACUUCAUUCAUCUGGAUAAUGGUAUUACUCAUGCGCAAUUACCCUCUUUAGCUAAAAGAAUUACGUGUGAACCUCAAGAUAAGGUUGUCUACACUUACCGGUUCUGGUUGAUUGGUAUUAUCGCGAGUAAAAUUUAUCCUCUCUUGCGAAAAUAAUCACGUGAGAACUUCGAGACAAGCUCUUCUAAAAUCAUCAGUCCCUCCCCCCUCCCAAAACCAUAUAUGGAAGCAUCGAAUAAAUUAUCUUGGCAAAAGAAUUGCGCGCAAGCCUCAGGACAAGUCCUCUACAAUUACUGGUCGCUGCCCCUCCCAAAACCAUAUUUGGAAAUCAUUGUAUAAGUCAAGUCAUCUUAAUCUUAUUUAUCAUGAAGAAACCAGAACCAAAAAAAAAAAAAAGGAGACCGUGAGUUUAUAAAAUAUUUUACAAAAUCAACCUAUCCACAAUUGAUGUUAGGAUUAUAAUACCUCUUUCUUAAGUUGGUGGUGUAACUAUAAGGCCACUGGUGUAAAUCUUUUUUGACACUAACGAGGUUGUAAGUAGCUAUUAAAACUUUUAGUUUUUUGUAUGGCUUAGUAUAUUAAUUUUGCAAUUAAUUCGUCUCGCUCCAUCAAUGGUAUAGAGAUGCACAAAGAAGUGGUCUGGCUUCAAAGCCAAAAUCGAGAAGUCACUUGGUCCUAUCUAGUCCCUUGAUUGUGAAAAUGUGAACCGUCUACGCAGUUCCGAUAAAGAUUAAAUUGAGAUAAUUAACAAGCAAAUCCCAAGGAGAAUUUCAAUAUCAAGUCAUUAGACUUUAAUUUUCUAAUCUAAUCGUUGGAACUUGCAUUUUAUGACCNNNNNNNNNNNNNNNNNNNNNNNNNNNNNNNNNNNNNNNNNNNNNNNNNNNNNNNNNNNNNNNNNNNNNNNNNNNNNNNNNNNNNNNNNNNNNNNNNNNNGUUUGAUUUGCGAUUCUUUUUUCUUGUCGUGGCUUAUUGCUUGAUCCAUUGAAUGUGAAAAUGUUAGAUGCUUUCAAGCAUCAUGUCAUCAUUUCCCCACUGCAAUUAUUCUGUCUAUUAUCGCAUGCAUUUCCCCACUACAAUUAUUCUGUCUUCGAUCUUCUUCACGCCGAGUCCGAGGUGAUUUCCACGACCAAAAGUCCAACUUGGAGGCAGUUGCGUCUAAUAAGCAAGAAUUUAUCAAUUGGAAUUAUAUAUGGUCAACUAAAUCUAAAUGGUAAAAGUUGAAGAGGUUCGUAUGGAGUUCAAUGGUUCAUAUUCAAUUAGUCUAUACACUAAAUUCACUCAAAAAAAAAAUUAUAGAUAGAGAACCGUGCCACUACACAUUAAUGCCUAUGGAUUGUCCUUUUAAGAAUUCAACGAAGAUAAUACCACUUGUCUAAUCUCGAUCCGCUAAAUUUCAUGUUUUGAAAGGAUGGAUCCUGUGUAAGACCCACGUUAUUUAAUAUGUUUGAUCCAAUCAUUCUUGGUAAAUUAGAUUCAUUAAAUUAAAUUUUUGAAAUGAUGGAGUGAUCAUAAUGGUGCAGGCGGAUCAAAUGUUUAGCAGUGUUUCUAAUCCCUCAAUCGUAAUAGAUGAUGAUCUUGUGGGCUAAAAAGUGAUAAACCGAUUCCCUUGAGCUUAUUUAAAAGCGUAAGAGGAAUUUGUUCUCUGAGUACCACAAAAGUUGACUUAAUCAGUGGAAGAUUAUAAAUUCUAGUUAUAAAUUCUCCACCUUGAAUUUGUUGUCAACAAAUCCAAGUCGAGUUAAAAUGAGUGUCUUAAUUUUCCUUUGAGAGUGUGUAAGCGACGGAGAGCACCAACGUUAGAGCCUUGGGAGAAAAAAAAAACAUGUAUGUAUUGUCUAUGUAGUACCGACACACGACACUACACGACACGACACGCCGACAUGUUAUUUCUCAAAAAUAGAGAAUUCCAAUACGUUGAAACACAUUGUAUAUUAGAUGAAUGUCGCGACCUCUUCUUUUUUUGGCGCCCGCGAUCGGGUACGAGCGCCUAAGGAGGCUAAUGGCUCGGCUGAAUUUAUUAAGCCCGGACUCUCCCAAGUCCACCAAUUCACGACUAAAUGGUCUGAGUUUUUAACCUGUAAAUCAAUUUUUAAAUUGAAGUUGCCACUAAUCGAUUUGGGGUGGGUUGAUUAGAAACCCAAGUGAAGUAUCGGGAGAAAUACUCACUCCUGCGCAACCAGAGAAAUUAGGAUCGGGGACUUGAUUACACUAGUUAAUCACUAAUGCCCUUUCGGUACCUAAUCUUGUUUAAACCCUAAGGUUUUUUGAAUGUUCGAGAGAUUUUCCAUGCAUUUUUGGGAGGAAAAACAUUUUUUGAGUCAUUUUUCUAAUUUUUUUGGACACAAAGGGGAUUUUUUGGGGUUUUUUGGGUAUUUUUUUGGAAAAAUACAAGUCUUUUUGACCUUUUCAUGAUUUUUUUGGCUUUUUUGGAUUUUUGGCAUUUUUUGGAAAAUAUGAAAUUAUUUUGAUUUUUUAUUUUUCGGAAAAUAAAAUAUUUUUUUGAAUAUUUUUUAAUAUUUUCGGAAAAUAAAUUAUUUUUUGAUUUUUCGAAAAAUAAAUAUUUAUUUAUUUAUUUAUUUAUUUAUUUUAUAUUAAAAUAAUAUAAAAACUGACCCGGGUCAGAUUCGCGGGUUGGGUCCGACCCGGGCCAGCGAUCCGAACGAGGACGGGCCCGCAACGCGGGCCCGACUCGGAUUUUUUCGUCUUUUUCUUUUUCUUUUUUUUAUUUACUGAAACGACGUCGUGGCCCGUCGUUUUGGGAGGGAUCCAGCCCGGCCCGACAGCCCGCCCCGCGAACCCUACCCGAAUCCAACCCGAACACUCGACCCGACUCCCGCCGCCCACAGACCGCGAACCCUACCCGAUUUUCUGGGUCCGGAUCCCGCUUCGCGACCCGGAAAAUCGCAAACCCUAGGGUUUGCGAAUUCGCGGUGCAGAGGAGGUCCAGUGAAGACGACAGCGGAGACGGCGGCGACGGCGGAGAUGAUUGGGCUAUGCAGAGGGGGAUGGCGAUGGCGACGGCGACGGGGACAGCGCGAUACUUGCUCGGUGACGGCGCGACGAGGGCAGAGACGGCGACGGCGAGACCCACGCGAAUUCCUUCCCCUCCCGCCUCUCUCUCUAGACUCUCCCCUCCGGCGAGGCUCAGAUCUGAGGCCGCGAACCCUCGGCCCCCCUGAAGUCUCUCAGUGAGGUGUCCAAGGGCUGCGACUCGAUCUGGCUCCCGUCUCUCUCUCUUCGGGAUCUCUGUGCUCAGCCUCCACCCACUCGGAUCUCUCCCCCUCGUCUCCGGCCGCGAGUUCUCGGAUCUCGGCCUGCUCGUCCUCGGCCCCCCUUCUGAAGUCUCUCAGUGGAAGGUUUCCAGGAUCUGCAGCCUUCGAUCCUUCUCGGCGUCUGUGUGUGUCCUCUUCGUCGGGGAUGGAGGGCCUAUUUAUAGGCCGAGGGGUGGCCGGUCGACGGAGCUCGACCGUUGGUCCCCUUCGCGCACCGAGCGGCCUUCGACGGCCAAACCGGUGUCCCAUCCGACGCCAGCCACCCCCUGCUCCACGUGCGCUACUGUUCCUCCGUUUUGCUCCGGCGUCGCGCGCGUCCUCCUCUCCGGCGCGUGCUGCUUAUCCGGUUGGGGAAGAAGACAAGGAGAAAGGGCCGGGCUGAGCCACGCGGCUGGGCCUCGCGGGCCUGCGAAGGAAAAGAAAAGAGGGAGGGGCUAGGCUUUGAAGGCCCAGCCCUUGUGGCUAUUGGCUUAUGCUUUUCUUUUUGUUUCUUUUCCUGUUUUUAUUUGUUUUUUGUUGUUUUUGUUAUUUGUUUUGCCUAUUAUCCGAAAAAGGAAAUAUAAAAUAAAUUAAGACCUAAUUAAUAACCUAAUCAAAAUUUAGGUGUCAACAAUGAAUAAUUUUAUUUUUAAUUAAUUUGAUCAAAUUCACCAUAAANNNNNNNNNNNNNNNNNNNNNNNNNNNNNNNNNNNNNNNNNNNNNNNNNNNNNNNNNNNNNNNNNNNNNNNNNNNNNNNNNNNNNNNNNNNNNNNNNNNNAGGUGCUUGGAUGGACCCAAUCGAAGUAGAACAACUUAAAUAAUAUGAGCGCCAUCAAUAUGCUUUGGAAUGAUGUGAGCAUAGAAUGUGAAUAGAUUAAAUCAGAAGGACUUAGAAGGGUUACAAAAUGUUCUUUACAUUAUUGCGAGGUAGACAGUACUCCAGUACCUGGAAACUACUGUAAAAUUUAACACAAAAACUAACCAAGACUUUACAAUUAAAUCAAUGCGAAAUUAUCAAAAAUAAAUAAAUAAAUGAAAAACGAUGAAAGGCACCAAAUAAUUUUGCAGCUUAAUUUGAGUGUUGAUACCUAUGUUUAUAGGAAAAGUUAACAUCAAAUAACCUAUUUCCCACAUUUAAGAUUUCAUACAUCCCCAAAGUGUUUAUAAGUAAUUCAAUUUGGUGUAAAACUCAUAACAUAACCGUGUUUAGAACUCCUCCGCGCGAUCAAAGAGGGCGUCACCGAGCGUGCCCUUUUGAUAUUCGCUGCUCGUCCUUUCCGGGAGUCACGGGGCGGCUCUUUUCUCCGUACGGCUACUUCAGGCAAGAAAAAAUUAAAAGCCCAAGACCCUUGCUUUUUGUUUCCUUCUCUGAAUUUUACUUGGCCCCACACGUUUUUCUUUUGUACGGAAAAAAAGAAAGCCUUUCACUUUUGCCAGAAGCCACUCUCUUGGUCAAGCUUGGAUGAAUAUCUCCAACAAUAAAAAACAAAUAUUCUCUGACUAAAGAAACUGGAGAUCUCAAAUCCAUGUGCCCCCUUCGCUAGAUAAUUGGAGUACGUCCUAUUCCAUAUCGGAAGUGGACUUCUUGAAAUUCUUCGCGUGAAUUAAAUCUUGAAACAUAAUUUAAUAGAAACGAAGACUUAGUUCUAAAUCAAUUUGAUUCAAAUUCCAAUUUGUACUUCUAAGCCAAGUAUUUAAAGUCUCAAAAUUCCACAAGAAACGUUGUGGAAAAGUUAUAUGGGGUUUGAUAUUUUUUAUUAAACAGAGUAAGCGUCAUGCAAGUUCUUGGGGUGAUUUUGAUCUGUUUUGGGCAAGAUUUAUCUAAUUGGCUGUAUGUAAACGUUUUUAGUUAAGUAGAACCCUUGUAAACGACUAGAACGCCUAAUUGAGGCCAUUUGUGCCUUGUGCAGGGUAGGCACAACCUAGGCUUUUGUUAGCAAAGAGCAAGUGCAGCAAAGUGACGACUGGCCUCUAGCAGAGGGGCCACUAGCCCUCAUGACUGUGCAUAGAGUUUUCAUCUGUUGCCCAAUUGACCUGAUAUUUACAUUCACAGAAAGCUCGUGACUCAAAUUGGAUUUCGAAGAAUCAUAGACGGUUAUAGUGGUGUUUUAAGAUAUUUUCUUCAUUAAAAAUCCAAUUGAUGUGAUUCUUGAGGAUUUAGAAAACUUGUGAUUCGAUAUUUAAAAAUGAAAUUAAUCAAUCAAGUCAAAUGACAAAAUUCUUGACACAUCACAAUCAAUUUGCUGUCCGCUCAACACAGUAAAGCCUGCUGAUUCCUUCCCUUUCUUGUUCAUGUUUUCGUUUGAUCAGAAGUAAAUUCCAUGUUUGCCACUCUUGCGAUUUAUUUGCAGUGUCCCAAAGCCAUGCGUGUGUGAAUACUAAGGUGUUCGUGUGAAAUAGCAUGAGUUCGGAAUUUCCAUGAUCAUUUCUAAAUUUCAUGAUUCAUUUUCCACUCUAUUUUGAUCCGAAAUUCACUGUCUUAAACCUUUUAAUAAUAAACAUUUCAUUGCACCAUUUACAAUUAUCUAGAUAUAUAUUGAAAAAUCAAAACAUAGAAAUUACAUAUUGAACUUAAAAUCACACAAGUUCUUGUUAUGGUAUAGAACAUUUAGCAUCAUAUCGAAUUUCUUAAAAAUCAUUUCAACAUCUUUCUUAUGUGUUAUAGUAUCUGUACUCUUUGUCGUAGGAUUUGUCUUUAAAAUAUUAGUGUUUGUGAGGGAUUUGCAGUCUUAAAAAAGGAAACAAUAUGUAUUCCCUAUUGCACGUGAUCAAGCAAACAAGUUGUGUUCAAGCCUUGUGAAAAUUUUAGGCUUUAGGCAUAUUAAAAAUUUAUGAUAUAAUAAAAAAAAAUUCUGUAAAUCUCAUUAAUGUUGUAUUUGUUUGUGGUGUAUAAAUAGUUUAUAUUUGCUUUAUCACAUAACUCAAAUCUUUUGGAGAUUAAAAUUCCAAAUAAUUGAAGUACCAUGGACUCAUAUAGAAAUUGGUACAGCUAAAUUGUUAAGCAUCCAUGAUGUCUUAUGCUGAAUUAUGUGAAUCAACAUUGUUGACAGUGCAUAGUUUUUACUACUGUUUAUAUUUAAAUUCUCCAUUCUCAAUCAUAUAAAUGUAACAGGCAAGGGGAUAAAUUANNNNNNNNNNNNNNNNNNNNNNNNNNNNNNNNNNNNNNNNNNNNNNNNNNNNNNNNNNNNNNNNNNNNNNNNNNNNNNNNNNNNNNNNNNNNNNNNNNNNAAAAAGAUUUUUUUACAAUAUUCAACCACUAAUACUUUUUUUUUAAAUAGUAUUGUAGCCUCCCUUAUUUAUUUUUCUGAUAAAAAAGUCCCUGGGGUCCACCCCAAAUGCCCACCUCCAAAUUUAUUUUACUCCCCUCGUUUCUCAAUCUUUCCCUCAUUUCUUCUCCCCUUUCUCCAACCUGUCACUUCUUUCUUGAAAUUUGAACACUGUCCACCCCACCUCCCCUCCCUCCAAAAAGAAAGGAUCACACUAAAUUCCUAUCAAAUCCCAUUUUUAAUUUUUUUAGUUUCCUCCCCCACAAAGCCUUAGCUGCUGCCUCCUCCUCCUUCUCCUCCUCCUCGCGAGACUCUCUCCCUCUAGAUCUCUGCUCUCUCUCGAUCACCUUAUCACAAUCGUUCGUCGCCUCACCUCUAGCCUUCUCACCAUUCUUCCUUCACAGCUGCAGUCUCGCCACUAGCCUUCCAUCACAGUCGUGACUCAGUCUCUACUCUUCCUGUGCCACUCCCUCACCAUCGCAACCUCGCUAUCGCUCAUGACCUCACCUCCGCUCCCUCGCCUCGCCUCCACCCUCCAUGGUCUUCUUCAACGAACCUCUCUCUUGGACACACAUGUCGAAACGUGUUGAGAAGAGUUGACCGCGUGUCCGAAAAUUCAACACAUGUUGACUGCAUGUUUGAAUGUGUCCGAGCGUGUCCAACAUGUCGACAUGUGUCAGAUAUGACACGGAAGUUUCGGCAAGGUGUUUGUGCUUCAUAGUGUACUAUUAGUCCCACUGUGCACUGAAUUAGGCUUUUUUUCACCAUAAGACAAGACAUAUUAUCUCCUUAGCAUAGAAAAGAAGAGCAGUGACUUUCAGUCAAAGUGCCUAUGAAAUUAUGCCAAAGUGGGAAGAAAAAAUUUCCAGCUUUUCUAGUUAGGGGAACGAUGCUUAGAAAGAGCCAAAGAAUGUGUGUGACCAGGAGACGACCAUAAGAAAACAAUUCCAGUUAGUUAGGGGAACGAUGUUUAGAGAGAGCCAAAGAAUGUGUGUGACUAGGAGAUGACCAUAAGAAAAUGCUUCCAGCUUUGUUACAAGGUGUCUCUUAAAGGUUUUAUGCGAGAAUAUUUUUUUUUUCCUAAUUUGCCUUAGCUGGAUUGUCUUGAUCCUUUUGAGCAAUCACUUAGAAAUGCAUUCAGUUUUUUUUCAAGAUAUGUUAUUUGUUUUGUGUGCAAUUGUCAAAGCAAUAGUUACUAAAACAAUAGUUAUUUUAAGUGCAAUGACCAAUUUAAUCCCAUUCGAACACAAAAUUAAAAAUCUAAGAUACCAUUUCUUUGGCAAAAAAUGAACAAUUUAAAAAACAUUUUUUUAGAAAUAAUUGCUCGUAUCGUUUGAAAUAAUUAUUUAAUAAUUUUUUUCAUUAUCGACAAUAAUUAUGUCUAAACAUUNNNNNNNNNNNNNNNNNNNNNNNNNNNNNNNNNNNNNNNNNNNNNNNNNNNNNNNNNNNNNNNNNNNNNNNNNNNNNNNNNNNNNNNNNNNNNNNNNNNNNNNNNNNNNNNNNNNNNNNNNNNNNNNNNNNNNNNNNNNNNNNNNNNNNNNNNNNNNNNNNNNNNNNNNNNNNNNNNNNNNNNNNNNNNNNNNNNNNNNNNNNNNNNNNNNNNNNNNNNNNNNNNNNNNNNNNNNNNNNNNNNNNNNNNNNNNNNNNNNNNNNNNNNNNNNNNNNNNNNNNNNNUUAUUUGGUUUAUUUCCGCAUGCAUUUCCCCACUGUAAUUAUUCUAUCUUCAAUCUUCUUCACUUCGAGUCCUAGGUGCUUUUCACGACCAAAAAUCCAAUCUUGGAGGCUGUUACUCGUGUCUAAUAUAAGAAAUUAUGAAAUAAAAAAUAUACAUGAUAAACUAAAUGUAAAUCAGAAAAGUUGAAGAGAUUCUUAUGAAGUCCACUGUUUUUAAUAGUUCAUAUUCAAUUUAGUUUAUACACUAAGUUCACUCAAUAAUUUUUCUAGAUAGAUAACUGUGCCACUACUUCUUAACUAUCCUUUUGACUAUUCAACGGAAAUAUUACUACUUAUCUAAUCUCGAUCUGCUAAAUCUCCUCCAUUGAAAGGAUGGAUAUUGCAUAAGACCACCUUAUCUAAUGUAUACAAUCCAAUCAUCCUUUGUACACUGGAUUCGUUAAAUGAAUUUGUGAAAUGAGAGGUAUCAACAUAAUGUUGCAAGUGGAUAAGACUUUUAGCCAUGUUCCUAAUCCCUCAAUUGUAGAUGAUCCUGUGGGCAAAGGAUGAGUUCUAAAUCUCGCGAUCCAUUUGUAGGUGUAAGAGGACUUUGCUUAGCAAAGUACCACAAAAGUUAAACUUUACGCGUGGAAUAACUUCUCAUUAUAAAUUCUCAACCUCAAAUUUCAUGUCGUCAAAUCCAAGUCAAGUUAGAACAUUUUGAGUUUACUAUCGAUCCCACCAUGCACUGAACAAAGGUUUCUUCACCAUGAGCCAAGGUGUCUUCCUUUUCUCUUAGCAUCAAAAGAAAACGAGAGUGACGACUUUUAAGUCAAAUCUAUGAAAUUUUUACCAUGAGACAAGGCAUCUUCUUUUUCUCUUAACACCAAAAGAAAACAAGAGUGACACUUUUAAGUAAAGUCUAUGAAAUUUUUCUAUGAAAUUUUUUCCUAAGUGGACCAUGAGACAAGGCAUCUUCUUUUUCUCUUAGCAUCAAAAGAAAACAAGAGUGACGACUUUUAAGUCAAGUCUAUGAAAUUUUUUCCAAAGUGGACAUGAGACCAGGCAUCUUCAUUUUCUCUUAGCACCAAAAGAAAAAAAAAGAGUGACGACUUUUAAGUCAAGCCCAUGAAAUUUCUUUUCCAAAGUGGACCAUGAGACAAGGCAUUUUUUUUUUCUCUUAGCAUCAAAAGAAAACAAGAAUGAUGACUUUUAAGUAAAAUCUAUGAAAUUUUUUCCUAAGUGGGCCAUGAGACAAGGCAUCUUCUUUUUCUCUUAGCAUCAAAAGAAAACAAGAGUGACGACCUUUAAGUCCAGUCUAUGAAAUUUUUUUCAAGUAGACCAUGAGACAAGGCAUCUUCUUUUCUCUUACACCAAAGGAAAAAAAGAGUGGNNNNNNNNNNNNNNNNNNNNNNNNNNNNNNNNNNNNNNNNNNNNNNNNNNNNNNNNNNNNNNNNNNNNNNNNNNNNNNNNNNNNNNNNNNNNNNNNNNNNUUUACGAGUGAGUUCUCUCUCUCUCUGAUUUUAAGAGUGAGUUGAGAGUCUCACACUUUACAAGAGGCAAAGUAAAAGUUUAAGAGUGAGUUCAGAGUAAGAGCAAGACAGGCAAAAAAAAAUCACUUCCUCUUUUUUUAGUAAAUCAGUUUUAUUUGUCGACCACAUGUAAUAUGUAAAUGAAGAUGGUAUAAUUUUUCUUAACAAGCAAAUUUUGUCAUCAAUUAGGCUUAACUAUAGCAAAGUAAGCAAGCCAUGUUAUCAUAAUUACAUGACGUGACAAUUUAUUUAAUGGAGGAGUCAGUUUAAGCCAAAUUUGCAAAGUUGAGGUACUUGAUUAUAAAACAAACAACAAUUCAAGUAAGUAUAAUCUCAUUAUCCCUUAUCUAUUCUUACCACCCGUUAGUAAUAUAUGGGACAAGUGUCAUACGAUUCAGAUUACAAACCCGUAUAUAUUGUCAUUUCCCUUAUAACCACAUAUAAAAGUUCGGCGCUAUUAUAAUAGAAUAUCAAGAUGAUGUUGUCAUGAUUAUACAUCAAUUUUUAUUGACAAGAAGAAUUUAAAUAUUAUGAAGGACUAUUUGAGUUACAAGACUUUACAGAAAAAUCGAAUCUAAUAACUGAAUUUUGUUACUAAUUCGCGCUACAAUGAGAAAUCACAAGAGAAUUAUUUUAUUUCUGUGAAUAUGAAAUAAAAUAAUCAUAAUUUGGGCAUUAAUGAUUUUAACAUAUUACAUCAUCAAUUGACUAAAGAAAAGGUGCUAAACAAAUUCAUUGUAGUACUUUUACCCAAAUAUAAUAUGGCAUGUGUUUUAUAGAUGUAUAAUUCGAUUCACUCAAAGUUACGAAUAUCUUAUUGUAAGUUCAACAAAUGUGUGGGAGACAGAAAUUGCUUUAUAAAAACAUGUAUGCAUGUGUAUUUUAUGUAAAAGUGAGUACUACAUAAGUACUAUCUAAAUAGAGUUCUUCCUCAACUAAUGACUAAUACUAACCAAUAUUGACACCAGCCAUUGUUAUACUUUGGUAAGGUAUUAUACUCAUAAACUGUAUUUUGAAGGUAGAUUAUGUUGGUAAGACUCCUUAUGUAUUUUGAAGAUGUCAAAACACUAUCUGAACUUAUAUAUACACAUGUGAGUGUGUAGGCAAGUUAUCAUUUACAUAUACAACUUUAUAUGUAAAUGAUGUUAACACCAUGAUGUAUGUGCUAUCGAAGAAUUUUCUUACUUUAUGGCUUCGUUCGUUUCACCGAAAAUAAUUUUCAAAAAAAUAUUUUCCAAAUUUUUUCAACAUUCAUUUCAUGGAAAAUGAAUUGUUUGGGAAAAAUAUUUUCUAUGAAGGGAAAAAAGUCUUCUAAAUUAGGGGAAAAUAUUUUUCGCUUUUCAAAAGUAAAAAAACAUUUUAUUCACUUGAUCUCUUUUAUCUCACACCUUUACAAGCUCUUACUUCCUCCUCCUUCUUUUCUUUUUUAAAUUCAAAUUAUUUUUUAUUUUUCUUUUCUUUGUUUUCCCUCUUCUUCUUUCUUGGUCGGUCGUUGACCAUGAUAAUGGCAAGUAACCGACCAUAGGUGAGCACGAGGCUCAACUACCUCUAGCGAGCUCAAACUCGCUGCUCGCCAAAUCAGCGAGCAUGAGCGUCAAGCUCGGAGCUCGCAGGCCUGGCCAAAUCAGUGAACUUGAGCUCACCAACGAUGGGCAGGCCUCAUGCUCAUUGGCGAGCUCAAGGCUCACCUAUGGCCGGUCGUUGGCCAUCAUUGUGGCCGGCGACCGGCCAAGAAGAAGAGGAGGAAAACAAAGAAAAGAAAAAGAAAGAUGAAAAAAUAAUUUAAUAAUCAAUUUUUUAAAAAUAAAAAUAAUUAAAUAUAUGUUUUUUUAAAAUAUAAAAAAAUUAUGAAAAAAUUAUUUAAAAAUAAAAUAAAAUAAUAUGAAAAAGUGUAUAUGGAGGAAAAUAUUUUUUAUAUUGAAUAGCAGAAAAUAUUUUCUACUUUAUUUUUAGGUUCACCCGAAUAUCGAAAAAUAANNNNNNNNNNNNNNNNNNNNNNNNNNNNNNNNNNNNNNNNNNNNNNNNNNNNNNNNNNNNNNNNNNNNNNNNNNNNNNNNNNNNNNNNNNNNNNNNNNNNNNNNNNNNNNNNNNNNNNNNNNNNNNNNNNNNNNNNNNNNNNNNNNNNNNNNNNNNNNNNNNNNNNNNNNNNNNNNNNNNNNNNNNNNNNNNNNNNNNNNNNNNNNNNNNNNNNNNNNNNNNNNNNNNNNNNNNNNNNNNNNNNNNNNNNNNNNNNNNNNNNNNNNNNNNNNNNNNNNNNNNNNNNNNNNNNNNNNNNNNNNNNNNNNNNNNNNNNNNNNNNNNNNNNNNNNNNNNNNNNNNNNNNNNNNNNNNNNNNNNNNNNNNNNNNNNNNNNNNNNNNNNNNNNNNNNNNNNNNNNNNNNNNNNNNNNNNNNNNNNNNNNNNNNNNNNNNNNNNNNUUGUUGUUGAAUCCAAGUCAAGCUUCGAACAUUUUGAGUGUACAGUCGGUCCCGUUGCCCACUUAACAAGGCUUCCUUCACAUGAGACAGGUCAUCUUCUUUUUCUUUUAGCACCAGGAAAAAAAAGAAGAAGAGUGAAAACCUUUAAGUCACCUAUGAAAUUUUUCCAAAGCGGAGGGAAAAAAUUCCCAGCUUUACUAGUUAGUGAAACGAUACUUUUAGAUAGUCAUAAAGAUUGUGAACGACCAAAAGACGACUAGGCGACGAUGCUUCCAGAUUUGUCGCAGUGAAAAAAUUAGGCUAACAAUGGUAAGAAAAAGCAUUAACGCCAAGCAUGGAGGCCUUCGGUUACUUUUGCACUCUUUUGUAAGGGUGUAAAAUUUUCUCAAUGGGUACAAGUAUUUCUCUCUUUGCAACUAUUAUUGAAGGCACCUCAUUUUUUUACUGGGAAAAGUGCCAAAAAAGUCCUAAACCUUUUGUGUUUGUGCCAGUUUAGUCCCAAACCUUUUUUUGGUGUCAAUUUAGUCCUAAACUUUUUUACUUAGUGCUGAUUCAGUCCUUUCCGGUCAAUUUUGAACUUUUUUGAAAAUUUUUAAUAAUAUUUGAACUUUUUUGAAAUUUUUUAUUCUUUUUAUGUUUUCUUUAUUCUUUUUUCUCUUUUCUCUUUUUUCUUUUUUUCUUCUCUUCUCCUCCCUCCGGCCACUGGUCGGACCACGGCGACCGGCCAGAGGCAGGUCGGCCACCUCACCAGUGGCCACGAGGCGAGCCUCGCCAGCCCGGCGGGAGGCCGCCUCACGUCGAAUCUAGUGAGGGUCGAACCCCUCGCCCAUGGCCGGCGAGGCUCGACCUCGCCGAAUCGCAGCCUGGGUAGCGCCGACAAGGGCGAGCCUCGCUGGCCAUGGGCGAGGCACGACCCUCGCUAGAUCCAGCGAGGGCGAGCCUCGCCGCCCAACGCGAGGCUAUCCUCGUGGCCAUUGGUGAGGUGGCCGACAAGAGUCGCCGACCGUCGCCUCUGGCCGAUUGCCGUCGUCCAACUAGUGGUCGGAGGGAGGGGGAGAGAAGAAAAAAGAAAAAAAAAAAAGAGAAAAGAGAAAAAAAAUAUUAAAAAAUAUUAAAAAAUAUUAAAAAAUUAUUAAAAAUUUUCCACGUCAGCACCGAUUAGGCCAUGUCAGCCAGCUGGCGUCCAGUCAGCAAAAUCCGGCCAAAAGGACUGAAUCGGCACUAAAUAAAAAUGUUUAGGAUUAAUUUAGCACCGAAAAAAGGUUUAGGACUAAAUUGGCACAAACACAAAAGGUUUAGGACUUUUUUGGCACUUCUCCCUUUUUUUUUUACCAAUGUUUGACCAUGCAAACUAUUCUCAGAUAGCAUUUUCUCCAUUGGAAAAUUUUUGGUUUCCAAUGUGUCGAAGCCUUGAGUGUUGAAAAACAAAAAUCGUUGAAAUUACGAUGAUUGGUGUAACUGGGUUGUGCUCAGAAAGAACAAUGACGCCAAUUUGCCCACAUUGGAUGGCCAGAUCACACAUAUCACAAUUUUUAACUACUGCCAACCAAUCUUGAGGGCGUCGAGAAAAUUGCGAUUUUCCAAAUUAACUCAUGAAUUCAGGUAUAUUUAGUCACAACUAAUAUUUUGAGAAUUAGGUCAAUCAGAAUUUCAACGAGAAAGAUGUUGUGACUUUCCACCAUGACCAUUCCGAUCAAAUUUGCAGAAAUCCAUAAUCCUAGUGCUUUUACAAUUAUCGAACUGAAGGGAAAUGAAGGGUCAAAGUUCGGACAAAAGUUAAAAUAAGUAAUUUUUCUGAGUGGUCAAAGUUCGGACAGAUAUAAAAAUAAAAUAAGUGAUUUUUCGAAAAAAAAAAAAAAGAAACAAAAUUUGAUCCAGGUGGUGGCACUCCUAACGAGCAAAUGCCGCAUAGCGUUUGCAGCGCCAGGCCGAGGGCCCUGUACAAUAUCCCCAUGACGGUGUGCAGUGGCCCAAUCCCGAGGUCCCUUGCGCAUCAUUUCCCUCGCUUGCUUAUGAUUUUUCCAUUUAAAUAGGGGGUCAAAUGCUCAUUUUAACCGACCAAAAAAAAAUGCCCAUUUAACAAGGUAAUUUAUAUUAAUAAGACUCCUUAUGUAUUUUGAAGAUAUAUAUCACACAUGUGUGCACACAAACAAAUUAUUCUCUACAUGUACAAGUUUAUAUGCAGAUAGUGUUAACACAAUGAUGUCUAUGCUAUUUAAGAAUAUUCUUAGUUUGCAUAUAGAGAACAAGAUAUUGAGUCUAAAGUGUUAGACUUGAAAGAACCUUUGAAUUUUGGUGAACAAGCGAAGGACAUUAAAUCAUCGGGAUGCUUGGACGGACCAAAUAAAUGGAGAACGACUUCAAUAAUAUGAGUACAUCAAUAUACUUGGAAGGACCUAAAUAUAGAAGAUGAAUAGAUUGAGAUUAUGUGAAGUCACCAAGUUUGGACGUAUUGCAUUGUAAAGGAAGAUUGCGUUAUCGAUGGAGUAGACAGUACUCCAAGUACUUGGAAACAAAAACCCAGCUCUAAAUUGAUUUAAUUCAAAUUCCAAUUAUUUUAGGCGUCAUAAUCCACAAAGAGAUGUAGAGGAAAAAUCUGAUGGAGAUUAAUAUUUUUGACUAAGUAGAGGGAGUGUCAUUUAAAACUUUGUAGAGAUAAUUUAAUUUGUUUUGAGCAAGAUUUAUUAAUUAGCUCACUGUAAAUUUUCUUAGUUAAGAAGAACCCUCCUAAAGGGCUAGAAAGCCAGAUGAAGGCCAUUGUGCCCUAUGCUGGGGUAGGCACACACUAGGCCUUGGUUAGCAAUAAGUGGGUAUUGCAAAACCCCGACCUGUCUCCGGCUAAGGGGCCAUUGGCCCCUAUGAGUCUAUAACCAUGUAUAAAGUUUUCAUAAGCUUGUGACUUGAAAUGGAUUUUCAAAAAUUGGGCCAAGAGAUGGUUGUAGUGGAAAGUUAUGAAAUUUUCAUUGUUAAAAAUAUGCUUGAAGUGAUUCUUGGGGCUUCGAAAAAUUUGACUUGAUAUAUAAAAUGAAAUUAAUCAAUCACGUCAAAUUACUAUAUUCUUGACACCUCAUGAUUGAAUAACUGUCAUUGAAAGUUGCAAUAUCUUGAAAAUUGGAUAUUUUUGGAAAACUAUUAACAAGUACAAUCUAAUUAUAUCCUUGGAUUGAAUUUUUAAGGAAUUAAUAUUUUCAGUCAAUUUUUGUCAAACCUUUCGCUAAAAAAUUAGGUGUCUACAAGAAUUUUGAUUAUAAUGGAAAAAUAUUUGAAAACUAGGUUUUAAAAAAACUGAUUCCAUAUCUCGAUCAUUUGCGACAUAGAUUGAAUUGCAUUUGCUUAUGGGGACUCAUCCAUGUUAUGUCGCGAAACUUAUGCGCCAUGAAUCGGACAUUUGAAUAUUGAUUUAUGUUAGUUCGUAUCAUCUAUGCUACAUGUAGGACCAACACAUGUCAUUUUGCAUUUUUUAAGCCAUGAAUAAUUCGGACACGUUCAUACCAUUCACGAAAUUAGCUAGUUGCACGUCAUACAUCGAAAAUGGUAUUUCACCUGGAAAAGUGAAUAGUAUCGCAACAGCCUAUUGCAUAGACACCCAAUCAGAAUAUAGGAAAAAGAAGAACGGUGACCACAGGCAACAGAAUUUAUAUUGAAAGCGAAUUUAAAAAAGAGAAAAUCUUCUAGCCCAAUCCACUGCUCCUCUAAUUAAGAGAUGCAAUCCUCUAUUUUGCACAUUAUCAAAAGGUCGCAAGGGUAGGAAGAAGGUUAAUAUAAAAGGAAGCACAAAGACCAUUUAGUUCGGUAGUUUGAUUAGAUUCACUUUUGUUAUUAAAACGGUAUGCAUUGGACUCAUGCACACUAUUACGAUUGAAUGCGAUGCUGUUGUUUGAAUCGUAUGCAACAUCUUCAUGCAUGUUGCUUUGAUUGGACUGAAUUCAUCUUUGUAAUUGAGUUGUGUAUGUUGGAUUCACGAUCGACAUUCAAACAUUUUCUUCAAAUCUGCUUUCAUUCAUUUAACACGGCAUCACAUUCAGGUCCCUAUUUUCUUGCUGCUUUGAUUCAGAUUGAUUCAUGCUCUUUUGAUACAUUGGACUCAUAUGGAGCAUUUUUCUAUUUCUGAAAGAACAUGGAUCACACACCAUGAUCAGUCAAGCCCUUAUUCGACUCCAUGAUGCGGCAAUUAACCUGAGAUCAAGUAAUAGAGUUUUUAAUGUUUGAAACAAAAAAAAGAAAACUAUAUAUGUGUUUACUUUAAAAAAUCUCAUGAUAUGAGGAUUUAAUGAAGGAAUGUGCUAUCGGAAGGUGAUGUGGAAUAUGCUUACUCUUUCCUCCAUGUAAUUAAGUCGUCAAGUCUUAAACUUUUGGCUAUCGCUUUAUAGUCUAGUUAGCAUUUUAGUUCGCAAUAAACUUAAAAAAAUGAUUGGUGUCAACUCCUAAAAUAGUUAAGAAUUUGGAUCAAAGUGGCUUACCUCGAUCUAGUUUGGGUGGAAUUUUCGGACUUUACUCUCAAAAUUAUAAUUCUUUUGAAGAAACCACGAGGGACAUGCUAUAGUGAUUAAGUCAUAUGUUUUAUCAAUAUUUUGGUUUCAUGUAUAUGGAAAUGGAGGACAUAAGACUAAUUGAAGGAUUUCAGAUACUUUACGCUAUAGAUCAAUGACACGCCAUGAGGCGACGAUCCAAAGCUUGAUGCUUACGUUAGUGCAAAACUAUAGUUUUAGUAUUUUAUUCUUUCAUAAUUACACGGGUUCCACUAGAAAAGAUUGACUGGGGAAUUGCUGUAUCAAUUUCGAUUCAAUCUUGAACACCUUCUUUCGCGUUCAAGUCACGGUUGAGCGUGAUUCAAUCUUCGAUCAGUUUAGAGGUGAUUCCCAAGUUCAACCUUCGAAACCCCACGAAGAAGAAGCUGACCAAGGAGAAAUCUGAUUCCGCAAUCAACGACAACAAAAUCCCACGAAGAAGUUGACCAAUACCCUAAACCAGCUUUAGAUGUUGGGUAUUUUGUCGGCAUAUUUUAGAUGAUAAAUUGCGCGGGCAUGUGAACCCCUCUUCUUUAACACAGUUCAUGUUCAGUGGUAAAGCCAUUUGACCCAAGGUGGCAAUCAAUAUGAAUUAUGAAAGUAUAGGUUACUUUUUGAGUCUAACUCAAAAAAAUAUUUGUUGUCAUGCUAUUCUGAUUUAUAAUUUUAAAUUGGUUGACAUCUUUUAAAAUGCUGAUUUAUAUUGUACCUUUUGAAUUACGGUUGGAUGCAUACCAAGGAGGAUAGUAUCAUGUCCAACUGCAAAUUCAAAAACUCAUGGUAUGAAUAAAUUUCUCUCUAAAAGGUGAUGUGGAAUUUUGUAAAUUCCAUGUCAAUGUUCAUAUUCCAGCUAUAUAUUGAGAACUUAAUUAGACCACAUAAUUUUUUAUUAAUCUAUCAAAUCCAAAAACGUUUCUAACAAGGGGCCGUAGUACUUUUUGAAAAUGCGGAGGUUUUCGAGUAACUUUAAUGAAAUUGUGGGGGUGUCCUAGUAAUUUACCGUAUGAUCAAUAUCGCUAGAGGAAAAUAGAUCUUAAUUCAGUUUUUUUUUUUUUUACGAGAACUUCGUAAUAGCUCCUUAAACAUUGGAAUUUAAAGAAAUAGUAUUAAUUUUGGGGGGGGGGGGGGGGGGAGCUUUAUGGAUUUUUAUUUAAACAUACUUUUCCCUAAUUGGGACAAAAUUGCAAUUUCAAAAAAUUUGGGGGGGGGGGGGGGGGGGGGGUNNNNNNNNNNNNNNNNNNNNNNNNNNNNNNNNNNNNNNNNNNNNNNNNNNNNNNNNNNNNNNNNNNNNNNNNNNNNNNNNNNNNNNNNNNNNNNNNNNNNNNNNNNNNNNNNNNNNNNNNNNNNNNNNNNNNNNNNNNNNNNNNNNNNNNNNNNNNNNNNNNNNNNNNNNNNNNNNNNNNNNNNNNNNNNNNNNNNNNNNNNNNNNNNNNNNNNNNNNNNNNNNNNNNNNNNNNNNNNNNNNNNNNNNNNNNNNNNNNNNNNNNNNNNNNNNNNNNNNNNNNNNNNNNNNNNNNNNNNNNNNNNNNNNNNNNNNNNNNNNNNNNNNNNNNNNNNNNNNNNNNNNNNNNNNNNNNNNNNNNNNNNNNNNNNNNNNNNNNNNNNNNNNNNNNNNNNNNNNNNNNNNNNNNNNNNNNNNNNNNNNNNNNNNNNNNNNNNNNNNNNNNNNNNNNNNNUUACAUCUUGAUAUUAUAUCUCUAGUCUUUCUGUGCAAUAAAGCAAACCCAAUGAUUUCUACAUGGCAAUAUAUCUCUAAUCUCUCUACACAAUAAAGUCGUUAUUUAAGGGACGUUGGUAAUUUAGGUUGCUUGAAAAUUCAAGGUGACAUUAUUUUAAUAAUAGGUUACACGACUUGACUCAUUGGAGGCACACGUGCACUUAAAAUAUGUGUAGCACGCGGUCGAUUGAGGCAAUAAAUUGCCCUAAAUUGAUAAAUAGGAGUUAGUUUGGUUUCUAAACAAAAUUGAAACCCCUAAAAUUCUGCUGCAACUCAACUUGCAGGUCACUAGGCAAGAUCCUCGAUAGCUUAUGGGUGCGGUCGCUGUGGGAUGGAAGGCGGAGGACGUAUGGGUCAAUGGAACGUCGAGGCUUUUUUUUUUUUUUGGCAAUUGAGUCCACAUCAGCUGCCAAUAUUUUCCGUCCAUGAUUCUAAGGGAGACGCAGCAGCGACCUGCAUUUGGAAAGUUGAAGUUUAUUCCUCCUCCUCUUCUAAUUGCCGUACUUACGAUGUUGUUUCUUUCUAUAUUACUAGUAACUAGGCGCCAACGCAUGGAACAAAAUUGAAGAAUGAAAUUCUCAAUAAAUCUAAAUAAAAUUAGUAAUUAUAUCAUGACACAAAUGUAAAAUAAGUCCGCACUCUAAAAGAAAAGGACACUUGCAAAACCAAAUACAUGUUUUACGCAUAUAUAUUACACUCACAUACAUACUUAGUCGUCGUCGAAUUACCUUCCACAUAAAGUUGCAGUAACUGUUACAUCCUAUUCAAGUUAAUUUCCCUUCUUUAAAAAAAAUCAAUUGCGAGAGCAAUAAUAUCAAUUUAGUUUUGGUAAAGAGAUUACUUAAUUGACAAAUUCUAGGUAUUUCCUCUUUAACAUAAUCAACAUAAUGAUGGUCAUGCCCAUCAAACUUUUACAUCACUCAGGAUAAGAGUUUGCAAGGCCAAACAUUCACAGAGGUAUAGAGAGAGUAUAAAGAUUUGUGAACAAGAUAAGUGUUUGCGAGUUUGUAGAAUAUGGAGAUGCACGACCGCCAUAUACAGCAAUAGAUCCUUCGAAGAUUCUUAAUUUUUUUUUGUUUGUCCGUUUAGCAAUUUUUCAAAAAUUCCAUCAGAAUUGUGUUUAUUUUUACUUUCUUAUUAGAUUAAUUAGAUUGAUGCGUUGCCUACUCAACAUCAUAUGUGUUGCUUCCUCCUACCUACGUUUCCGAACUAGUAGUGGCUGGUCUAGGGAUUGGGCUAGGUGGGGCCAAUUUGGAGAAGGCGCCCUAUCCAAGCACGUGGUCUGACUGUGUCGUGCUUGGCGCCGCAAAAUGGUGGAAUCUUAUUUUGCAUACAUGAUUAGAUCCAUAAAAAUGGGUUAUAAACCCAUUUCUUAACCCAUAACCCAUAUGGGUGUUAAAUGGGUUAUAGAUAGGCUAAUUAUGAUAAGUAAAUGAGUCAUAAAUAGGUUUUAAUUCAAUAUAAGUGUUAAAUGGGUCAUAAUGAGUUAUAAAUGGGUCAUAAAAACCUAAUCUAUUUUUAUGACUCUUUUUUAGUCUCUUUCACCUUUCGAUGUCGUGCUCACUCACUCACUCUCACCUUAGUUUGAUUAUGAAUUUUCAUAGAUUUGGUUAUAUAUAGAAGUAUUUCUGUAAUAUAAGUCGGGUCAGAUAUGAAUAUGGGUUACUGGAUUUGCAUUGCAUGGAUAUGGGUUGAAAUAAGUUAAAUGAGUUUAUUUGGGUUGGAUUAUUUAUAACCUAACCCACCCAUAUGACAAGUCUAUUGAACCUCUCCGGGAUAGUAAUGCGGCUAAAGAGUUUGCUGGGCCUGGAAAAUUAGUCAUACAGAGGCCCGAUUCCUCUCACUGUGUCGGGGGUAUUAAUCUAAUUGAACAUCUGGUCCUGUUGGAUAAUGUAUCCACGCAAGGAAGCUUUAAAUUCUCUGUUUUGUGUUAUCAACAAGAAACCUGCAGCAGUGUCAUCAAUUCUCUUCUAUUGCAUUGUAGGCUUUACAAACAUUUCCAACUAAUGAAAAUUCUAGAUAGUGAGUUACUAGAGAAGAAGAGAAAAUGAUCAUGUUGAUGCAGAUGAUGAGAGCAUUAAUAUAUAUGACUUGCAAGUGCAUUUUUCAUUAUGUCGAAAGAGGCAAAGAUAUCACCUUUUUUUUUUUUUUUUUUUUUCCGGUCUGGGUAAGUUGCUUCUUUUUUAUCCCCUUACUCAUCAUUUUGAUUUAGUGAGUUACCCAAUGUUAGUGUAAAUCUAUAGCGUCGGUUUCAAAGGAACUUUCGAUACUUAACUUCGAUGACAAUGAAUUUUAAAAAUUGCAGAGGAAGUUUUCCCCUUGUGUGGCAAAUUAUCUCAAGCAUGUCGAAAUCUUUCUCUUCAAUUCUCGUCCUCUUAGCUCAAAACAUUUGGUUGCCUUGGCUAAGUUCCUUCCGGAGGAUGCAGUCAUACUGGAGAAGACCAUUGUCAAUACUGGACUGUGGAAAUGUCAUCCAGAAGUAUCAGUGAAGCCGGUUGAUCUAUGGAAUAUGCUUGAAGUGACUGAACUAUUACCAAGCCACAAGAGCUUUGAAAAAUGCUAAAUUUAGGAAAAAUAACACUACAAGUGUCAUAAGUUUUGUAUGGCAUUCAUUUGAAUGUUAUAAUUCUUUUUUUAUUACUUGAUUGUCAUAUGACUUUUCAAUCGAUCACGUGCUUUUUUUGAUGCUAUAAUUUUUACAAAAACGUUCACCAAAAGUGUUAUGCUAUGUUAAAUUUCAGAUAAUUGAUUGAAUGUCUUUAAUAAAUUUUAAUACUCAAAUAAUUGAUUAAAAGUUAUGAUAUUCAAAUGAUCGUUUUUUAGAAAUCAUGACACUCGAGUAGUAAAAAAAAAAAGAAGAUAUAGCAUUUAAAUAAGCGUCACAUGAAAAUUAUGACAUUCGUGGUAAUUUUAUUCCGCUAAAACUUAUAGUCAAUUAUCCUUUCAAGGGAUGCUUUUUUGAAAGCAAACACAAAUGAGUUCUGAAAGAUCUCAUAAGAUAGACACGUUGUCUUGACAAUAAAAUGGGUUUCUUUGUAUUGGAAUUAAAUUGACUAGAAAAAGGUUUUUCGUAAUCCCCACACUACCUAUUUAAUCCGCCCAGCAUGUUUUUCAUUAAUUCAACCACAUUUCGUUGGAAAACUUUCCAGCAUACGAAUAUUGCAAGUUAAUAUAUACUGAUAAGUGAACUCCAAUUAGAGCAGUUUAUAUCUUUAUAAAAGCUUGUAACUUCUAACAUGACCAUUAUAUUCGGAAAUAAACGCUGUUAAAGCUGUCAUAAAACAUGGGGUGUUUCCGAGGACAGAGGAAACAUCGGGACACGUGGGAAGUCCCUCUGCAAUGCAUUGUUCCACCGGCAUGUUUGCUGUUCAGUCGGCGACAGCAACGCACAAAGAGGCGGCAGAAUUCGGUGCUGGAACGUGCGUUAUCCACAAAGUGAACGGGCCCGCAGUCCACAACACUCUGGUUUGCCCUCGACUCUCCUCCAUUAGCAUCUGCUGCAUGUUGCGUGGUGGCAGUAGCGAUGGAAAUGGGUCAAGGCCAGGAAGUGAAGACCCGAAAUGAUCCCCAAGUCGAAAAUUCAGGUUCUAUACUCGCUUUGUCUCUUUUUUUACUGUGAAUCAACACGACAUAUAAGAAGAAGAUUUGCCAGCAUAUUUCCCACAGAAUGGGGUAACUAAAACCCCGUAUAGGUACCGAAAAUUAAGUAAUCAAAAGAACCAAAUUCUCAAACUCACCCACGAACUUUGAAAUCCAUGCACUACAUACAAUUGCAUCCAGAUUAUGCAUCAAUUAGAUUUUGAACUCAUAUGUAUGUGCUUUGACGGUGACAAAUGUAACAAAUUUAGUGAUCUUAAUUUCAUAUAAAGAAUUCCGAAUACUUAGCCUUGAACGAAAAUCACGUACCUACUGAUCAAUACAAGAUGAAGCCGUACGAAUCUCAGACUAAGUUUUGCUCUCCUUCUCUGUUCUUAGAUGGUCAUAAAUAACCCGUCUAUCACUAGUCACUGUUGAAAUACUGAGUUAUACUAAUUAUCCAACCACAUCAUUACUAUAACAAAAUGUGCUACACCUGAUAUAAGGCCCAAUUCCCUUAAAAAGGACCAAUUUUCACUUUAUAUCCAAAUCUGGUCUAAACACUUUUUUUUUUAUUUCAUAAAGAAUUACCAAAUCUCACUCCAUGCUCAAAUCUGCCCCUGUUAUUUAUCCGUCCAAUAUCGCCGUUAAAGUCUUAUGUAUCACAUCCAUGCAUAUAUUUCUCUUUCUCCAUUGAUGACGUGGAAUUUCGGCUCAACUGAAUAAUUUAUUCUAAAAAAUCUUCUUCUUCUUUUUUUUUUUUGCUAUCUUCUUAUUUUGAAGGGAGGUGCUCGAGUUCGAAACAAGCAGCCGACGCCCAUACCUAUUCAAAGAGUUACUGCAAACAAUGCCACAUCAACGGAAGUUGGCUUUCCGACCCCCAAAAAAAAAAAAAAAGAAGUAGCUUGACCAGCAAAACGUCUUUGAUGCAGGCCAGUUACCAAACGAGAGGUCCCAGCUCCUCCUACUCGUCACCGUUCAUCGUCUUCUUCGCAAGGACUCACUCGGGCACAGCUUUACCACCUCUCACCCAUCGCCAUCUAAGCAUCCGACUCCGCGCCCCGACCUCUGACAACCCCUCCGCGAUGGUUGGCUGUUGUCGAAAUCAUCUGCGGCGAGCUAGGCCGAAACGCCUAUUUUCUGUUCCGGUUUUUCUAGCUUCGAGAAGCCGUUUUUAUCGGCCACCAUCUCCGCUCAGCCAUCCUUGAAGCUUUGUAUAUCCACAACGUGUCCGGACAAUGACGAAACGAGCCCACGCUUUCCCUGAAACCACCGUGGCCGAGAAGGCGCAGAUCGUUUCCUUCACUCUGAGCCCUACGGUUGACCUACGUUGAUGGAGUUCGCCACUCGCGAUUGAGGUGCGCAACCUGACAUUUGAGGUCAUGCGACUCAGUUCUGAGGUUGCGCGACUCAGAUUUUAGCUCAAGCACCUUCAUCCAUGGUGGUUGCAAGGAAAAACGGAGGAAAGAAAAUAAGAUAUAUUUUUUUAUAAAUAUUUACUUCUGCUGAAAUUCCACAUCAUCUAUGGAGAAAGAGGGAAAUGUAUGCUUGGAAUUUACACAUCAGACUUUAAAAGCAAUAUAAAUAACAGGCCGGAUUUGGAUAUAGAGUGAAAGUGAUUUUUUAUUAGGCAAAAAAACGUUUGGGCCAAAAUUGGAUGCAGAGUGAAAGUUUGUGUUUUUUUAGGAGAAUUAGGCUCCCAAUAUAAUAUGAUAAUGUAAUUGUAUUUGAGCAAAGCAUUCUCACAUAUUUUAUAAACUUUAUAAUGACUUUUGGCAAACUAAAAUGCAAUAAUGCUAGCCUACAUUUUAUAAAAACUUCUAAUAAAUUAAGGCUCAAAAUUACAGUCUUCCCGUUCGUUUUAGACUGCGGUGUUUUAGAUAGAUAGCUUGGUACUUUCUAAUGUUUUAAUAGAAUUGGCUAUAACAUAAUCAUUACUAGCUUAAGAAAAAAACUCAAAAUUUCGAGUUUUUAAUACCGGAAGAAAACUUCUGACGUAGAGAAAAAAUACCAAAAGAAAAGAAGUCUCUCGUUCAGGAUUGAACAACACUGAAAGCGCAUAGGAAAGAAGCAAUUGACAAUUGCCUCUUGACCGAGCAAAACACUAAUUUUUUUACAUUCUUCCAGAGCCAUAACAUGACCAUCUCAACCUGUCAUGGUCACCAUGUGGCUGAUCAUGUCAGUGAGAUUUAUAAUAGUUUGCUAAGGAAGAUCAACAAUGAUUAUGGGUGAUUAGUUUCAGGACAGGUUGGUUCUCCCCUAAGACCAAGAACUCGAUUGGGCAUGGUCGGUUUCCCAUUUGUGGAAUCAGAAAUCGGCCUAUCCUAUUUUGAGACCGCACUAACCGAUUGGGGCCGAUUCUUGGGAUAAUCCCAAAACCAGUGAUUUUUUGUUUUCAUUUUUUUUCCUUCUAUUCCUUACAAGUCUAGGUAUUGCUAAGUGCGGAUGCGCAAACAAGUUAUAUGACUCUUGAACAGAUUGCUAUUUCCUACUCCGAGUCAUCUUUCUCUUUUGGCCUUUUUAUCUGUUUGUUGGUGGUAAUGAUGGGAGGAAGCAAAGAUUCAAUUCAUAAAGGGGUCGAUGUUGGCUCUCUGCUUUAUAGCGUAAUAGAAACUGAGGACUGAUGGCACAUCAUGUGGGUUUCACAUCUCAGCUCGGGUGUUCAGCAAGGUUAUAUGCAGAUGCAUAUAGCAACGAACCAUUGGUGGGUGUAAUUAUAAUGUUGGAUGAGUGGCUACUUCCCCUUCCACAUUACACCUGCCCACAAAUUAUUGUAACGAAGGUGGCAACAGCAACACAUGCAAAUAGAGAAAAAAGCUGAAGUCAAUUCUUAUUCCUCGACUAAUAUUAGAAUCAGAUCGGUCACCUUAAUGCUUUUACCUCACCCUCUUCUUUUUUUCGCACUGCAAAAGUGAGUCUCGCGCGGUGUACUUGCACCUGCAAAGUCAACUGUGUUAGCUUCAGAUUGCCUAAACGCGGUGGAUUUUAUAUUGGGCCAGGCUGAGCCCACAUGGACUGUUCAAUCCAUCGUUAAAGACUGCUAAGAUCUAUUGGGCCAGCUCAAGGGCAUGAUUCUCUGUUUUGAACCGAGCAUAUACAAUCAAGUGGCCGACUGGGUCGCCAAAGCCCACCUAGCUGAUUCCCUCCCGAAGAACUGGAUUACCAACCCCCUAAUUUGCUGAUGUUGAUUUUAUGUUCGGACAUCGAAACCUUAUGUUUUUCUACAAUGCCGAGUUAGUAAUAUCGUUAAUUUUGACCAAAAAAAAAAAGUGAGUCUCAAGCAUAUAGUCACGUAACAUCUCAAGCCUGGAGAAAUAGUGCUCUCUAGUCUUUUACAUGGAAUCAGGAAUAGGAUUGGUUCCCAUGAAAACCUCUUAGAACUAGCCGGUUUGGUCCGGUCCGAUUCAAUCUCGUUCUUGGGUUGAACCGGAUGAAUACACACUCCUAGUCAUGAUACUAGUUCACUCUACAUUACUAUAAAUUAAAGUAUUUAGGACAUAAUUAAUGUAACCACAAAGCCUAAAUCCAGUUAACGCAAUUCUUUACCCAGAACUCCGUGUGAAUCACAUGUAAAUCAUUCACUUCUUUUGUCAUCAUUAGAGAAAGCACAUGAUAUAGUUCAAAACUAUGAAGCUUAGACACAUCAAUAGCACGCUCGGAAUUACCUCAAAAAUUGAAAAGCUAAAAAAAAAUCAAGCUAGAUUACAGAACGUGUGAUGACAAAAAAAACUUGGCAUUAGAAAAAUGAUGCCUACACAAGAUUAUGCUGUAAAUUAUCUUAAACAUCUGAUAAGCAAGAUUAAGCAUGAAAUGGACUUUGAUCACAGCUGCAGUCCUCAGUAAACACAUGAACAUUUGGGCAAAAACGAUCUGCUCAUGCACUAUGCUUCCUUUCUCGGGUCCCUUGAUGAAAUUCUGCGUUUGGAAAAGCAAUAAAAGGCACAUGCAUUAUCAGUCAGAGUGGACUGAAUCAUUUUAAACACUAUGGAAUGCUAAAACAGCCUCUGACCAUAAAUUAGAAUGCUUAUCAUCACAAAUAACAUUUACAGAGAUCUCUACACUUAAAGGACUAUCUACAAACGCUACGAUUAUAAAAUGUUUUUACAUCAUGAGACAAAAUAAUUAACAUCAACCAUUACUGUCAUCACACACAAACAAGAGAGAAUCUUAUGAUGCGAGUAUCUAAAUGUAACAUUCAUAUUUGCACUUUACAUGAAUACAAAGAGUUGCAAAACUAUAGUUCAAAAGUCAUUUUGUGAUGAAUUCACCUCAAGGAUGGGAACUAUCUGGGUUGCAAAUUUGAUUUAGGUUGAAGAGAUUAACUAUUGGGAAUAAGAACAAUGACAUAUAAUCANNNNNNNNNNNNNNNNNNNNNNNNNNNNNNNNNNNNNNNNNNNNNNNNNNNNNNNNNNNNNNNNNNNNNNNNNNNNNNNNNNNNNNNNNNNNNNNNNNNNUCAUUAUGAAUGGGUGCCAACUUAUCCUGCCCCUCUUAUUGCACUUUUGGCACAGAUGUGCUGCGCCUGUGAACUAAGUCGAAGUCUAGCCGUGCAGUUGCUAAUCCAACCUCGGUCCGUCCAGACAACGAGUGGAGGGAAGUGCGGGGGAAGCGUAACAACAGACCCUGAUUCAACCAGAGAACCCCCCUCCCUCACCUCGCACUAUGGUUCCCCCUCAGUUAGAAGGUAGUAAACAUUAUGCAAAUCAGCAGAUGGAGCCUGAAAUGGUAAAUCCGGUACCUACGAAUGAGGUAGAUCUCCCCCCUCCAUCCUUUGAAUUAAUGCCUGAUAUCCCUCUCGCCCCUCCUCUGGCGAUUCAAGUUCAAGAUUCAGGGAAAUCCUCUUCAGAUUCGUCAUCCUCAGAUGAAGAAGGGGUGGAUGAAACUGCUUCGGGUAAGAGCGGCUCGGACUCACCGCUUGUGGUAGCUUCAUCUAUCCUGGAGGAGACUAUCCCUCCCCCACCUCUCCCAGAUCCUUUGAUAGAUGUUCCUGUUUGCCUGAAAGGACCUCUUCGAUAUGCAUCUGCUGAUGCGAGUAUACCACCUAGCCCAAAGCCGGUGCCCUCCUCGGUUAGAAAACGAGGAGGAAGGAAGAAAUAACCCUUCCUAUCUUUUGUGUCCUAUGUUUUUUGGAGUUUGGAAUAUUAGGGGUCUCGGUCUCCCCCUUAAGCAAGCUGAAAUUAGGCAUUUUGUGAGAACCAACAACCUUAGUUGUGUGGGCAUUUUAGAGACCAAAAUCUCUCCUGCUGCGUUUUCUACUAUUUCUGUAGCCCUUAUUCCGGGUUGGCGGUGGUGUUCCAACUACACUCAUUCGCAUAGGGGGAGAGUAUGGGUGGGUUGGAAUCCCAAUAAUGCCUCUUUUGAUAUCUCUGAUUGUUCGGCUCAGGCUAUUCAUGGUCAGUUGCUUUGUCUCAAUAGCGGCGGUUCUUUCAAUCUUUCUGUUAUAUAUGCGGAGCAUUCCUUCAUUAUGAGAAGACCCCUCUGGAAUGAGCUUAUGUGCCUUAGUCUAGUGCUCUCGGACUCGCCGUGGAUUAUCGCUGGAGACUUCAACGCGAUUCGGGAUGCAUCGGAUAGAGCCGAUUCUUCUAACUAUUGGAUCCCCUUGUUCAAUGAUUUUGGAGAGUGUCUUGCUGAAGCUGGAUUGGAUGAUCUAAGAUAUGUGGGAAAUAGAUUCACGUGGGCAACAUCUUCGGGUUUGAACCGCAGGCUUAGGAAAAUUGAUAGAGUUUUGAUCAACUCAGCCUGGAAUUCGAUGUUUUCGUUCUCGGAAGCAUCCUUUAUGGCCCAAGGGGUGUCGGAUCAUUGCCCAAUGGUUGUUAGAAUCAUGCCUGUUCCCAAUACCCACAAGCCUUUCAAGUUCUUCAAUUUUUGGAUGAGCCAUCCCUCCUUCUUUGACAUGGUCUCACAGAUUUGGAAUUAUGAAUUUCCUGGUACGUCUAUGUAUUCCCUGUCCUGUAAGCUUCAUGCGCUCAAAUGCAGGCUUAAGCAUCUAAAUAGGAUGGCCUAUGCGGACAUAACUAUGAGAACUGAUGAAGCUAGAGCCCAGCUCUCUUUGGCCCAGGAAGCCAUUCAACUUGAUCCGUUUAACCAGGCCCUAGCGAAUACAGAGAAGGAGAAGUUACAAGUAUUUUCUGACCUUCGCCUCCAAGAGGAAUCAUUUUAUAAGCAAAAGUCGAGAGUGAGGUGGCUUAAGGAAGGAGAUCUAAAUACAAAAUUUUUCCACCAAUCCGUCAAACAAUCCCACUUGCGAAAUAGAAUCAUUUCAAUCCAUGAUGGAGAACGGUUGGUCUCUCACCCGCCUGAGGUACAUCAGCUCUUUCUCUCUCAUUUCCAGGAUCUUUUGGCGGCCUCUCCUCCAUCCGCGGUGCCCUUGGUUGCCGAAAUCCAGGAGAAGUUGAUGCACACUCUCAAUGAUAUACAGAUCCAAGAGUUGUCUCGCCCUGUUUCGGAUGAGGAAAUUCGGUCUACUCUGUUCUCCCUUGCUUCUGGUAAAUCCCCUGGCCCAGAUGGCUUUAAUGUUGAAUUCUUCAAGCGGGCGUGGGAGACUAUAGGACCAUUGGUCCUGUUGGCAAUUUGGAACUUCUUUAUUAAUGGUCAGCUUCUGAAGGAGAUCAAUGCAACUAUCCUGACUCUAAUCCCGAAGGUCCCUAAUGCGUCAACGGUUAAUGACUUUCGACCCAUAGCAUGCUGCAAUACUAUAUACAAGUGUAUCACAAAGAUUAUUGCUAACAGGUUAGCUGUUGUGCUCCCUUCUAUAGUUAGUCUUCCUCAGAAUGCUUUCGUGAAAGGAAGACGCAUAAGCGAUAACAUUAUGCUGACCCAGGAAUUGUUUAGUGACUUCCAUCACAAUCCUUAUCGGCCUAAAUGUAUUAUCAAGGUUGAUUUUUGUAAAGCCUACAAUUUCAUUGAUUGGAACUUUAUCCGGCUUACUUUGAUGGCCUUUGGAUUCCCUGCAAUUUUUAUCGACCGCGUAAUGGUCUGCAUUCGUUCACCUAAGUUUUCUAUCUCUCUUAAUGGUGAAUUGCAUGGUUUUUUCUCAAGUGGGAGAGGAAUUAGGCAGGGUGACCCUAUGUCCCCUUAUCUCUUCACUCUUGUUAUGGAAGUUUUUACUGGAAUCAUCAAUACCCAAACGUCCAAGGUGGGCUUUGAUUUUUUCUGGAGAUGCAAAGCGACUAGGCUCUCCCACCUUUUCUUUGCAGAUGAUGUACUAUUAUUCUCCGAAGGUAAUAUGUCUUCUUUGUCCCUGCUAUUGGAUGGGAUUCAAUCUUUUGCUGGCUGGUCUGGGCUUAAGCCAAACUUCAACAAAAGCGAAAUAUUUCUCUCGGGUGGCUCUCAAGCUCUAAAAGAUUCCAUGGUUAGUACCUCUGGCUUUCAGUUGGGUUCGCUCCCUUUUAGGUACCUCGGUGUUCCUAUUGUUUCAUCUAGACUAGGCAAAGUGGAUUGCAUAUCUUUGGUGAAUGCUAUAACCUCGAGAGUCCAAUCUUGGAUGAACCGGUUCCUCUCCUUGGCCGGUAGAUUGCAGCUGAUCAGAUCGGUCUUGCACUCGAUUCAGGUUUAUUGGUCUAGUGUGUUCAUCCUCCCCUCUUUGGUCAUAAGACAAAUAGAGAAAAUAUUUUGCCAAUUCCUUUGGAAAGGACCGACCCUUGGAUCAGGAGGGGCGAAGGUCAAAUGGGAUGAAGUCUACCUACCCAAGGAGGAAGGUGGCUUGGGUAUCUGACCCAUCCGGGUUAGCAAUAUCGCUUCAAUGAUUAAGCACUUGUGGCUCCUCUUUAUUGAUAAAGAAUCGCUUUGGUGCAAAUGGAUCCAUUCCAACUUCAUCAAACAUAAGAAUUUUUGGUUCAUCCCUAGACCUACCAUAUGCUAUUGGUCUUGGAAAAAGCUGCUAGGCCUUCGAGACUUAAUUCAGCAUCAAUUUAUGUGGCGAAUAGGCAAUGGAUUAUCUACAUCCUUUUGGUUCGAUCAUUGGCAUCACCGGGGGCCGCUCUAUAAGCUUUUCACAGAUCGGAACAUAUACUGUUCUGGCAUCCCUCGGCUUGCUUCUAUUGCUGCUGGUAUUACUGCCCUCUCCCUUCCCUCUGCAGUCUCUGCGGCCAUUAUGAGUUGGGAUGAUCCUCUCCCAAACCUCAACGACAAUGAUGAUAGACUCCCAUGGCUGGGCCAUUCUUCAGGGAUGUUUACGACGGCUUCUGCUUGGACACUUCUAAGGGAUAGGGGCCAGCUGGUGCCUUGGUCAAGAUUCAUUUGGAGUUCUUCUCUUCUCCCCCGGUAUCAAACCCACUUAUGGUUGAUCACUUGCAACUGAUUACCAACACAGGUAAUUCUGUUUGCUCAUGGGAGAAUUCCAGUUUCCUCAUGUGUGUUCUGUUCCUCUAGACCUGACUCUGUUGAUCACUUGUUCUUCGGAUGCCCGGUUACGGCUAGUCUGGGUGCUUUCUAGGCGAAUAAGUGUAACCUCCCAUGGCGGAAUUCUACGUGGAAGGAUAACUUAGAUUGGGUUAUCAAGCAUCUCUCCGACACUAGCUUCUAUCAAUCGGUGGCUCGCUUUGGCUUUGCCGCCUUAUGCUACCUUAUUUGGAAGGAGAGGAAUAACAUCAUCUUCCGCAACCAAACCUUAUCCCUCCCGGCUUUAAAGGAACAUCUUCGCAUGGCUAUCAAGGAUAGAGCCUUUACCUUUUUGAAGGUCCCGGAUACGACUCGUAACAGAAGACUACAACUCAGUUGGGGAAUCCAUCCUUCGAUCUUUGACUAAGGCGUUUCAUUUUGAGUAAUGAGGCGUCCAGUCUCUUCAGCUUUGGAUGCAUCCAUGGUGUCCCUUCUUUCGCUAUCUUUCAAUUUCCUGGUUGUAGUCCUUCUCCCCUGCGCGGGUGCCUUCGUCUUUCCCCUUCUCUUCCUUUUUGGCUGUUGUUUAGCCUACGUCUAGCUGCUGUUUCUUUCGUUCCUCUCUAUGCAGCUCCUUCCCCCCCCCCCCCCUCCCCCCUUCCCCGGGACCCUUCCACUCGCUUGGGUGGGUGUCUUUUGAGUGCAAGCCUUUGGGCCAGGGUCUGUUGCUAUAUAGGUGUGUAGCUCAUUGGUUCUUUAGCUAAUAUAUAUUUACCCUUUACCAAAAAAAAAACAAUAUAAUCAGAAUAAACCAAGAAUCAGGAAUGAAUGAGAGUAAGGAUGUCAUAACUUCUCUUGAAGACCUUUUCUAGUGUCCUCGUUGUAAUUAAUUUCCUAUUAUAAAAGGAAAUCUAUAGCGAUAGGUAUACUCAAUCUUAGCAUGAGUUUCAUAUCACUACAAGAAAAUUGCCACAGUGCAUUAAUCUAUGCCAUUUUAAUGUUAACAGACUAUGACAGAGAAAGGUCAAACCAUGCAGACCACCUGCUACAAGCACGAGUAAUUGAUGAUCAUUUAAUAUGUAGCAGAGGUGCAUCAUAAUACUAUACAUGGUGUACAUGAUAUUCAUCAAAGGUAAGGAUUCGAUUUUUCAAAAGUCUUACCUAGUUGUACAAAGGUAUAAGAGGGGUCGACAGGAAGAAUCAAUGCAUGCAGAUCGAACGAGAACCCUGAUGAUUAACCCAUGAACUGUCAGGCUUUGGAGCUGAACAUCAAAUAGAAGUGUUCAGCAUAUCUAUAAAAUACUUGAACAAAUCAUAGAUUCCACAACGUCAUUAGGAGUAAAUGAAUGGAAAAGGAGGGGAAGAAAGGCGAAGAGAAAUGAUAUUGAUGUAAGAUGUUUCUACAAAACAAAGAAGAACCAUGAAACCAAAUUGAUUUUAUCAUUGUGAAGACAAAUUAUUUCAAGGCCAUUUUUUUCUGCAUGUAAUUUGUUUCCAAAGUGUACUAAUUGUUUAAGAGGCAUGAAAAGGUUAUGGUCUGUCAGUCCCUUAAAAUAUUUGCAACUGAAGAGCCUAAAUUGGAGAAUUGUUGGACGGAUAACCAUAUAUGUUAAUUAAUUCAAGAAAGGGAUCAAGGAAGAAGUUAUUUCUCUCAAACCAGUCUAACUAGGGGAUUAUCAAAUAUUAAGAUACUGCACUUCGUCUUUUUUCUUAACCAAGGACGUGCCAUUAUAUUUCUCAAAUGGCAAUCUGGCUAAGAGUACCUAGUCUAGAGGAAAGCUUCAGAGGAUUAACAAGGCAUCUGAAAACUGGCAAAAGUAAAAAGAGGAAUCCAAAAUUCUUUUUUUUGGUUUACUAGGCAAAUUCUACACCUUUUAUAGCAACCAUUUUAUGGCUGAACUCCGCUCCACUCAAGCAACUAUACUUAGUGUCAGUCUGGAUAAGUGUACCCACCAUCUCGGGAUAAGCACCUUAUCCUUGAUGGAGAAAACCUCUGAAUGGGUUUUAAUCCAACCAAUGGCCCACUAGUUCUAAGGUUGCAAUUUCUUUUCAAAACAUUCAAUUGGGCCAGCUGUAUUUACCUGGGAUGUGCAGAUAAUUCUCCAGAGUAAGGAUACAACGACAUUUUUUAUUGCAGCAAACGAUUUAGAUAUGGACAAGUGCACAUGCAUGCGUAGAGAGAGAGAGAGAGAGAGAGAGAGAGAGAGAGAGAGAGAGAGAGAGAGAGAGAGAGAGAGAGAGUUAGUUGUUCAGCAAGAUCUACAAUCACUGAAAGCCACAGCUACAAUCCUUUCUCUAGCUAGUUGGGAGAAUUGAUCGAAAGGUAGAAUUAGAAAGAGACUUCCUGAAUUCUUCUUGAACAAUAUGGAAAUGGAUGAGUGCUAGGAAGACCACUGUAUAAGAUUUUAUAACAGAACCUUUUCCGAGUGGGUCUUUCAGGGAGAUAUAGCUAGCAAGCACAAUGCUCUACUUCAUUGAUUGAUAACAUAAACUUUGGUUCAAAAAAUAGAAAUGCUCUAUUAUGCUCUUUAAAGCCUCUUAAUUUGUGUACUUAACUACAGGUUCAUUGAAAAAGAACGAUAAUUUUCCCUAGGUUUAUCUGAUGUAAAUAGGUGCUAACUGUAGAAUAUUAUAAAAUUAUUUCGAAUAGACAGUUCAACUGGUGGUUGAUCGCUGUUCAUACCAUCAGGGUUUCCUCAUUCAUUAAAAUUUUGCAUAAGAGAUAUUGUUUCUUACACCAGUAUACCUCCAACAUUUGAAACCCUUUGAUCCAGAAUUCCCAUUAUGGCAAGAUAAAGAAGAAAAAAGUUGGAAACAUUCAUAUAUCAAGCAGACACUUGAAACCUAAUGAUUCUGUGGAAACCAACCAAUAUUUCAAUGAUUUUGCAUUUUUUUUUUUUUUUGCCUAGCUCGUCAGCUUGAAACCCGAGACAAAUUCCAUUGACAAGACAUGUUCAAAUAUCAUGCUAGAGAUAAUAUAGCAGACUAAUUGACAAAGCAAUUUGCAAAAGAAGUUAUUAUUUAAACAAAAACAAGUUCGCCAGAGGAAGAAUGUGUUUAGCUAGGAAUUUUACGUAUCGGUCUUGAGAAUAUCAAUUCUCAGAAAUGUAUGUACUCCAGAUAAUAGGGUUUUCACGCAAACAAAUCAUCUAUGAAUUGUACCAUUUGAUUAACUUGACAGUAACUAGGCAUUGACCUUGGCAAAAUAUUUGCAUCAAAUAUAAAAGAGUGGGUGUUUGGGGGUAACUAUGGCUUAAAAUUUUUAACUUUCAUGAUGCCUUUGGGUUAUUCUAUAUUUUCUCUUCAACAUGGAUCCUAAUGUCCUUGUAGAACAAACAACAUGCUGUAAACUGGGUGAUACUUAGAGGCUUUUGAUUUGGAUGGGCAAAUACUCUUCAGAGUAAUCUUGCAACAGUGAUCUGAUUGAGAGAAGAUUUGUGGAUGGCUUGUGUACUAGUACUGGCUAGGGGGCGUUUCAAUCAGUUACAUCUUCCAAACAUCGCACAGGAACCAUGCUCACUGUUAUAACUGUCUCGUUCUAUCAUGAAACUAUGCAGUACAUUGGGCUAGUUUUUGAGCUCCAAAGAGAGGAAAUUGAGCAAGGUGGUCCUCUAUCUGCGAGAUGAGUCUCCUUGCUUGAUGUUGUAUACAGAAAGGUAAUGAGCCAGGUCAUGUUUACCACGAUAGUUUUGCCUCAUAAUCAGAUUAUUAACAGCAGCAUAUCUAUGUAUUUCAUGCUCUAAAAGUCAGAGUUUUCAUGGUUUUUUUUUUUUCCCACUAAACUUUUUUGUUUAGAUGCAUCUCUUGGUACGUCUCAUGCUUCUUACCCCAUGUACUUGAGCUUCCUCUUUCAAAACUAAUACUUCAACAGAGAGAUCUCGUAAUCUAGAUUAGAUACUUCAUAUCACAUUCAAACAGAUCUUAUUUCACUACGUUUUAAGUUUAUGUCAACAAAGUCUAAAUAAAAAAUUGAUGAGUUUUGCACAAGCUUAGAAAACAUGAAAUGUUAGAUAAUAAUAAAUCUUCCUCAAAACACAAGCCAUACACCACAAUUUAGCGAAACUUGCCCUCAUGUAUGCAAGAAGUUCAAGUACAUUGCCCAUGGCAUAUCAGAAAGAAUAAUUUGCUCAUAGUCACAAAAUCAUAUUUAUUUGAAGAAACUAUAUUUCCUGAUCUAAUCUUGAUAACAUUAAGACAUCAAAGAAUCUCACUGCACUGAAAACAAGCGAGGAAGAAGAGAUGAAGAAACAGGGGACAAAGGGACAAGGAAAGAACAAACUAAUGUCAGUUGUAGCACUUCCCAGAAUUGUAAACUUUUCAGUGGAAAUUAACAAAAAGGAAAAUGUUUAACCAAUCAUAAAGACUUUAAGAAAAAGGAAAUAAAGCGAGGAUAGAAAGAAUUGAUAUAAACUCGACUUCUUGAGGCUUCAGAAACUCCGAGAGGUUAUGCGUUGCAAUAUUCAAGGUGCAACAGCAAAUAGAAUCACUACGGAACCGCAUCCAUCAGUAAUCAACAUAAGGAAUCAUAAAACUCCAGUAAGCUUGAGUUGUCAAUUAUCAUAUGUCACAAUUUCAAAGUGGAGCUCAGCAGAUACAAAAUCAGCAACGAAAGCAAGUUCAGAAACUGACCGAAUGCAUGCCUCAGAGGUACUUGAAUGCAACAACAGCAUCGAGUCGCAGCCUCCAAUUUUAUCAUUUGCAUGGCCAUAAUAUACUUCUUUAUACCUAAAAGUGGCUAAGAGUCAUCUAAUCAUUUAUGAACAAACAAAUUUUAGGAAAGUUUAGUUCUAUUUUAGUAUGAUCAAUGUUGAUGCCUAAAUUUUCCUUUUAAUUAGGUUUUUAUUUUAUUUUUAUUUUAUCUUUUUUUUUAAAGAUAAUAAAUAAACCAAAAAAAAACGGAAAAGAAACGAAAAAAACGGAAGAAAAAACAGAAAAGCAGCCUCCGCAUGGGCCUUCGGCCCAUCUCCGCCUCAGCCCAGCCCGGCCGAGUCUUCUUCCUCCUUGCGCCACUGCAACACACACAUGGGCAGGCACAACACCGAAGGAAGAUGAACAGACGGCGAUGCACGUGCAGCAGAGGAGCAGUUGGCGUCGACGGGACGUGACCGGAGGAGGAACUGAUGGCAGAUGGGACGGCGGUCCAACCGGCGGGCGAAGCCUCGCCAAUCGGCCGCCCCCUCACCUAUAAAUAGAGGGGCCACCGUCGACACGGAGGAAGGAGGAAGCGGAGAUCACAGAGAGAGAGAGAGAGAGAGAGAGAGAGAGAGAGAGAGAGGCCAGCCGAAGCUCGGGGUCCCUUGAGAGACUUCAGGGAGCUCGAGUGUAGGUCGGCCGUGGUGUGGUGAGCUUGGAGGGGUCCCCGAGAGAUUUCGAGGAGCUCGAAGGGCGAACCUGAGAGAGAGAGAGAGAGAGAGAGAGAGAGAGAGAGAGAAGCUGGAGGAGGUCCGCGUGAGUACCACCGCCGUUGCCGCCCUUGUCGCGCCGUCGCCAGGUAGCGGGUUGUCGCCGUUGUCGUCGCCGUUGCCCUUUCCCUCUCUGCAGCCCAGCCAUCACUGCCGUUGCCGCCAUCGUCGCCGCUGCACCUCGGUCCUCUCCCCCCUCGGCGCCGUGAUUCGGAAACCCUAGGGUUCCCGAUUUUCUGGGUCGCAACCCUUGGUUGUCGGGUCGCGACCCGGAUCGGGAACCGGGUAGGGAUUCCGCAAAUUCCGGGGGCGGCGGAGGUUAGGUUGCGAAUCGAAGCUGGGUCAGGUAGGGUUUGCGGGGAGUUGGGUUGCGGAACCGGGUCGUCGGGCCUGGCCGGGUGUCCCUAAACACCUGGCAACGAUGCCGUUUCUUUAAAAAAAAAAAAAGGGGAGAAAAUCUGAGUCGGGCCCGACUGUGCUCGGGUCGUCGGCCUGGGUCAGACCCAACUCACGGAUCCGACCCGGGUUGGCUUUUUAAGUUUUAUUUUAAAUAAAUAAAUAAUAAAUAAUUUAUUUAUUUAAAAAAAAUUCAAAAAUGAUUUAUUUUCAAAAAAUAUUUAAAAAAUAUUUAAAAAUAUUGUAUUUUCCGAAAAAUCAAAAAAUAAAAAAUAUUCCAUAUUUUCCAAAAAAUGCCAAAAAUCCAAAACAAAGCCAAAAAUUCAUGAAAAAGCCAAAAAAAAAUUCAUAAAAAGCCAAUUUUUUUUGUAUUUUUCCAAAAAUACCAAAAAAUCCAAAAAAAAAAAAUCUCUUUUAUGUCCAAAAAAUUAGAAAAAAAAACUCAAAUGAUUUUCCUCCCAAAAAUGCAUGGAAAAUCCCUUGAACAUCCAAAAAACUCCAAGGUUUAAACAAGAUUAGGUACCGAAAGGGCAUUAGUGAUUAACUAGUGUAAUCAAGUCCCCAAUCCUAAUUUCUCUAGUUGCGCAGGAGUGAGUAUUUCUCCCGAUACUUCGCUUGGGCUUCUAAUCAACCCACCCCAAAUCGAUUAGUGGUGACUCCAUUUUAAAAAUUGACUUACAGAUUAAAAAUUUAGACUAUUAAAGUCGUGAAUUGGUGGAUUGGGAGAGUCCGGGCAUAACUAAUUUCAGCCGAGCCAUUAGCCUCCUUAGGCGCUUGUACCCAAUUGCGGGCACCGAAGGCGCUUGUACCCAAUUGCGGGCACCGAAGGCGCUUGUACCCAAUUGCGGGCACCGAAAAAAAGGGGUCGCGACAGCUUGGCGACUCCGCUGGAGACAUUUAAGGACUUAGGCCAUUUUGUCUUUGUUUCAAUACUUUACUGACUUGGGUUUUUUUUUCUUUUGUGCAGGGUAAUAACUUAAAGUCUUUUUAUUAAGUUAAAAUAAAAUGUUUUGUGAUUAUAAACUGUUGUGCAUCCUUAAAUGUUUUAGCACUACACAUGGCACACACAACCCGGCCGUCGGACCUGGGCCGUCAUAGGAUAUUUAGGAUGGUGUCAAGAAAGAUACGACCUCAAACGCGAGACUGCGAUGUAGAGGUUGCCUUUCUUUUCCGGAGUUUCUUAGCCGAGGUUAAGGGGGUAUGCUGCUAACGUGAGACUGCGACGGGCGGAUACCCUUUUAAUUUCAUCAAGCCUUCUGAGUUAGAAAUCAAGCUGCAAGUCCCAUCUGUAUGUCUUUGUGCUUGCCAUUUUAUUUAAAAGCAAAGUGAUUUCUUUACUUUUACUCAAUCUUUUAUUUGGCCCAUGGCAAUUUAGAAUAAGCUUUUCAAGUCCCAGUUUAUAUGCGAUGGGGAAAGAUGAUAUCCAGUUCAUUCCUGCUCCCAAGGCGGAGCUCUUCAGAUGGUGGGGUCAAUUAGAUCAGUUUGCCCAAGAGCGCGUGAAGGCCAAAGUCGGUCAUCUCCUAUCGUUGAUCCAAAUCACUGUUCAUCCUGAAGUCAUACAAGCCAUGGCACAUUUUUGGUGCCCGAAGACAAUUACUUUUAUAUUCGGUAGAUUUGAGCUAACCCCAACCUUGGAAGAAUACAUCAUCAUCACUGGAAUGCCUCUUGAGAAAAAGCUUGUCAGGAUAUCGACAGGCGCCUCCCGUGGCAUGGGUUAGCGCGACUUUUAGGAACUGAAAUCCAUGUCAUGAGACAAAUUCUUGAAGACAACCAUAAUACCUGCCCACUAGAAUUUAUGAAUGCCUGUUUCCAAAAUCAGCCCAUGACCCAAAAAAGUGAGAUUUUCCUUCUGGCCUUUUUCGGGCUCAUCAUCUUCCCCCAUCAAAGAAAUGCCAUAAGUUUUAAGAUGGCAUGGAUAGUUGAUCAAAUCUUAAGAUGAGGGAAUUAUGUCAACAUGAUUUUAACUGAAACAUUAUUGUCCUUUAAUCGUUUUAAAGACAACACGGAGAAAAUCAUGUGAGCCUCUCCUAAAAUUUUACAAGUCUGGUUCUUUUCUCACCUAAGCGAAUUUCGAGACUUCAUGCGAUCGUCUGAAACAAAUGCUUUCGAAAAUCCGUUACAAAAAUUUAUGGUUUUAGGACCGUAUAUUCCCAAUCAAAUUGGGUUAACUUCCUAAGAAACCUAGCUCCUGAGGCAUUCCAAUGGUAUGCUGGUUGGUUCCAUGAAAAGAUAGCUUGCUUUGCUUACAAACGCUACCACCCAAUUCUGUUGCUCGGCCUUACCGGCGCCAUUCCCUAUUACCCAUAUUGGGUGGCACGACAAUAUGGAGCCCUUCAGGAGAUCCCACCGCCUUUUAAGAGGCUGAUCCCUCCAGUUCUUUUCAACACCAGUCGUGACUACGCAAUCGAAAUUUCUAUUGCUGAGGAAACCUGGGACAAGUGCCAUCGCAAAAGGAUCGUAGUACCUGAAUGAUUUGAGGGAGAAGAAAAAGCCCACCACGCCUCCAUGUCCUACAUCCACAACCAUCGUAUCCCGACAAAAUGGAAGCCAUCAGUCCCUCACUCAAUCAGUGAGAGCAGCCAGCACGAGCAAGUAGAGCUCAUGAAGAGGGAUUUGGGAAUAGACUGGAUACACACCUCAGAGCCGGUCUAAGAAAGCAAGCAUCUGCACAAGCGCAAGACCCCCCAUCACAUAUAAAUUGGCAAUCAUGUGCCCCUUAGUGUUAAUAAUGUGAAAGUUUUGUCCCAUUGUUUAGGGACUUUUCUUUAAUAUCUAGUAUUUUAUUCUGUCAUUUCAAUUUCAAGUUUUAGAUGUCAGAAGUCUGUGGUCUAUAAAAUCCUCUUUUGAUAAAUAAAAAAGUAGUUAGGCCGUUGCCAUGGGUCAAUCUUUGUUUACUUUCGUGCUCAUUCAUUGUUUUCGCAACGAUAGGUAAUUAUGAAUCGCCGGCCACUAAUUGCCCGCGAAUGGCCUCAUGUAAUAGGGCCCGAUCAGAAUGAUGUACAAAAUCGCCACAUUAACAUUGAAGACAGCGUAGGACAAAUGUCCAUUGUCCUUCAACAACUCUCGAGACAAAUGAAAUCCACUCAGGCUAAGCCCAACUCUGUAGUUGCCUUAAACACCAUCAUGACACCCGCAAAUUUACCAGAAAAUAGCCAGUACCAUAGACAAUUUGAAAGGAUCAUGAAAAAGUUAAGCCAGCUGCAAGAGCAGAAUCUAAUGGACCUGUCCAAUUACGCCGACAUUGAGAUCCCUGAAAAACUCAAAGCACCUGAAUGCGAAAGGUAUGUUGAUACCUCCCGCCCAAAGACCUACUUGCAGGCCUACUUGGUCCGAAGGAUGAUUCAAUCGUACCAAUCAAGCUUGACUGACCCUGCCUUACGAUGGUAUAUUGUCAGGAAGAUUAGUCCCCUUAAAACCUGGUGGGAACUAAUUCAUGUUUUUCACCAAGAGUAUAAUAUUGACAUCACCCCUGACAUCACCUUGCCUUACGAAGAACUGAUGAUCGCGGAGCACGUGGAGCCGUUAGUCGCUGAGGUAGGAGAGGAGCAUGUCAAUGAAGCCUUGCAUAAUAAAUGGGCGACUGAGCAACAUCCUGUUACUGAGAAGUUUCCCACUAGGAAAGGCAAUGAGCCUUUGUACAAGAUCAAAGACACAGAGCCUGUUCAAGACCAAGGCUCAACUGGACAACUCCCCAAGCUUACUCCAAGAGCUAGGGUCCAAAGAAUACCAACCCCUAUCAACCUGGAAAGUGAAUCAGACACUGAAAUUCUAAUGUCUCUCACUUCCCUUGACAGAAUCGAGCUGACAAAAUGAAAGGCUUUACUCAAAAGGUCUAGACAAGAAGCUAAGAAAAGAAAGCCUAAGCAGAUCAAUUCAGCAUCUGCCAACAAGCCACCGCACCAAAGCUUCGAGCAUUCCCAAGAAUACAGCUUUGAAGGCUACCAUCCUCUAGAGUAUAACCCUGAAAACUUCCCGGCCCUAGAAUACAAUCCCAAGGACUUCCAGCGUUAUUUUGACAAUGAAACUAAUGAUUCAUCGUAUAAUUGUUUCCUACUCUCAUCCGAUGAUGAAGGCUCGUCAAAAGAGGAAGCAUACAUCUUUAUCUGCUACGAUCCUAACGAAGUACUAAGCUCGUCUUCUGACCAUGAGGAUAGCUUCAAUACUUCAUCCUCAUUCGGAAAUUUUGACCAAGAAUAAAGCAAUGUGGUAAUCUCGGUAGAAUCCAACUUCCCUGAAACAAAAAAAUUCACCACUACAACAAAUAUGCAGUGGGAAAACCAAUAGCCUAACCAGGAUACAUCAAGCCCGUCUUGCACUCAUAGAAUCAUGACCCUUGGAGAGAUGUGGAUACCUAAUCUCCAUAAGUAUAAUGGCACAACUUGCCCCGUGGCUCAUUUGCAGUACCUCCACGCUGAAAUGAGUAGGUACUAUGGCCCGAUGUCAUUCACAACUCAGGCCUUUCAAGAAAGUCUUACGGGGUCUGCAUUACAAUGGUUCAUCACAGCAGAUAUCUACCUCAUGAGAGAUUGGAAUGAGCUGUCUUUUGCAUUCCUGCUUCAGUAUCAAAGCCAGAUUCGAAUUAAAGUGCCUUGUCAGAACUUGGUUCACUUCAGAAGAAGACCAAUGGAGGAUUUUCGAGUGUAUGCAAGGAGGUGGGAGGCUUUUAUGAUGCAAACUUACCCUCAACUGGCCGAAGAAGAAAUGAUAAAGCUGUUCAUAGGGGCUUUACCUCACAAGUAUCGUUGUUGGUUGCAUGGGUUGCACUUCCAUAGCUUCAAUGAAGUGGUCCUCUCCUGCGAAUACUUCAAGUCUACUGGAGGCGAGGAACUCAAAGACGCUUGAUUUCGGAACCAACACUAUCAAAGCACUCCUUUACACAGGAGUUUUCAUGGGUUUUACUUGUUUUUAUAAUUUCAUGUUUCUUAUCUUGUCUAGUGUGCUACUGUUGUAUUUUCCAUUCCAAGUACUCUAUUGUACAGUUCUAAUAUUUUGUUUUAAGAGCAUGGGGUGGUACUCCAAACCAACCCAGUGAUGUUAUCCAACCAUGAAAAGAAAAUAUCAUCCAAGGAGAAUACUGAGGGUUGGGCUUCCUCAUGCUUUCUUUCCCCUAAAGAUAUAUACUUUUGAAAACAAAAAUGUUUCAUUAGCAAAAGCUUUCGUCAAAACAAGAUGUUAAAUUUAAUCAUGUUUGUAUUUCUGACUCACUCACUUCAUAUCUUAGAAGAUCAUUCCCAUCCCCUUUGACUUAAUGUGACAGGGGGCAUUUGAAACAAGUGCAUCAUGUGAGCUCGCCAAACUCGAGAACACAUUUUCAAGAAAGCGGGGGCAAACAGAAAGGAGCAUCCCGUUUCAAAAAAGGAUAAGUCUUAUUCCCUUAACAUAAUAUUGAGAAUGACAACCCCUCUCUUCUAUUUACAGGAUACAAAAGGUGAGAUGUAAGAGGUACAUGCAUACAGUUGAAAUCGAAGCAUCCAUGACGUGCCUCACUCCUGCCCAGCUCCAUCCUAAGCCAAAGGACUAUCUUGUCGCACGACAUGCCCAAACAGCUAGAUGUUACAGUUUCAACUUCGACGAGCCUAGAAACAUAAGGAAGAAGUUCCUUCUCUUCCUUUAAAGUGAUUAUUGUCAACAUUGAGAAAAUCCAGAUAGUCAAGGAGAUCUAUAGCCCCACACCCCGAACAAUGACUUGGAAUCUAGAAGCUUCACUCCAGACGCAUAUUCUUCCAAGGAGCAAUUGCCAUAAGAAAGCUUGAGAUUUUUUAUCUCAGAUUCCAUAGAAGCUUGAGGUACAUGACUUUACUCAAUACUGCCUUAGUCAAAGACAGAAGAAAAAUUCCACAGAAGGAAGGCGUUGAAGAUAAAUCAACAACCAUCAAUCAUGCAUACAUGGCCAUGAGUGAGGAAGGCCAAUCAAAAGAAAUGUCAAACUGUGCCGAGACGAAAAAGAUAUCAUCGAUAUUCAAAUAUCCCUAGGAGUCAACAAAUACAGACUUUGGAAAAGAGUAAUUUGGUAUCAUUUCCAAUACUUCCCCCCUUUGAAUUCACUUUUGACAUAUUCCCCCUAUUGGCAGGAAGCAUCAGGAUUCAAGAGACAAACUUGAUGGUUAGGCAAAUCAAUAUUGGCCAAGCUAAUACGUGAAAAUGACCCACAUCAAAUUCACCUAGCUUCGUGUAAAAAGACAUGUCAUCCAAGAGCCAAUUCAGAGAAUAAUUAACUUAACGAAGCAAGGGACAUAGGACCUCAUGUCCCCCUCUCACUUCAAGUUCACCCAAUCAUCUGCAAACCGGUGAAGGGUAAAGUUGUAUCGCUUCCAAUUAUUCAAUUCUUGAAAGAGUUCAUGACUAAUGCAUUCCCUCUUGUUUGUUGCAGGAUCACCCGACUGUCAAAAGCAAGGAUAACAAAUCAAUGAGAAGCAUGUCAGACUCUGAUAAGCUCUCCCAAACGAAAUGGCGUCCUGAUUAAUCACUAAAGCUAAUGACAGAAACCUUUUAGGCCUCAAAUGACGUGCAAUUUUGGCCCCACCGAUUGAUCUAUUUCCACAUCUUCUCUUAUGUAGGGGCAAAAGCAGAAAGACCCGUCAGAUCAAUGUUUAGAUCCCCAAUAUUGACUGAUCAUUCGUGUGUCAUAUCCCUAAUCAAUAGGGACGACCAUCGACACCCCUUUGUGAAUAACCCUUCUGAUGUUCAAAAUUUAACAACACCAUUUUGUUGACCCUUAAAGCUACCAACAAGGUCUUUUUGAGCAAAAACCAUUCAUUUAUUUUGAGAGUACAAACUUCGUCGUAUUUAAAAUAUUGCAUGCCGUUUCCAAAUGAUUUAUGCAUGAUGAUUUUGUCCGUCCAAGUCAUUGAUUCCACUAAGGAUUAUCAAAAUAGACAGCUAAAUGAAGAAUACAAGAUUAAUUGAGCAUGCUGGAUGAGGUGCGUCAGAAUGAUGAAAGGCAAACCAUAUCCUACACACAGUCCCCCAUCUAUACACUUGUGAAACGAGUGCAAAAGAUUCCAUGACUGCAGGGUAAAGAGUUCUCUCGCGAAUGGUACGAUAACCAAAAUAGUGAGAGGCAUUCCAUCACUCACCCCAUUGAGCCCCAUACACUGGUGAAAUUUCUGUCCUACCCCCGUCAAGAACCACCCCACAUUAGGGCAUAUUAGAGGCGAAGCAGGAUCACAAGGUGAGAAGAGAGAUAGAAGUUUUCUUGCUCGCACUUGCAUCAAUCUUCGGGUGUCUUUACCGCAUAUGAACACUCGCGUUAAUUUAAGUGCCCCAGAAUACGAAGAGCAAUUCUUUCUGCACUUGUAUUCAUUGUACAACCCAAUUGAGUCUGUAAUUUCACCCUCACGUGGAGGCAAAACAGAAGUUACUACCAUUUAAGUAGCAUAGCUCGUAGCGCUAGCUGAAGACGAAGACUCAAGAGUCUAGCAACAAUGUCAUGAUUGAACUUGCCUAGGCUAGUUCCUCUAACGACAAGAAUGAAAAAACAGGGGCAUAAAAAAGCAGUGUACCUAGUAAAAGCAAGGUCAAUGCCCAUGAAUGAAGAAUUGGAAUAAAAAUAGGGGCAUGAAAAAAGUAGUAUCCCUGGUAAAAGCAAGGCCAAUGCCCCCUAGUCAAAAAUACAACCAAGAAAAAGUUGUUGUUGUGGUCCAUAGAACCUCUAUCUAACAGUGAGAAGAAAGACCAGUGACAAAUGCUGAGACAAUCAUGAACUCUCACCCUUUUACAUGUGAGCCAAGUCUACGUUACAUUCCCAUUGUAAAAGUCUCUUCAGACUAAUGGCACUUCAAUUAACGUAGGAUUUCAUAUGUUCAUAAGAUCGCUCGAAGAAGUACGAGCAAGAUUACUCUAUCUUUUUUCGCAGGAUUCUUGACUUGCAAACCCGGAGACGAUCGUGCAGCACUCCAUUCAUAAGCCUUGACCUUGAUGGUCCCCUUUGAUGAGCCGUUAACCAAGACUUCAUCACAGUUUCAACAAAGACCUCUCACAUUGGUAAAGUCGUACUGUUUGCGAGAAUACUCAGACCCCUGCUGACAUGAUGACAGUGAGAUAGUGUGGUCCUUAUAAAUCCUGCAUUAAUGGUCAGGAUNNNNNNNNNNNNNNNNNNNNNNNNNNNNNNNNNNNNNNNNNNNNNNNNNNNNNNNNNNNNNNNNNNNNNNNNNNNNNNNNNNNNNNNNNNNNNNNNNNNNNNNNNNNNNNNNNNNNNNNNNNNNNNNNNNNNNNNNNNNNNNNNNNNNNNNNNNNNNNNNNNNNNNNNNNNNNNNNNNNNNNNNNNNNNNNNNNNNNNNNNNNNNNNNNNNNNNNNNNNNNNNNNNNNNNNNNNNNNNNNNNNNNNNNNNNNNNNNNNNNNNNNNNNNNNNNNNNNNNNNNNNNNNNNNNNNNNNNNNNNNNNNNNCUCUAUCUCUAUCCCCAUUGUCUUUGAGUACCGGCCACCGUUCGGAUACUCCCUUUUCCUAACACUCAACCUGUUCGAGUUGUCCCCAGAGUAUUGAUACUUGUGACUGAUCAAGUAUCCAUUUAUCUUUGAAUACCUACUGCUGUCUAGGUAUCCCCAUUGUCUUUGAGUAUCGGCCACCAUUCGGAUACUCCAUUUUCCUGACACUCGACCUAUUCGAAUUGUCCCCAGAGUAUUGAUACUUGUGACUGACCAGGUAUCCCUUUAUCAUUGAAUACCUACUGCUGUCUAGGUAUCCCUAUUGUCUUUGAGUACCAACCACCGUUCGGAUACUCCCUUUUCCUGACACUCGACUUGUUCGAGUUGUCCCCAGAAUAUUGAUACUUGUGACUAAUCAAAUACCCCUUUAUCGUUGAAUACCUACUACUGUCUAGGUAUCCCUAUUGUCUUUGAGUACCGGCAACCGUUCGGAUACUCCCUUUUCUUGACACUCAACUUGUUUGAGUUGUCCCCAGAGUAUUGAUACUUGUGAUUAACCAAGUAUCUCUUGGAAUACCUACUGUUGUCUAGGUAUCCCCAUAUCGUCAAGUAUCCAUCGUUGUCCAAGUACUUCCUUUUCAUGACACUCAACCUGCCCAAGUUGUCUCCAAAUAAUAUAGCAACCGUUCAAGCAUUCCAUUGCUUUGCUUGGCACCGCCGUCCAGGUAUGCUUUCUAGCACUUGGACCAGCCUGAGUGGUCCCAUAUCAUAUCAUUAAAUACUUAUGUUCAUCCAAGUAUUCCAGUACUUUGUACACCUGUGGCUAUCCAGAUGUUCCACCCCUUUUAAAUGCCUGCGGCAAUCCAAGUAAGCCUCAUACCACAUUCAAGUUUAUAAUACCAAGAGGUGAAAGACCUUCAUGAAUAUAUGGGGCACGUCCUCGAUAUUCCCCAAUUACCAAGAGGUGAGAGAUCUUCACGAAUAUCUCAGAUACGCCCUCGAUAUUCCCAUUACUAGGAGGUGAGAGACCUUCAUGAAUAUGCGGGGCACGCCCUCGAUAUUCCCAUUACUAGGAGGUGAGAGACCUUCACGAAUAUCUCAGGUACGUCCUCGAUAUUCCCAUUACCAGGAGGUGAGAGAUCUUCAUGAAUAUUCGGGGCACGUCCUCAAUAUUCCCCAUACCAGGAGGUGAGAGACCUUCACGAAUAUGCGAGGUACGUCCUCAAUAUUCCCCAUACCAGGAGGUGAGAGACCUUCAUGAAUAUUCGGGGCACGUCCUCGAUAUUCCCCAUACUAGGAGGUGAGAGACCUUCAUGAAUAUCCAAGGUACGUCCUUGAUAUUCCCAAUUACCAGGAGGUGAGAGACCUUCACGAAUAUCUCAGGUACGCCCUCGAUAUUCCCAAUUACCAAGAGGUGAGAGACCUUCACGAAUAUCUCAGGUACACCCUCGAUAUUACUAUUACCAGGAGGUAAGAGACAUUCACAAAUAUCUCAAGUACGCCCUCGAUAUUCCUAUUACCAAGAGGUGAGAGACCUUCACGAAUAUCUUAGGUACGCCCUCGAUAUUCCCAUUACUAGGAGGUGAGAGACCUUCAUGAAUAUGCGGGGCACGCCCUCGAUAUUCCCAUUACCAGGAGGUGAGAGACCUUCACGAAUAUCUUAGGUACGUCCUCGAUAUUCCCAUUACUAGGAGGUGAGAGACCUCUAUGAAUAUUCGGGGCACGUCCUCAAUAUUCCCCAUACCAGGAGGUGAGAGACCUUCACGAAUAUGCGAGGUACGUCCUCGAUAUUCCCCAUACUAGGAGGUGAGAGACCUUCAUGAAUAUUCGAGGCACAUCCUCGAUAUUCCCUAUACCAGGAGGUGAGAGACCUUCAUAAAUAUCCAAGGUACGUCCUUGAUAUUCCCAAUUAUCAGGAGGUGAGAGACCUUCAUGAAUAUCCAAGGUACGUCAUCGAUAAUUAUCAGGAGGUGAGAGACCUUCAAGAAUAUGCGGGGCAUGCCCUCGAUAUUCCCAUUACUAGGAGGUGAGAGACCUUCACAAAUAUCUCAGGAACGCCCUCGAUAUUCCCAAUUACCAGGAGGUGAGAGACCUUCACAAAUAUCUCAGGUACGCCCUCGAUAUUUCCAAUUACCAGGAGGUGAGAGACCUUCAAGAAUAUGCGGGGCACGCCCUCGAUAUUCCCAUUACCAGGAGGUGAGAGACAUUCACGAAUAUGCGAGGCACGCCCUCGAUAUUCCCGUUACCAGGAGGUACGUCCUCGAUAUUCCAACUACCAGGAGGUGAGAAACCUUCACGAAUAUCCCAUAUACGCCCUCGAUAUUUCCCAAUUGCCAGGAGGUGGGACACCUUCACAAAUAUGCAAGGUAUCUUCCAGAAUCGAUGCCCUGGGAAAGGUCGGCGCAUCCUCCGAGAAAAGUCGGGUAUCAACUGUUGUCUUUGACAAAGGUCAGACACCCCCACAAAACAGAUGCCCUGAGAAAGGUCGGCGCAUCUCCCGAAAAAGGUCGGGUACCAACUGAUGUCCUCGAUACAAAUCAGGUACCCACAAAUGAGAUGCCCUGAGAAAGGUCGAUGCAUCUCCCGUCAAGGCGACCGAAGAAAGGUUCGGGUCCUAGACAAACCACUAAUUAUUUUAACAGGCAACCGAAGAAUGGUUCGGGUCUUGGAGAAGCAACUUCCCGUCACGGCGACUGAAGAAUGGUUUGGGUCCGAGACAAACCACUGAUUGCUCUAACAGGCGACCGAAGAAUGGUUCGGGUCCUAGAGAAGCAAUCUCCCGUCAAGGCAACCGAAGAAAGGUUCGGGUCCUAGACAAAUCAUUGAUUGUUUUAACAGGCGACCGAAGAAUGGUUCGGGUCUUGGAGGAGCAAUUUCCUGUCACGGCGACCGAAGAAUGGUUUGGGUCUGAGACAAACCACUGAUUGCCUUAACAGGCGACCGAAGAAUGGCUUGGGUCCUGGAGGAGCAAUCUCCCAUCAAGGCGACUGAAGAAAGGUUCGUGUCCUAGACAAAUCAUUGAUUGUUUUAACAGGCGAUCGAAGAAUGGUUCGAGUCUUGGAGAAGCAAUUUCCCGUCACGGCAACCGAAGGAUGGUUCGGGUUUGAGACAAACCACUGAUUACUCUAACAGGCAACCGAAGAAUGGUUCGGGUCCUGGAGAAGCAAUCUCCCGUCAAAGCGACCGAAGAAAGGUUCGGGUCCUAGACAAAUCAUUGAUUGUUUUAACAGGCGACCGAAGAAUGGUUCGGGUCCUGGAGAAGCAAUUUCCCAUCAUGGUGACCAAAGAAUGGUUCGGGUCCGAGACAAACCACUAAUUGCUCUAACAGGCGAUCAAAGAAUGGUUCGGGUCUUGGAGAAGCAAUCUCCUGUUAAUGCGACCGAAGAAAGGUUCGGGUCUUAGACAAAUCAUUGAUUAUUUUAACAAGUGAUCGAAGAAUGGUUCGGGUCUUGGAGGAGCAAUUUCCCGUCAAGGCAACCGAAGAAAGGUUCGGGUCCUAGACAAAUCAUUGAUUGUUUUAACAGGCGACCGAAGAAUGGUUCGAGCCCUGGAAAAGCAACCUCCUCAUAUCACCAGGUAAGAUGAUGCCUUGAUUUUUGCCGAACUCGGGGUUCACACCCUAUCUCACUCACUCCCGGUAAGUAACUACAGGUAUCUUCUUAUCUGUCUUAGUAUAUGUAAUGCUAUAUUGCUCUUUUUGCAUAGGAUAAUAGGUCCCAAAAAAAAUAUAAUCUGCUACGCUUGUAUGGAUAAAAUUUAGGCAUCAGUUUGUCUUUGAAUGCAACCUCUGCGAGCUCACCUUCAAAGAGGGGCAGUUGUUGAUGCCUAAAUUUUCCUUUUAAUUAGGUUUUUAUUUUAUUUUUAUUUUAUCUUUUUUUUUUUCAGAUAAUAAAUAAACCCAAAAAAUCGAAAAAGAAACGAAAAAAACGGAAGAAAAAAUAGAAAAGCAGCCUCCGCAUGGGCCUUUGGCCCAUCUCCACCUCAGCCCAGCCCGACCGAGUCUUCUUCCUCCUUGCACCACUGUAGCACACGCGUGGGUAGGUGCAACGCCGGAGGAAGAUUAACAGACGGCGACGCACGUGGAGCAGAGGAGCAGUUGGCGUCGACGGGACAUGACUGGAGGAGGAGCUGAUGGCAGAUGGGACGGCGGUCCAACCGGCGGGUGAAGCCUCGCCGACCGGCCGCCCCCUCGCCUAUAAAUAGAGGGGCCACCAUUGACACGGAGGAAGGAGGAAGCGGAGAUCACAGAGAGAGAGAGAGAGAGAGAGAGAGAGAGAGGCCAGCCGAAGCUCGGGGUCCCCUGAGAGACUUUGGGGAGCUUGAGUGCAGGCCGGCCGUGGUGUGGUGAGCUCAGAGAGAUUUCGAGGAGCUCGAAGGGCGAACCCGAGAGAGAAAGAGAGAGAGAGAGAAGCUGGAGGAGGUCCGUGUGGGUACCACCGCCGUCACCACCCUCGUCGCGCCAUCGCCAGGUAGCCGGUUGUCUCCGUUGUCAUCGCCGUCGCCCUUUCCCUCUCUGUAGCCCAGCCAUCACUGCCGUCGCCGUCGUUGUCGCCUCUGCACCUUGGUCCUCUCCCCCCUCGGCGCCGCGAUUCGGAAACCCUAGGGUUCCCGAUUUUCUGAGUCGCUGCCCCGGGUUGUCGGGUCGGACCUGGAUCGGAAACCGGGUAAGGAUUCCGCAAAUUCUGGGGGCGGCAAAGGUUGCGUAGCGAAUUGGAGCCAGGUCGGGUAGGGUUCGCGGGGAGUUGGGUCGCGGAACUGGGUUGUUGGGCCGGGCCGGGUGUCCCUAAACACCCAGCCACGACGCCAUUUCUUUAAAAAAAAAAAAAAGGGAGAAAAUCUGAGUCUGACCCGCGUCGCGGGCCCAUUUGCGCUUGGGUCGCUAGCCUAGGUCGGACCCAACCCGCGAAUCCGACCCGGGUCGGCUUUUUAAGUUUUAUUUUAAUAAAUAAUAAAUAAAUAAUUUUUAAAAAUUUCAAAAAUGAUUUAUUUUCAAAAAAUAUUUUAUUUUCCGAAAAAUAAAAAAAUAAAAAAUAUUCCAUAUUUUCCAAAAAUGCCAAAAAUUCAAAAAAAAGCCAAAAAUUCAUGAAAAAGCCAAAAAAUUUCAGAAAAAGCCCAAAAGACUUGUAUUUUUCCAAAAAUACCAAAAAAUCCAAAAAAAAAAUCUCUUUUAUGUCCAAAAAAUUAGAAAAAAAAACUCAAAUGUUUUUCCUCCCAAAAAUGCAUGGAAAAUCCCUUGAACACAAAAAAAAAAAAAAACCCCAAGGUUUAAACAAGAUUAUGUACCGAAAGGGCAUUAGUGAUUAACUAGUGUAAUCAAGUUCCUGAUCCUAAUUUCUCUGGUUGUGCACGAGUGAGUAUUUCUCCUGAUACUUCGCUUGGGUUUCUAAUCAACCCACCCCAAAUCGAUUAGUGGCGACUCCAUUUUAAAAAUUGACUUACAGGUUAAAAACUUAGACUAUUAAAGUCGUGAAUUGGUGGACUUGGGAGAGUCCGGGCAUAACUAAUUUCAGCCGAGCCAUUAGCCUCCUUAGGCACUCAUACCCGAUUGCGGGCGCCGAAAAAAAGGGGUCAUGACAAUCAAUAGACAUACCAAUGAUUGAUAAUGCUGCUGCAUACAUUAUGCACGGUUCCCAUGUCACAUAAAGGGAGCAUGCUAAAAACAUCUUUGCAACUUCUACUGCCUAAAAUCCUGUGCUCUGCCACUGUUCAAGAAGAACAUGAAGAGUGUACAUCUCUGCAAGUCUUGUUGCCUAAGAAAGCGCAAGGAGAAAUAUAAAGAAAGCAUAUCAAACUUAGGACCUUUGCAGGAGAAAAAGUUGCUCUUCAUGUAGUUUCAUCAUAAAUCUAGGAAUGCAUUUCAUGAGAAAUUUUUUCUUUGAAAAGUUACCUGAUUGAGUAUAUAAAAGAUUGAUCAAGGCAUAUAUUAAAUUAUAUCAACAAGUUUUUGAUUGAUUGAAGUUGCUGGGAAUUUCAAAUGAGUUUUUGAUUGAUUGAAGUUGCCGGGAAUUUCAAAUGAAAAAGAGGCUUCUUAUUGGAUUGGCCACCUCCACCUUUUCUAACAGUAUUUUUUAUAUACCCCUAAAGCAAGGUGCCUUUGUUUUUUCAUUAUGCUCUAAAAAGGUAAUAAAAGGGCCAAAUAUUUUUCUCAUAAACUAUUUAUUACUGUCCGCAAAGUCAUUUAUCUUAGUGUUUUGUCACCACAUAACUAUAAAUGAUCACAGGAAUAGACUAUUAGACAAGAAAUUAUCUCUACGAGAAAUCGGGCUUAAACUAUUUGUGUAGAUGUGGCUGUUGUGUGAAAAAAUUGUGCCCAAGAAGCAGGUUCUUACAUCAUAAUGGGCAAUAAUUUCACAAUUCAUUUUUAUACAAAAUAAGUUGACCAGUCUAGCUAACUUAACUUCGCAAAAGCUGAUGAAGACCAUAAUAUGGUUCUAGACAGAGCACGAUGGUAAAUGAAAUACAUAUAACACUGUGCAUAAUAAAGCCAGGUUAUUGGUAGUGUUAGCCAUAGUCAUAUUUUAUGAAAGAAUAAUGGGAAAAAAACCAUUUGACAGCCUUAUAAUGCAUCGAAAAUUCUACUCACUAACAGAUUUGUUCAGAUAAUUCUUUUAUCAUCUAUUAAAGAAAUGAUCAUGGGAAAACAUAAAAAGAUAAAAAAAUAACUACGAGUGGAUUAUUCGAGGGUAAUUCAGAAUAAUAACAAAGUGCUGUUGGCCAAAUUUAAACAAGGGGGUGGAGACGCAGUGAUAAACUAUAUGAUUUGCGUCUCAUUAGUCUAGUUUCUUCCUGCCACAAUGACGUGCCUAUCCUCAACAAUCACAUAGCUAUUCAAUCAAAGAGUACAAUCUGAAACCAUUCACUAAUUAAGACUCAACUACUAAUCAUCUCAAUUAGAAAAUAAAGAUAUAUAUCUGAAAUGCACGUGGCUACUAAAUAUCAGUUUUUUACCCAACUGAAACUUCAAGGCUGUCUAGAGCAAACUUUGCCUUAUACAAGAAAGACACAUAGGGCCUUGUUACUUGUUUCAAGAAAAAGAUAUGAGGAUAAGAGUCAGUGGUUCUCUCAUGCAUGCAUGCAUGCAUUUAGCAACUCGAGGAAAUCAGCAUUAAGUUGCCAGCAGUAGAAAUAUUUCACUGUCAAUAUGCAGCUACUAAUGGAAUGAAUGCAUAUCUCAAAGCUAUAUGAUCAAAAUCUUGCAGAUCUUGUAUGAUAUACUGAUCGCAAACUUCCGAGAAAUGAUUAUCAACCCAUACUCACCCUGUAAUUCAUCUGCCAAUCUCACCUAACUGCUAAUUUGAUAUGGCUCUAACAACACUGAAGCAAAAACAACAAUGACUUUGAGAAACUAAAUGUUACUUAUUCCAGUGUGUCUGAUCAUCGGUACCCCAAAAGCUUAUCUUUCAUUGGUACCCCAAAAGCUUAUCUUUCAUUAGUCAGGUUCCACUCAAACAUUCAAGAAGCUUCCGGGACUUCCAGGUCAUUCUCAUUCAUAAACGCUAUGACACAAAAGGAUGAAAACAGAAUCCUAAUUUAUUGUAAAGGCCUCGCAAAUCAGAAUUGACAAUCAGCUUCUUGUGCUUUUGUCUCCAUUCUACUAAAUAACUUAUCUAAACUCUGUUUCUCGUAUUUUUCACAUAGUCCACAGGAUGAAAGAAAUUAGCCUCCUGACCAGUUAUCCAUGGGCAAAAACCAAUGCUCUAACAACACUGAAGCAAAAACAGCAAUGACUUUGAGAAACUAAAUGUUACUUGUUGAUCUAUAAUAUUAGCAUACAGCAUUUAUCUAUCAUAUUUAAACGAAUCAUAGACUAUGCAAUAUCAUAAACAGCAAAUGAAU